This 121824-nucleotide long non-coding RNA is filed under the name Vitis vinifera (wine grape). RNAcentral's name for it is "long non-coding RNA (VVIN_LNC007053)". Lineage: Eukaryota; Viridiplantae; Streptophyta; Magnoliopsida; Vitales; Vitaceae. The record is from RNAcentral.
CACCAUUCUCCUGCAUUUCAAUAACUCCAAUAAUUUUAGAUUUCGCUUUGCUUGUUAAUUCAUAAUAUGUAAAUUAACCUUUAAAGUAAUGACACUUGUACCUAAUAUGAUAGGAACUUCUGCAUUAGGUUUAGGAAAAGGAUACUUGGUUCCAUUCUUGGGAUAGACAAUUAUAGCUCCAUGAACAGUGGCUCGGGUCCAAUCACUAUGAGCAUGCCACCAUAGAGUCCCUUCCUCAGAGGAAAGGAUGAUCUUCUGGCUAAACUUUGAUCCUGGGGGAAUUGGACAUUGUGUGAUAUACUCAGGACCAUCUGUCCAUGGAUAUCUAGGCAUCUUCACCCCAUGCCUGCAAAAUAAUAACUAUAUGUUAACACUAGUACUAAUUUUUAGAUUCACUAAAGAUGGCAUGUAGCAAUGAACUGAAGCAAAUAACCCUAAAGCAUUGUUUUAAAUUUGACUUUGCAAAUCAAUAUAUUGCAGUCUCCUCUUAGAAAUAAAAGAAUGUAUGCCAUGCAGGCAUGUUGCCGCUAUCUUUCUCCGAGACAUGCACAUGACCUACCAAUGAAUGGUGACGUUUUGUUUUCCCCUGUUAUAAACGUCGACAAUGAUCGUCUCUCCUUUCUUAGCAUAUAUAGUUGGUCCCGGAAAUUGUCCAUUUACUGUUAAGAUGUUCUUGGUGCUACAAAGCCUUGUAUAUGAAGCUUCCCUCACCUGCAAUCAAUUAAAAGUUAACCAUGCAUCCUCAUACCAGAAAGAAAAAUUACAUGUACAAAUUGUUGCAUCGAUCCAUUCAUACAAGUGUAUAACCAAUCAGAAAUUGAUAGCAUGCAUGAACGACUCAAUGACACAAGGGUACCCGAAGACCUAUGGCUGCCAUACAGUGGAAAAUGAGAGCCAUACUGGUCCCUAAAUAUUAUCACAAGGUGGCAUUAAGGCCAGAAUCAUGCAUAUAUAGUAUUUACCACAAAAGUAUGCCGACGGGUUGAAGCUUUGCAAUGGAGGCCACCACCAAAAAGAAGAAAUGCUAAAAUUUGCAAGAGGAAAACCUUCAUCAUCAGCCACAUCUUCUUCGGAAUAAAAGUCUCUUCUCUUGUACUAAACACAACUACUUCAAUUUUCUUACUAUUUCUAAUAGCAGGACUUAUCUUCUCUUUGACAUGAAUGGAAUGAAUUCUUAAGGGUAUUUAUAGAGGCUGGAGAGAACCAAAACUAGAACCGGUGAAAUCUGGACAGCAACUUUGAUGGCUGCUGUCAUCUUCAGCAUGAAUGCAUACACCAGAUUAGGUAUAGACGCGUUCAUUCUGUGGGCACCUAACAACUGGUUUCCCUCCUUUGUAAUUUCCUCGAACUUUUCCCGUAUUUCUUUCAUAUAUGAUUCUUAAUAUAGUCCAGAUGAUUUCCUUGAGAUACAAUACUUGCUCGCCACGUGUCAAUAUAAGAGGAAGUGAUUUGAAUGUGAAUUGGUUUUAAAUGUUCUUCCGGGACCACUUCAAUGAGCAGGACCACUAGAAUUAUGAUAUUUGAUCACUUACCAAAAUUUAAAUAAACCAAAUGCCUGAAGAAUGCUAGCUAACAAUUGUGAAAUUUGCUUAGAUUCUCUUGAAUUUUCUCAUUCAAAGUACAAGUUUGACUUUGAGAAUUGACCAUGAAAUUAAUUAAACGUGUUAUUUUAGAAUAAAUUUAAAAUAUUUUUCACAUGUUUUUUAUAGACUAAUUCGAGAAAUAUUGAUAAAAUAUAUGUAGAACACUUUGAAAACUUUGACUCAUAAAUAAUUAUGUAGUACCUUUAAUUACCAAGAUUAGCUAAGAAAACUAUUUUCCAUCAAUAACUAUUAAAAAUUAUUUUCAUAAAUAUUAGUUAACAAACCCUUAUUAUUUGUUUUACUUGUUUUCGUGUUACUUAAGACAAUUAAUAGUGAACCCAUGAUUUUGCUACUAUUUCCCAAAACCUAGUUUGAUGUUGAUGUCUUUCAUACUAUAUUUAAUUGGUAGAUCAAUUGGGUGUACUUAGAUAUCAUUAACAUCAUUAUCUCGUUUAGCACACGCAGGAAGAGGUCUAGAUAAUCACCUCUUGUUCAUAGUCUGCUAGCCUAAGGUAUAUCCAACCAUCAGAAAGUUGGGUAAAAUGUUCGACUCAAUGCUAAACAUUGAAGAUGUUUCUAAAAGGAAAUUUCCUUCUAGUUGACACUGAUUGAUGUCUUAAGGACCAUUGUAUGGUGCUAACCAUGCCAUCAAGGAGAGAAUUGCAUGCAAGCCAGCUAAGCUUGAUACCACAGUAGGUCCAAAAUGGCAGGUAGCUAAAACAGCUUUUCUAGCUAGCAGCUGGUUAGGUGGCCAUUACCAAAAAGUUGGGCACAUAUAAGAUGCCUUCAUCGUAGCCAUGUUCUGUUUUGUAAAUUGGUAAGCGUUACACCUUGUCUUGGUCGGCAGUGUAGAUGAAAAGCGAUUCUAUAUAUGUUAAUUUGGGACCCAUUAUAAAUCCAAUUCAUAACAUUAUUGAUCCAUAUUACGUGUUGUGACCUCUAGGGAUGGCAAUGGGGCGGGUCUUUUCGGGUACCCGCCCCACCUCGCCCCUGAUGGGACGGGGUUUAAUUUUAAUAAACGGGCUAGGGACGGGUUUGAAAAUUUUUUUAAAAACUUGGGGCGGGUUCGAGUAUUGCCCCACCCCGUCCCGCUCCGAUUAUAUAUAAAUUUAAAUUAAAUUUAAAUUUUAAAAUUAAUUUAAUUUAAUUUUUAUUUUACUAUUUUUAAUAUAUAGAUAAUAAUAAAAUAUUUUUAAUAAAAUAAGUUAUAAAAAAUAUAAUAAUUUAAUUAUUUAUAAAAUAUAUUUAUUUUAAUAUAGUUAAAAAUUUUAAAAGUAAUUUUUUUUAAAAAGGAAAAAUUAAAAUUUUAAAAAAAAGUUAAACGGGCACCCGCCCCGCCCGCCCCACCCCGUCCAGUUUAAUUUUUUAAAUGGGACGGGGAUAGGAAUUGUUUCGAAUAAACGGGGCGGGGUUGGGAUGGGGGCGACCCAUCCCGAACCCGCCCGUUGCCAUCCUGAUGACCUCGCCGAAUUUCACCACCUCCGCAUACACGGUUGACUAUUUAUUUCCUCAAAACGAGCUGAAUGCGAACUAACUAUUGCGUGACCGUUACUCCUAUAAGAAGCGUCUAAGCAAGAACCAUUAUUUGUAUAGACUCAGGCUCACAAAGAUCAACUUCAACUUAUUUUUUGAGAUUCAAAUUCAACUUAAUCACAUGCAUGCAUGCAUCCAUAAUCAAUUAUUGAAUUAAGCAGUCAGAGGUUGAAAACUUUAACAAGUCAGGCAGUGUUUGGUUUUUUUGUUUUUUGUUUUUUGUUUUUUGUUUUUUUUGUUUUUUUGUUUUUUUUAAUCUUAAAUCUAAAUAAAUAUUAAUUUAAUUUAAAUCUAAAUAGUAUUUAAUAAGGUUAAGCAUAAAACUUUUUAAAAAUCAGUUAUUUAACUUAUCAUUUUUUAAAACAAAUUCAUUUUAAUGAAAAAAAAAAACAAAAAAAAUUAUAUCAUGUUGCAAUCAAUGGAAAUCCUUAGAUUUGCAUGGUUCCCAUCAUUCAGUUAAUAACUCAUUCCAUUGAGAACGGAUGUAACGUUUGCUUUAACUACAUGGGUUUCCGUUUUGUCUUUGUCUGUUGGUGGUGACGCUGGUGGGGUUAGCCACCGAUGUUGAUCUUUUCAUACGAAUCAUGUCCAUAUCAUCUUAACGCUUCUUACUAAUUGAUCACAAUUAAUUCCUCAAUUGUUGAAAGAAAAGGUUAGGUGAAAGGAUAAGAAGAUUGUCCAUUUUGAGAAGGAGGGUUAAGCACGGCACUUGGGAGCAGCCUGACAGGUGAAAAUAGAAUAAGAGUUUAGUUUAAACACGAUAAGAGACAUUCAGACAAUUUCAACCAUGAAAUCUCCACCACUGAGCCAUCGAGUUAUGAAGUGGAAAAGGACUGAUGACUUUGAAAAUCUCCAUCAUCAGACCACCUUGUUUGCUCGCUUACUUUUUGAAACUAGACCAGUUUUACAAUUGAAGCUGAAAGCAUACACAUUUUGCAUGGAAAUUAUAAUGUUAAAAGGACAAAUUUUUCAAUGAAAAAUAAUGUUAUGAUGCGAGUAAUCAAUUGCUCUUUUGGUGUCUUGAGGUUACUUAUUUGUUUUUGGCACUAGUCUAGAUUGGGUGGUUUGUCGUCUGAAUGCUGAAUGUAGAAUUUUUCAAACAUUCUCAUUGUUUUGUGGUGUAUAAGAUAAUUGGACCUAAAUAAGAAAAAUUCAAAAUGAAAUAUAAAUCCUCUUUGUCUAGCUUUGUUUUUGGCUCAUUCACAGUUGUUUCCCAUUUUUUUGAAACUUGAGAAUUGAGAUUAUGAAAGACAAGAUGAUUGGCUAAUUUGGUAUUUCAUAAGUUUCAAUACAAAACACAAAAACAUAUUUUGUAAAAUGUUGAAAAUAGAAUACAAAUAUUGGUAAAUAAGGAUAUAUGGGUACUUAGAUUUUAUGGAUAUAUCAUAAAUAUAAAAAAAAUAUUGAUGAAUAUUUUGACAAAAAUAUACGUGAGGCUAAAAUUAUUCAAAAUUUAUGGAAAUAUUUGAAAAUUUUUCAAAAUAAUAAAUAGGUAAAAUACAUAUUUUAAUGUUAUUUUAUAAGUGUAAUUGACAUAGGUAUAAUUAAGAAGAAAGAUAUCCGUAAGCAAAGAUAUAUCAGUCUUAAUAUAUAAUUUAUUAAAUAUUAUAACUUCAUUAUUAUUAUUUUUAUAUUUUAGUAGUUUUUUUAAUAAAUUUAUAAUUUUAAUAUUUUAAAAUAAAGAAGUUCAAUAUUAAAAGGAUAAAAAUAAAAAUUUUAAAAUGAAAUGAUAGUAAUUUUUCAAAAUAGGAUUAAUGAGAUAAAUGAUGAUAUAUUUAAUAUUAUAACUAUAAUUUAUUUAAUUCAAAUGCAUUCAAUAAUGUAAAAUAAAUGAUGAUGCAUAUAUGAUUUUUUUAAUAUUUAUAUGUUUUAUAUUUAAUUAUCAUAUAAAUUAUAUAAAACAAGACUUAUUAAGAAAACUGUAACGUUGGUUUUUAUAUUUUUAUUAAUCAAUUAAAUUAAAUUUAAAAUAAAAUAAUUAGAAUUAUUAUUAUUUUUUUAAUAAUGAACUUUAAGACAUUUAAAUUGAAUAUAUAUUUACAAAAGAGGUGUUGGCCUAGUGGUAGCUAGGUUUUAACUUCAACCCUUUUGGUCGGCUGGACUAUGAGUGGGGCUGUAAAUAUCGUGAGUUUUAAACCAUGAUUGGGACUCAUAGUAUGUUUUUUCUCAACAAAAAGCAGUUUAAAAAUAAUAAUAAUAAAAAAAUAAAUAAUUACAAAUUUUUAAAAAUAAUAAUUUUCAAAACAAAUACACUCUAUAGUUUAUUUGUUGGUAUGUUAUGUAUAUGUUGGUUAGAAUGGUUUUAACCAUCUACAAAAACUAAUAUCUAAAAAAAGAGAAAAAGAAAACCAAAAGUAAAGUAAGAAAUAAUUCAAAUUUCCUUGUUUGGUUUAUUGUACCAUAUGAAAAAAAUAAAAAAAAUAAAAAUUAUUACAUAAAUAAAUUAUGUAAAGAUUUACAUAUUUUAAAAUUAUUUAUAAAUAGAAAAAAUGACAAAUAAAUUUUAGGGUGAAUCAUGUUUGUAUUAUGUAUAAAAUACUAAAAAAGAAAGCGACUUUUAUAAGGAGUGCAUUUCAAGGAAAAUAAUUUCCAUUUCAUGCAUAAAAAUAAUCAUGCAUAAAAAUAAUAAAUUUAUGCAUGUUUCCAAGAAUAUCCUCCAACCAAUUGAAAGUGGACUCCCCCAAAAAAAAAUUUUCUCUCCUUUUUUUUUUUUUUUUCAAAAAACAUCUUUCUCACUUGAAUGGCCCAAUUUCUUGGCCACCUACCUUUUUUCUUUUUUUCCAUACCCACUCCCAGCCGCCCCCUUCCCAUCUUCUCACCGAAUUAAAUUAAGUUUUUUUAUUACAAUUAAAUGAAUUAAGUUUUUUUCUUUUUUGAUACUUUGACUUUAAUUAAUUUUAUAAAAUAAUUCUCCUUUUUUUUUUUUCCUAUUUUUGAAAAUCUACUUAAUUAAAAUAGCAAACUUUAUUUUUUAAAAGUACAAUUCAUUUAUUCAUUAUUAUUAUUAUUUUUAUUUUAACAUCAUUUGUAAUUAAUGCAUUAAAAUAAAUUAGUUUUAAAUAUAAAAAUAUACUCACCUAUAAUAAUUAAUAAUCUAAUAAAUAAAUAAAUACUAAUAUUUUAAAUAAUAUUAAUUUCAAAAAUAUAUAUAGAUAUAUAUAUAUAUAUAUAUAUAUAAUAUUUUAUUUUGUUUGGUUUUCAUAAUAUUUAUAAUUUUCAUAUUAUAGGUCUUUUUUUAUAUUUUUUAUUUUAAAAUUUAUUAUAGAAUAUUAGACCUAAAUUUUUAAAAAAUAACAAUAAAAAAUCACUAUCCACAUAUGUUGAAACCAAAUUUUUUGUUUUCUUCAAAAUUAAAACAGAAAAAUAAUAUAAAAAAAUAUUAACUUACUUUUAAUUUCAUUCAAUAAAAAAUUAGUGAUGAUCAUUCUAUAAGAGUAUUUAAUUUUAAAAGAAAUAUUUGAAGGUAGAUAAAAUUAAAAUUUAAAAUUGUUGGCAUUAAAUUUUUGAAUAUAAAUUCACAAUUCCCAUCAUAAUACAUUGAUAUUUAGAGAGAAAAAAAAAACCAACGUCUUAAAAAGUAUUUUUUUUAAAAAAAUAAAAAAUUUAAACCAUUAAAAUUGUUUUAUUUCAAUAAAUAAUGUCUUUAAAAAGUAUAUUUUAUGCAUUUGUUUGGCAUAUUAUUUAAUAAUUAUUGUCAAAGUCAUAACAAUGACAAAAUAAAACUAAAUAAGCUAGUACAUCGUGCUAUCUACAAUGAUACUUUUAGUUACUAACAUUGUUAUCUUUAGGUAAAAACAAUAUUACUAUUAGGUAAAAACAAUGUUAUUGUUUUCAAUGACAUAUUUGAUGUAAAGGUUGAAAUGGCGAUAGAUAAUAAAUAGUCUAGUACAUCCUUCUAUCUAUAGUGUUACUUUUAGUUACUAGCAUUGUUAUUUUUAGGUAAAAACAAUGUUACUAUAUUCAAUGACAUGUUUGAUGUAGAGGUUGAAGUGAUGAUGGGUAAUGUGACAACUACGUAUGUGGGCCCAAUUAAGUGUACUUGUUAUCUUGCCUUGUAUAGGUGGCAACCCGCCUUCACUUGAUUGGAUGAUAGACUUGAAAAUAUACACAAAGUUACUAUUUUAGUGCAUGAAAUGAGAGUUAUUUUUCCCUAAAAUAUACUUUCCAUGAAAGUGACUUUUUUGGGUUUUGAAUUCAUCCAUAUUUUAUACAAUGUACAUGUUUACAUAAUUCCCCCUAAAUUUUAAGACGUGUAAAAUUUGAUCAAGUUAAUUUAAACUUUUUUUAAUUUUCACUUUCUUCUCAUAUUUUUUCUCACAUUUCCUUUUAAACUUUUGGAAUAAAUUCCCUACUAUUUGUGGAGCAUAAUAUAAUUUUUUCUCCAUAUGAUACAUAUUUAUACAAUAUUUGGUUAAAUUGUUUUGAAUGUUUAUUGUUACCUUAACAAGAAACCAUUCUUGAAAAUAAAGAUUAUUUUUGCCUUAUUUUAACAAAUAUUAUAUUUCUAUUUUUUAAAUAUGAAAAUUAAUAUUUUGAUUUCAAAACAAUCAACCAUUUUCAAAAAAUAUUUAAGAAAAUAGUUUUUCAAUAUAUUAAUUGUGGCACUCUUGAAGAUCAAAGGCACCAUUAUUAUUUCAAUUGUCAAACCCAAAAGUCCAAUAGAAACAUAUUAAAGGAAAAUAUAAUAUAUUAGCAGAUUGGUUAAGUAGACAAAUAAUUAAUAAUGCUGAUAAUGCUAAUGAUUGAUUUUAUGUUACAGGAACAUGGCUCAAAGAAAACCCACUAAAACUAGAACCUUUCAAUUUGGAACCAUAUGUCUGAAUGAAGUGUUGAAUCCAAAUUUGAGGUUUAACUCUUUAUUUUCUCAAAACCCUUUUGAAGAACAUAAGGUUAUUGUAGAUAACUUUUGGUCUCCAAAACCACAAAGUUUUCCAAACCAAAAUUUAGAAUAUGCUUAUGGAAAAAUCGUGUCAACUUUAGCUCAACAUUUACAAAACCUUCAAAACCAACUGAUUGCUUUAGAAACCCAAAAAUUUCAAAACCGUAAAAUCCAAGAAAAUCAGGAAAAAUUGAUAAAUGAUUUGAAAACCAGUACGGUGUCAACUAAUCAAACUAGUUGUUCGAAUAGUCAACCUGAAAUGCUUAGUUUAAUUAAGAAAUCAACUCUUUUGUCUGAAUAAUAUGAAAAACUUGUUAAAAACUUAAUUAGAUCUGAUAACUACUCUUUAGUCGAAACCUUUUUUCUGCAAACCAAAUAUAACAAAGUGUUUAAAAAUUAAGAACUUUUGUAUUAACAUUUUAAAACCAAAAAUGUCGAGAUAAAAAUAGGACCCUCAAUUUUUCUUUGUGAUAUAUUUAGCCUAUGUGAAUAUGUCUAUUGUCAAUAAAGAAAAUUUUGAUUUAGUACCCUAGUUCAUGGAUCUGAGAAUUUUAAAAAAUGUUUUUAUGAACCAUGUAUCUCAAAUCCCUGAAAAUUUCCCAAAAAAAUUAAAAGAUAUUUUAACCCAUUUUUUCAAAACCGAAAAACAAAUAGACAUUUCUUUUGAAACCAUUCCACCUUUAUUUCAAACAGAUGGAUCAGUAGUGCCAGCCUAUCACCAUGUAUAUAUAAAACAAAAUAAAAAAUCACUGAUUCCUCAACAAAAACCAGAAUGGGAAAUGACCCGUCCAAAUGAAUUUCCAAAAUUUUUUACUUGUUUUAGAGCCUUUCAGAUUUAUGAUCUUAGACCAACCCAGAACAAAUUAUUUCAUCUCAUUGGUGAAAAAAAAACCAUGUUCAUACGGAGAAACAAACCUUUAGAACACAUUAUUGUUCUCAAACCUUUUAUUACUUUUGAAGAACAUGAUUUUAUAACCGAACUUAGUGAAAAAAAAAUACCAAAACCAUCUUCCUACCUCAGUGAUGACACAUUAUUUUGGGGAAACCUGGACGAUGAAAGUUAUUAUAAUAUGCAAAAUGCAAUGGAAGGAUGAUGUCAACAAUGAUGAUAUUGAAGUAGUAAAUGCGUCUCCAACUAUAAGAAUUUAAUGUAGCAGUAGAAGCUCAAAACCAAUAAAGAAACCCAAAAAUUUCAAAACCGUAAAAUCCAAGAAAAUCAGGAAAAACUGAUAAAUGAUUUGAAAACCAGUACGAUGUCAGCUAAUCAAACUAGUUGUUCGAAUAGUCAACCUGAAAUGCUUAGUUUAAGUAAGAAAUCAACUCUUCUGUCUGAAUAAUAUGAAAAACUUGUUAAAAACUUAAUUAGAGCUGAUAACUACUCUUUAGUCGAAACCUUUUUUUUGCAAACCCAAUAUAACAAAGUAUUUAAAAAUCAAGAACUUUGUAUAAAUAUUUUAAAACAAAAAAUGUUGAGAUAAAAAUAGGGUAUAUGCCAUAUCAUGACCUUGAAUUUUUCUUUAUGAUAUAUUUGACCUAUGUGAAUAUGUCUAUUGUAAAUAAAGGAAAUUUUGAUUUAAUACCCCAAUUCAUGGAUCAGGGAAUUUAAAAAAAAAAUUGUUUUAUGGACCAUGUAUCUCAAAUCCUUGAAAAUUUCCCAGAAAAAUUAAAAGAUAUUUUAACCUAUCUUUUCAAAACUGAAAAACAGAUAGACAUUUCUUUUGAAACCAUUCCACUUUUAUUUCAAAUCAAUGGAUCAGUAGUGCGAGCCUAUCACCAUGUAUAUAUAAAACAUAAUAAAUAACCACUGAUCCUCAACAAAAACCAGAAUGGGAAAUGACUCUUCCAAAUGAAUUUCAAGAAUUUUUUACUCGUUUUAGAAUCCUUCAGAUUUAUGAUCUUAGACCAACCCAGAACAAAUUAUUUCAUCUCAUUGGUGAAAAAAAAACCAUGUUCAUACGGAGAAACAAACCUUUAGAACACAUUAUUGUUCUCAAACCUUUUAUUACUUUUGAAGAACAUGAUUUUAUAACCGAACUUAGUGAAAAAAAAAUACCAAAACCAUCUUCCUACCUCAGUGAUGACACAUUAUUUUGGGGAAACCUGGACGAUGAAAGUUAUUAUAAUAUGCAAAAUGCAAUGGAAGGAUGAUGUCAACAAUGAUGAUAUUGAAGUAGUAAAUGCGUCUCCAACUAUAAGAAUUUAAUGUAGCAGUAGAAGCUCAAAACCAAUAAAGAAACCCAAAAAUUUCAAAACCGUAAAAUCCAAGAAAAUCAGGAAAAACUGAUAAAUGAUUUGAAAACCAGUACGAUGUCAGCUAAUUAAACUAGUUGUUCGAAUAGUCAACCUGAAAUGCUUAGUUUAAGUAAGAAAUCAACUCUUCUGUCUGAAUAAUAUGAAAAACUUGUUAAAAACUUAAUUAGAGCUGAUAACUACUCUUUAGUCGAAACCUUUUUUUUGCAAACCCAAUAUAACAAAGUAUUUAAAAAUCAAGAACUUUGUAUAAAUAUUUUAAAACAAAAAAUGUUGAGAUAAAAAUAGGGUAUAUGCCAUAUCAUGACCUUGAAUUUUUCUUUAUGAUAUAUUUGACCUAUGUGAACAUGUCUAUUGUAAAUAAAGGAAAUUUUGAUUUAAUACCCCAAUUCAUGGAUCAGGGAAUUUAAAAAAAAAAUUGUUUUAUGGACCAUGAAUCUCAAAUCCUUGAAAAUUUCCCAAAAAAAUUAAAAGAUAUUUUAACCUAUCUUUUCAAAACUGAAAAACAGAUAGACAUUUCUUUUGAAACCAUUCCACUUUUAUUUCAAAUCAAUGGAUCAGUAGUGCGAGCCUAUCACCAUGUAUAUAUAAAACAUAAUAAAUAACCACUGAUCCUCAACAAAAACCAGAAUGGGAAAUGACUCUUCCAAAUGAAUUUCAAGAAUUUUUUACUCGUUUUAGAAUCCUUCAGAUUUAUGAUCUUAGACCAACCCAGAACAAAUUAUUUCAUCUCAUUGGUGAAAAAAAAACCAUGUUCAUACGGAGAAACAAACCUUUAGAACACAUUAUUGUUCUCAAACCUUUUAUUACUUUUGAAGAACAUGAUUUUAUAACCGAACUUAGUGAAAAAAAAAAUACCAAAACCAUCUUCCUACCUCAGUGAUGACACAUUAUUUUGGGGAAACCUGGACGAUGAAAGUUAUUAUAAUAUGCAAAAUGCAAUGGAAGGAUGAUGUCAACAAUGAUGAUAUUGAAGUAGUAAAUGCGUCUCCAACUAUAAGAAUUUAAUGUAGCAGUAGAAGCUCAAAACAAAUAAAGAAACCCAAAAAUUUCAAAAUCGUAAAAUCCAAGAAAAUCAGGAAAAACUGAUAAAUGAUUUGAAAACCAGUACGAUGUCAGCUAAUCAAACUAGUUGUUCGAAUAGUCAACCUGAAAUGCUUAGUUUAAGUAAGAAAUCAACUCUUCUGUCUGAAUAAUAUGAAAAACUUGUUAAAAACUUAAUUAGAGCUGAUAACUACUCUUUAGUCGAAACCUUUUUUUUGCAAACCCAAUAUAACAAAGUAUUUAAAAAUCAAGAACUUUGUAUAAAUAUUUUAAAACAAAAAAUGUUGAGAUAAAAAUAGGGUAUAUGCCAUAUCAUGACCUUGAAUUUUUCUUUAUGAUAUAUUUGACCUAUGUGAACAUGUCUAUUGUAAAUAAAGGAAAUUUUGAUUUAAUACCCCAAUUCAUGGAUCAGGGAAUUUAAAAAAAAAAUUGUUUUAUGGACCAUGUAUCUCAAAUCCUUGAAAAUUUCCCAAAAAAAUUAAAAGAUAUUUUAACCUAUCUUUUCAAAACUGAAAAACAGAUAGACAUUUCUUUUGAAACCAUUCCACUUUUAUUUCAAAUCAAUGGAUCAGUAGUGCGAGCCUAUCACCAUGUAUAUAUAAAACAUAAUAAAUAACCACUGAUCCUCAACAAAAACCAGAAUGGGAAAUGACUCUUCCAAAUGAAUUUCAAGAAUUUUUUACUCGUUUUAGAAUCCUUCAGAUUUAUGAUCUUAGACCAACCCACAACAAAUUAUUUCAUCUCAUUGGUGAAACAAAAACCAUGUCCAUAUGGAGAAAUAAACCUUUAGAACACAUCAUGGUUCCAAAUCCUUUUAUUAUUUCUGAAGAACAAGAUUUUAUAACCGAACUUAGUGUGAAAAUACCAGAAUCAUCUUCCGACCACAACGAUGACGCAUUAUUUUGGGAAAACCUAGACGAUGAAAGUUAUUAUAAUAUGGAAAAUGCAAUGGAAGGAUGAUGUUUUCCAUGAUGACAUUGAAGUAGUAAAUGCGUCUCUAACUACAAGAAUUUAAUGUAGUAGUAGAAGCUCAAAACCAAUAAAGUCAUGUAUAAGCCACGUAUUCUGCUUGUGAUAGAAAAAAAAGAAAGAGACAAGGAAGAAGUGACCAGAUGGAUUGUAAAAGAAGAAACAGAAGUCAAAUCUCAUACCACCUAUCAACUGCCCUAACAACUUGAAUUAAAUUUCACUUGUCAUUUGUAAAUCUUCUGUCUAUAAAUAAGUCAUAUAGGAAGAAAGAAGUGUGUGAAAAAAAUAAAAGUAAGAGUGAAGUAAGUGUGAACAAUCAGAGUUGUGUCUUUAGCCUUAUAAAUUUCUAUGAUCAUCAAUAAGAAAGUAAGAUAUUUCUGUUAAAUUUCUAUUCUUAUUUUAUUUCUAUUUUAUUUUAUUUUGUGUCUUUUUUUCUUACCCUUAGGGGGUAAAAGGGGUAAAAAGAUAAAGUAGGGAAAUGAAAAUUAUUUGAAAGUUUAGUUUUAUUUUACUAGUUAAUAUCUAUAAUAUACAUAGAUCAUUUAUAUAUAAUGUUUCCAUCAAUAAAAAAAAUGAUCGGGUUAUUUAGAAAGUUUUGGGUAUAAAAUCAGGUUUUAAAACUAGAGUCUUUAUUCUUAAUCCUUAACCUGUAACCCAUUUUUGCCAAAAAAAUUGGCAUGUUAGGGAGACUUUGUCUGGUUGAAAGGGGCGUAUCACCUUGACAUGAAGUGAUGUUUUAAAAUUUUGAGUUUAUUCUUUAAACUUUUGAAAUAGCCGAUCUUUAAACUUUUGAAAUAGCCGAUCUUCAAACACUUAACUUUAAUGUUAUAAAUGCUUUCACACUAUAAACUGAAAGUUUUAAUUUAAAUAUACAUUAUAAUAAUAUGUAAUAAAUGGUUUCACACUGUAUUUGAAAGUUUUUAUUUUAAAAUAAUAUAUUAUUGUAAUAUAUAUUUAAAUUAAAACUUUCAGUUUAUAGUGUGAAAACAUUUAUAACAUGAAAGUUAAGUUUUUGAAGAUCGACUAUUUCAAAAGUUUAACUUUCAUGUUAUGAAAUCUUUCACACUAUAAACUGAAAGUUUUAAUUUAAAUAUAUAUUAUAAUAAUAUGUAAUAAAUGGUUUUACAAUGUAUUUGAAAGUUUUUAUUUUAAAAUAAUAAGUAUAAUAAAUGCAUUCACACUGGUUUUGGUUUUAAAACUUUCAUUUUGAACGAAAAUUUCAAGGUUCCUACCAUUACCUUGACUGUGAAUAGAAAACUAUGGAUGUUGAUGGGAAAAGUUGCUCUUGUUUGAUAUGGUCGUUUUCUAUAAAAGGUUUUUGAUUUUCUUCUUAAAAAUUAAUUAUAGUUCUUGGGUUUUCUAUUUUGAUUUUCUUCUUAAAAAUUAAUUAUAGUUCUUGGGUUUUCUAAACUUAUACUCUCUACAUCCUAUGUCUAAAUUUUCUCCUAUAUGUAAUUUUCUACGAAGUUGUUGAUUUAUAUCUUGUUUCUUUAUUUGGCUUCUUUCUCCUAUACUUACACAUUCUCUUUCUAACCAAUUUUUUACAAAUUCUAUUCUAGCACCUAUAUAAGGAGAGUUUUAUUAUUCGGAGGUUGAAAAUUUAUUCCAUAGUCUAAGUCCUACAUGUCCUUGUAUUUUUAAGAUAUAUUUAUUUAAAUAUUCAGGGGUUCUAAUAACUAUUGAUGUACUAAAAGUUAUUAUUUGUAAGAACAAAAUCAUAAAUUAUACCUUAAAAUAGUGACUAUUGUAGCUACUAACUUGUAAAGGAGUUUUUAUACUUGAAUUCAUUUUGUAAUAAUUUUUUUUUUAAAAUAUAGUUAUAAAAGUAAUUGAAAUAUAUCAUAAAUUACUAUAUAAUUUACCUUUAUAGUGUUUUAUUGUGUUUGAUAUUUUUGUUUAAAAUACAAGAGAAAGAUAAAGAAAAAAAGAAAAGAAUGUAGAAUUUUUAUUUUAUUGAUGUUGGUUCAAGUAUUACAUUUCAACAUUAUUCCAAUGUUUUCUCUUAAUUAUACUUUUAUUUUAGUCACGUUUCAAAUUUUUUACUUUGAUCCGUUAAUCUAGAAUUAAAUUUAUGCUAGCUAUGAAUAAACUAUAGGCCUCUAAUUUGUUGUCAUUCAACAUCAGGCUUGUUUAAGAGUGGCAAAAUUUGAUACGAUUCGUCAAUAAGACUUGAAUUUAACACGCUUUUCAUGGAUACUUUGUAAAGAUUUCUAAAUUACAAAUUCUUGUGACUAGGUUUGAAAAUAUUAGGACGCAUAAAAAUCAAAAUUUUUCUUCCUUUUAUUUUGAAUUAAGUGAUAUUGUAAAUUCUUCAUUUAAACUUAGAGAACUUAUUCCUAAUUCUAAGGUAGUUAGGAAAAUAUUAAGAUCUUUUCCAGAGAAAUUUAGACCUAAAGAAACUGCCAUAGGGGAAAGUAAGGACAUUGAUUCCAUGAGUUGAUGAACUUGUAGGCUCCAUUCAAAUUAAUUUGCUUUUAGAUUUCAGAUUGAUUGUCUUUUUUUUUUUUUCUAAAAAAAAAACUUAAAUUUUUUUUUUUAAUUGACUAAAAAAGUCAAAAUAUUUAAUUUUUUUUUAAUGAUAAAAGUAACAUAUUGAUUUUUCGUCUAAGUGGUACAACCUAGAUGGAUGGCAUUGGAGAUAUGUUUGAAGUGAGUUUGAAAUGUUGGGCUAUGUCUGUCUAGCCCAUGAACCCAUAUAUUUGACUAUUUUAUAUUUGGAUAUUCCCUAAGCCCAAAUAUGGAUAUAUAAAUAGCAUUAGGGCUUUGGUAUUAUGAGAGAAGGGCAUUUGAUUGAGAAAAGGAAAGAAGAUCAUGGUUUAUUUUCUAGGCACUAUUUUAGGGCUCAAGGGUGAAGUUAUAGAUUCCUUUCAUCAACCUUUUAGGGAAUUCCUAUGGUGUGUUUUCUUCUUAUUUCUUUUUGUUCAUGUUUCCUUGGGUGAUGGAUUCUCACCUCAAGUAUUUAGAUAUUUAUAUAAGUUCUCAAGGAGAAGAAACCUAAGGACUUAAUUAUUGUAUCCCCAUUUAUUGAAGUGGAAGAAAUUUUCUCCAUGGUUUUUUUACCUCCAUUUAAAGGGUUUUUCUAGGUUAUAUUUGGUGUCCUCUUUUUGGUUUAAUGUUCUUGAUUACCAUUCUUGAUUCUUGUUAGGUUGUUAUUAUUCUUGAGAAGGUGGCUAUUAUUGUUGAGUGAUUGUUAUUAUUGUGGAGGAAUCUUUUAAUAUUAAUAGGUUAAUACUCUAGAUCUCUCCCUUUAUCUUCCCAACAAGUGGUAUUAGAGCCUGGUUGUGGGAACUUUUAUUCUUUAAAGGGAUGAAAAUAGAAGGGAACUCAACCUCCAUGAUAAAACUUAACAAUUCAAAUUGGGUUAUAUGAAAGUCCAUAAUGGAAGAUUUUCUCACCAUCAAAGAUUUGUUGGAUACUCUUGAGGCUGAAGAAUCUAGGCCCGAAGAUAUUUCUUAUUUGGAAUGGAAUAAGAUAAAGAAAAAGAUAAUUGCCUCUAUUAGGCAAUGGAUCGACACAUCCUCACGUCAUCAUGUGGCAAAUGAAAUAAAUGCCUAUAAUCUCUGGAAGAAAUUGAAAUCAGUGUUUGAACAAAAAACUAUUGGGAAUAAAAUUUUCUUGUUAAAGAGUUAGUGAAUAUGAAGUUGAAGGAAGAAACACUAAUGAUAGAUCACUUGAAUGCUUUUCAGAGCAUUGUUAAUCAAUUGGAUGCUAUGAAAAUGGUUAUGGAUGAUGAGAUGCAAGCAUUUUUAUUAUUGUGUUCAUUACCAGACAAUUAGGAAACUUUUGUUGUGACUAUUAACAACUCUGUUUCGAAUGGUACAUUAUGUAUGGAGCUUGUGAAGGGAAAUUUGUUCAAUGAAAAAACAAGAAGAAAAGGCUUACGAGACAGAAAAUGCACAGACCCUCAUCAUAGAAAGUAAAGGAGGAAAUAGGAAUAGAUGAGAGAAAUGUUAUAUCAAAUUUGAGGGAAGGUCCCAAUCCAGAGAUAAAAUCAAAUGUUUCCUUUGUGGAAAAGAAGAGCAUAUGAAAAGAAAUUGUCGAAUUUGGAAAAGGGAACAUAAUAAGCAGAAUUAGGGAAAAGAAGAUGACAAGAAUACCAUAGCCUUUGUAUCAAACACUAAUGAAGUUUUAAUGCUCUCAGAUGAGUGUUUUCAUGUAGAUGAGUAAAGAGUUGAGUGGAUUAUAGACAUCGCAACCUCCUACGAUGCUAUUCCUCACUUGAAGUUGUUUUCUUGUUAUAGAGUUGGAGACUUUGGCACAGUCAAGAUGGGAAACUUUUGUCACUCCAAGAUUGUAGGGAUGGGUGAUGUUUUCUUUGAAACUAACAUAGGGUGCAAGUUGAAAUUGAAAUAUAUAAGGCAUGUUCUAGAUUUACACCUUAAUUUAAUAUCCGGUUUUGCCUUGGACAAGCAAGGUUAUGAAAACCACUUUGACAAAGGCAAAUGGAAGCUCACUAAGGGCUCAUUGGUUGUUGCAAAAGGAGAAUCAUGUUGCACUUUGUACAAAACCCAAGGAAAAGUUUGUAAUAAUGAGUUACAUGCUACAAAGGGUACUUCCUUGGAGUUGUGGCAUAAAAGGUUGGGGCAUAUGAGAGAGAAAAGAUUGCAAGUUUUGGCAAGGAAGUCCUUAAUUCCCUUGGCCAUAAAUGAAUCCUUGUCUUAUUGUGAUCAUUGUUUGGUUAGAAAACAACAUAGGGUUUCCUUUAGUAGCAGAUCUAAGAAGAAGCUAAAGAAAUCAGAGUUGGUAUACUCUGAUGUUUGUGGCCCCAUGGAUGUGGAAACUCUUGGAGGAAACAUUUACUUUGUCACUUUUAUUGAUGAUGCUACCAAGAAGGUAUGGAUUUAUUUUCUUAGAUAAAAAAAAUCAAGUCAUUCAGUAUUUUCUAUAGUUUCAUGUCAUGGUUGACAGAAAAACUAGAAGGAAAUUGAAGUGUCUCGGAUCAAUAAUGGAGGUGAGUACACCUCAAGGGAGUUUGAAACUUACAGCACUAAGAAUGGUAUUUGGCAUGAUAAAAUUGUUCAUAGCACUCCAUAACAUAAUGGUGUGGUUGAAAUGAUGAAUUGCACCAUCAUUGAGAGGAUUAAGUGUAUGCUAAAGACUACAAGGUUGUCUAAGGCAUUUUGGGGUGAAGCUACUCAGACUGCCUGGUAUUUGAUAAAUAGAUCUCCAUUAGGUCCAUUAAACUUUGAGGUUCCAGAGAAGGAAUGGACAGAAAAAUAUGUUUCUUAUUCCCACUUGAGGGUCUUUGGAUGUAAAUGUUUUGUGCAUGUUCCCAAAGAACAGAGAUCCAAACUUGAUGAUAAGGCAGUUCCACAUGUCUUUAUUGGGUAUGGUGAUGAAAAGUUUGGAUUCAGAUUGUGGGAUCUAACCAAGAAGAAAUUGGUGAGAAGUAAAGAUGUGGUCUUCCAAGAUGAUCAAACCUUGGGAGAUUUUAACAAAGCUAAUUAAUCUAAAGGUACAAGUGAUGACUUCAUUGAGUUGAUACCUAUUCUUCUAUCAUUAGAGUUAGAAUUUAUAGGAUUAGUUCAUCCAAAAAUAAAAUUGGGCCUUAGUGGGAGCCCAACAUCCAUGAUAUUUUCCUUCAUAAUAACCCAAGUGAAAUGCAUGUUAGGUAUUUAUUGAAUUUGAUCUGAUUCAUGAAGUGUGCGAGAUUAUUUGCUAUGGUACACUAACCUUUUUCCUUUGAGGCACUUUUCUUGUUGCAGAGGUAUGCUCUUAUCUCUACCUUGUCUAUUUAUUUAUUCCUCAUUAUCAUGCAUGAUUUGUUUUAGUCCAUGACUCUUGCUCCUUGGUAUCCAACAAUUAACUGGUCAAUUGUCAUACUUGCUUUAACUUGAUUAGUAGAAACCUGAUUUUAGGGCUUAGAGGAGUGCAAUGACUUAUCACCGUACCUUCUUGAUAGGUAACUUGACCCCUGUAUCCUAACUCGAUUUUCACAAACUUGUUUUUCCCUUAUAAGAGUCACAAUUAGGUUUUCUUUCUUAUUUUGUUUUCAUUUAUUAAAAAUAAUAAAAAAUAACUGGUGACUCCAAGCUUUUUCCUAAAAAUCAAAAUUUUCACAAAUAAAAAGCAAGUCAUGGUAUCGAGUGGAAAUGCAUGUGAAAAAUGUGAGUCCACAAGAUCUUAUACUGGGGCAUAUUUCCUGACUUUGAGCUUAUAUUCAUAUCAUAUUCAAUUGGGGCUUCAUUAGGGACAUGCUUCUAUUCUUGAGACUAUCAAACCUCUUGUCAUUUUGGUCAUCCUUUUGAGAUUUUAUUUGGAGUAUUUCCUUUCAGACAUGGACAAAUUUAAAUUUUGAGUUCUUAGUGCAUUAUCAUUAAGUUGGAGACAUCAUGAUAUAGUUUCUUUAGGAGCAUUUUUAUCCAAUCAAAUAAGUGAGGAUGUUUAUGCUUUCAGUGUAGUUGAUGAGUUUAGUUUCUUCUCAUAAACAAAUUUUCUUGAGCGAUAUGUUGAUAUCUCGUUAGGGAGUUUAGGUUGAUGUCAUCUUGUGGCAUUCCUUUUAUUUCAAUUUCAUUUGUUGCAUUCUUAUCUUUGAGUAUCCUUUUGGGCAUACCCUUUUCUUUUCAAUGAGUUGAUCGUUUAUAUUUUUAGUCACCCUUUAGUAGUUCAACUUGCAGUCACAAAUCAUGAUUUCCUUUAGGCAUUUAUAACCCACAACUCGAAGCUAUUCAUUUUAUUUCAAUUCAGAGUUUAUUAUAUUCCAAUUUUCAUUUACAUCAUUCCUUCAUUCUAGUUUCGUUUGUAGCAUUCCUUUCUGAUUACUACUCAAAACAUGCUAUUUUGUAGCUUGUAAUUAGCUCUUUUAAACACCAUUGAGUAGUAAUUAUUACCUUUUAACCCAAUUAGCAUGUUAGGAGCCCUUGCAAUCGUUUCUAACAAUUGUGUUAAGUUUUGGUGCUUUUUGAUAGCUUUAUGCUCACCAAAGCAAUUUAAGAAUGAGGGAGAGCUAUUUAUAGUUCAGGGCAAAGCUUUUGAAAGCUUAAAUUUAUGAAGAAAUCAAGCUAUGGAGCCUCAUAAUCCUUUGCCUUAGUGGUUCAAAGUAUACAAGGAAGAAACAAUGGAGAAGAGGAAAACAGGGGAUGAAAACAGGGGACACAGCUGCAGUCUUUCAUUGCACUUUUGGAGCACUUCCCGAAGUCCAUUUUUUACAUUCUAUAUACCAUUUCAAAGCUCAGAAAGUCAAGAAUCCAACGGUUCAAACCAUGUAUGAUUUGGAGCUGAAAUGAGAAAGAUAUGGCCUUCGGAAGACAACUGCAUCAGGCUGAGCGAAAAUUUCGCACGAUGGAAAUCAAGGUGCGAAAUCCUCAGUCCACUGUGCGAAAAUUUCGCACACCUCAAACCAAAGUGCGAAAUUGGAACUCAGCGUGCGAAAAUUGGAUAUUUUUGCCGACUCUUUUUCUUCUGAUAUUUUUGUGUCUAAAUUUCCAUUUUCUCCUUGUAUUCAACCACUCAUGUAAUUCCUUAACUAGGAAGUAUCCAAGGAAGGGUAAAAUUACCUUCCUAUAUAAAUUCUCUUGUAAUCACUGAAAAUGGAUCUUUUCGGGGAGCUUUCUCCAGGAGACCAACUUAUGUAACUUUGUUAUAUAGAGAUCUCUUUUGUUUAUCUUCUCUCUUCUAUUUUCUAUUUUCUUGCAAACCAAACACCCUCUGAGGAUGUUUUCCCAGAGGAUGAGAGGCUAAACCAAAAGUUUCUUGGAGUAAAGGAAGCUAGGUGAAAGUCCAGAUUAAAAGGUGGAAAAUUUCCGUGCAUUAAAUUCAGGUAGUUGGAGUCCAUAAAUGGUUUCUAAAUUCAAAGUUUUGCUUUAAAUCCCUUAGGAUCACUUUGACUGGCCAAUACAUGGUAAGCUUAAGGUCUCUGUGGAUGCUUAUUGCUAGAUCCAUAUCAGUCCAUUAGUUAUCAUGUACGAGCCAUUGGAAAGUGAUUCAAGGUGAUAGCCCAUAGUGUCUUAAGCCAUUAAUGGACCUUGACUACCAUCUCUAGUGACUUUUUAUGGAUUAAAACUUCAUUGUCAAACCUAUACCGGUUCGGGAAAUAACUAUAGGUUAAAUCCCCAAUGCGAGGAGAAAAAUCCGGAAUUUUCCACUUUGCAUCUGGUACUUGAACCUAGCAACCUUUAGCUCCGGGAGACUUUCUUUUUUCCACUUUUUACUUAGUUCUAUGUGAGUUUAGUUUAAAUCACCACUUUCAAAACAAUUUUAGUUUCUUUUAAAUUUCAAGUUUGUGCUAAAGGAAAUCAUCAGAAUCAAUUUCUAAUUUAGAGUCUGUCACUGAUAGAGUGAAAACCCAUCCCUGAGUUCGACCCUAGAACUGCUAUACUAUAGUAGCUUUGCUACGCCAGUAUAAGGUCAUAGGUUUUAUAAAUAUUUUUUAUUAAAAGACCUGACUGGGAAUACAAGCGAAUCAAAUGGCGCCGUUGCCGGGGAUGGUGCCACAAUACAGUGAUACAACCUUUUAGAGGCUACUUGUGAUUUCCAUCACAAGUUUGGUGAAUUCCUUUUUCACUAAUUUCAUUUUCUUUCAUUUUCUUUUUGUUAAUUUUAAUUUCAUUUUCUUUCUAACCUUAAUAAUUUUUUUUUUCUCUAGAUUCCUUUUGUUUUUGUUGUUUUUGUCUUAUUUUAGGUAAGUAGUAACUUGUGCAUGCCCUAUUGGAUUAGGGACCAAGAGGGAAGAUUAGUAAGGAUUGAGAAUCCUCAAGACACAGAGUUGGAUAUCUGUGUAAAUAUCAUGGACCCUCCACCAGAGGAUCAGAAUUCUCAACAAGGUCAAGGGGGUAAUCCCAAUGCAUACCUAUCCAUGAGGGAUAGAAUGCAUCCCCCAAGGAUGAGUGCACCCUCAUGCAUCCUGCCCCCUCUUGAGCAGUUAGUUAUAAGACCCCAUAUUGUGCCCCUCCUACCAAAUUUCCAUGGAAUGGAGAGUGAGAAUCCAUAUGCUCACAUCAAGGAGUUUGAGGAGGUUUGCAAUACCUUUAGAGAGGGAGGAGCUUCAAUAGACUUGAUGAGACUCAAGCUAUUCCCUUUUACUUUGAAGGAUAAGGCAAAAAUAUGGCUUAAUUCUUUAAGGCCAAGGAGCAUAAGGAAUUGGGUUGAUCUUCAAGCUGAAUUUUUGAAGAAAUAUUUCCCCACCCAUAGGACUAAUGGGUUGAAGAGACAAAUCUCAAACUUUUCUGCAAAAGAAAAUGAGAAGUUCCAUGAGUGUUGGGAAAGGUAUAUGGAAUCCAUCAAUGCUUGUCCUCAUCAUGGUUUUGAUACAUGGCUCUUAGUGAGCUAUUUUUAUGAUGGAAUGUCUUCUUCCAUGAAGCAAAUUCUUGAGACCAUGUGUGGGGGAGAUUUUAUGAGUAAGAAUCCUGAUGAAGCCAUGGACUUUUUAAGUUAUGUGGCUGAGGUGUCAAGAGGAUGGGAUGAGCCCAACUCAAGAGAGAAAGGAAAGUUUCCCUCUCAACAAACCCAAAAUCCAAAGGCUGGAAUGUACAUGUUGAGUGAAGACGUGGACAUGAAAGCUAAAGUGGCAACAUUAGCUAGGAGGUUGGAAGAACUUGAGUUGAAAAAGAUGCAUGAAGUCCAAGCUAUUUCCGAGACUCAAGCCCGUGCCAUGCCAUGCACCAUUUGCCAAUCAUGUGAUCAUGUGGUAGAUGAGUGUCCAACCAUGCCAGCUGUGAGAGAGAUGUUAGGUGAUCAAGUGAAUGUUGUGGGGCAAUUUAGGCCCAACAACAGUGCAUCCUAUGGUAACACCUAUAAUUCAAGCUGGAGAAACCACCCAAAUUUCUCUUGGAAACCAAGACCACCUCCAUACCAACCACAAGGCCAAACACAAGCACCUCAACAACCAUCUUCAGUGGAGCAAGCCAUUGCAAACCUAAGUAAAGUCAUGAAUGACUUUGUGGGUGAACAAAGGGCAAUCAACUCCCAAUUGCACCAAAAGAUUGAGAAUGUUGAGAGUUCUCUAAAUAAGAGAAUGGAUGGGAUGCAAAAUGAUCUAUAUCAUAAGAUAGAUAAUAUUCAGUACUCCAUCUCUAGACUUACCAACCUCAACACAGUGAAUGAGAAAGGAAAAUUCCCCUCUCAACCAAGCCAAAAUCCUAAGGGUGUUCAUGAAGUUGAAACCCAAGAGGGGGAUUCUUCAAAGUUGAGGGAGGUCAAAGCUGUGAUAACCUUGAGGAGUGGAAAAGAGGUUGAUCAGCCCUUGCCUAACUUGGGGCCUGAUGAAGAACUCAGAUCAAAGGGACCCUUGAUUAAAGAGGGCAAAAACCAAGAAGAGCAGAGUGGGAAGAAAAGUGCAUCCAAAUCAAGCAUUGAAGAAGAACCAAGGAUAGUGAUUAAGGAGGAUAUGAUGAAGAAACAUAUGUCUCCCCCUUUUCCUCAAGCUUUACAUGGAAAGAAAGAAAUCAAGAAUUCAUCAGAAAUUCUUGAAGUGCUGAGGCAAGUGAAGGUGAAUAUGCCUUUACUUGAUAUGAUCAAGCAAGUCCCCACAUAUGCAAAGUUUCUAAAGGACUUGUGCACAGUCAAGAGAGGUUUACAGGUGACAAAGAAUGCAUUCCUCACUGAGCAAGUGAGUGCUAUCAUUCAGAGUAAGUCCCCAGUUAAGUAUAAAGAUCCGGGAUGUCCCACCAUAUCAGUCAACAUUGGAGGGACACAUGUGGAAAAAGCUUUACUAGACUUGGGAGCAAGUGUGAAUUUGCUCUCAUACUCUGUGUAUAAGCAACUGGGACUAGGAGGAUUAAAGCCCACAACCAUGACCCUCUCUUUAGCUGAUAGGUCUGUCAAAAUCCCAAGGGGAGUGAUAGAGGAUGUUCUAGUUCAAGUGGACAAAUUCUACUAUCCUGUGGAUUUUGUGGUGCUUGAUACUGAUUCCUCUGUCAAGGAAGAAAAUUAUGUACCAAUCAUCCUAGGGAGACCUUUCCUUGCUACCUCCAAUGCUAUUGUUAAUUGUAGGACUGGGGUGAUGCAGCUCACAUUUGGAAAUAUGACAUUGGAAUUAAACAUAUUCCACUUAUGUAAGAGGCAUCUUUACCCUGAAGAGGAGGAAGGAUUUGAGGAGGUGUGCUUGAUCAACACUUUGGUUGAAGAGCACUGUGACAAGAGUUUAGAGGAGAGCUUGAAUGAAAACCUGGAAGUCCUUGAAGAUGGGUUCCCUGAACCCUCUGAUGUGCUAGCCAUUAUGUCUCCUUGGAGGAGACGGGAAGAGAUCUUACCACUGUUCAACCAGGAAGACUCACAAGGAGUUGCUGUGGAGAACCCUCCAAAGCUUAUUUUAAAACCACUUCCUCUGGAGUUGAAAUAUGCAUACUUGGAGGAUGAUGAGAAAUGUCCAGUGGUAGUUUCCUCAACCCUCACUAGUGAUCAAGAGGAUAGUCUUUUAGGAGUCCUCAGAAAAUGUAAGAAAGCCAUUGGAUGGCAAAUUUCUGAUCUGAAAGGGAUUAGCCCUUUGGUGUGCACCCAUCAUAUUUAUAUGGAGGAUGAUGCAAAACCAGUGAGGCAACCCCAAAGGAGACUGAAUCCUCACAUGCAAGAGGUGGUGAGGAGUGAUGUUUUGAAGCUACUUCAAGCUGGGAUCAUAUAUCCCAUUUCAGACAGCUUGUGGGUGAGUCCCACCCAAGUAGUCCCAAAGAAAUCUGGAAUCACUGUGAUCCAGAAUGAGAGAGGGGAGGAAGUCUCUACACGUCCUACCUCAGGAUGGAGGGUGUGUAUAGACUAUAGAAGGUUGAAUUCAAUGACUAGGAAGGACCAUUUUCCAUUGCCUUUCAUGGACCAAGUCCUUGAGAGAGUCUUAGGACAUCCUUUCUAUUGUUUUCUAGAUGGUUAUUCAGGGUACUUCCAAAUAGAAAUUGAUUUGGAAGAUCAAGAAAAGACAACCUUCACUUGUCCCUUUGGUACUUUUGCUUAUAGGAGAAUGCCCUUUGGUCUAUGUAAUGCUCCUGCAACUUUCCAAAGAUGCAUGCUAAGCAUCUUCAGUGACAUGGUCGAACGCAUCAUGGAAGUUUUCAUGGAUGACAUCACUGUAUAUGGAAGUUCUUAUGAGGAGUGUUUGAUGCAUUUAGAAGCUGUUCUCCAUAGAUGUAUUGAGAAAGACCUAGUGCUAAAUUGGGAGAAGUGCCAUUUUAUGGUACAAAAAGGAAUUGUCUUAGGACAUAUCAUCUCCAAAAAUGGCAUUGAGGUAGAUAAGGCAAAGGUGGAACUUAUUGUUAAGUUGCCACCUCCCACAAAUGUUAAAGGAAUUAGGCAAUUCCUUGGACAUGCAGGAUUCUNNNNNNNNNNNNNNNNNNNNNNNNNNNNNNNNNNNNNNNNNNNNNNNNNNNNNNNNNNNNNNNNNNNNNNNNNNNNNNNNNNNNNNNNNNNNNNNNNNNNNNNNNNNNNNNNNNNNNNNNNNNNNNNNNNNNNNNNNNNNNNNNNNNNNNNNNNNNNNNNNNNNNNNNNNNNNNNNNNNNNNNNNNNNNNNNNNNNNNNNNNNNNNNNNNNNNNNNNNNNNNNNNNNNNNNNNNNNNNNNNNNNNNNNNNNNNNNNNNNNNNNNNNNNNNNNNNNNNNNNNNNNNNNNNNNNNNNNNNNNNNNNNNNNNNNNNNNNNNNNNNNNNNNNNNNNNNNNNNNNNNNNNNNNNNNNNNNNNNNNNNNNNNNNNNNNNNNNNNNNNNNNNNNNNNNNNNNNNNNNNNNNNNNNNNNNNNNNNNNNNNNNNNNNNNNNUUUGGUAGGGUCCUCUAUAGUAGUGUUCACUGACCAUCUGCUUUGAAGUACUUGCUAACCAAGCAGGAUGCCAAGGCAAGAUUGAUAAGAUGGAUUCUUUUGCUCCAAGAAUUCAAUCUCCAAAUCAGGGAUAAAAAGGGGGUAGAAAAUGUGGUAGCUGACCACUUGUCCAGACUAGUGAUAGCACAUGACUCACAUGGUCUACCUAUCAAUGAUGACUUCCCUGAGGAGUCUCUCAUGUCAGUAGAUUUAGCUCCAUGGUAUUCUCACAUUGCAAACUUUUUGGUUACUGGAGAGUACCAAGUGAGUGGAGUGCUCAAGACAAGAGGCAUUUCUUGGCUAAGAUCCAUGCUUAUUAUUGGGAGGAACCUUUUCUUUUCAAAUAUUGUGCAGAUCAAAUUAUAAGGAAAUGUGUUCCUGAGCAAGAGCAAUCGGGAAUUCUUUCCCAUUGCCAUGAUAAUGCAUGUGGAGGUCAUUUUGCCUCCCAGAAAACAGCUAUGAAAGUGAUCCAAUCAGGCUUCUCGUGGCCCUCUCUUUUCAAGGAUGCCCAUUCUAUGUGUAAGGCAUGUGAUCAGUGUCAAAGGCUUGGUAAGCUAACACGCCGAAAUAUGAUGCCCUUGAACCCCAUCUUAAUAGUGGAUAUCUUUGAUGUCUGGGGUAUAGACUUUAUGGGACCAUUUCCAAUGUCAUUUGGACAUUCCUACAUCUUGGUAGGAGUAGAUUAUGUCUCUAAGUGGGUAGAGGCAAUCCCAUGUAGGAGCAAUGAUCAUAAGGUGGUACUUAAAUUCCUCAAGGACAACAUCUUUGCAAGAUUUGGAGUGCCAAAGGCCAUUAUAAUGACGGGGGAACCCACUUUUGCAAUAAACCUUUUGAGACUCUUCUAGCCAAGUAUGGGGUUAAGCAUAAGGUAGCUACACCUUAUCACCCUCAAACAAGUGGCCAAGUUGAGUUGGCCAACCGUGAGAUCAAGAAUAUAUUGAUGAAGGUGGUCAAUGUGAAUAGGAAGGAUUGGUCUAUCAAGCUCCUGGAUUCCUUAUGGGCUCAUAGGACCGCUUACAAGACCAUUCUAGGAAUGUCUCCCUAUCGGCUUGUCUAUGGCAAAGCGUGUCAUCUUCCAGUAGAGAUUGAGUAUAAAGCAUGGUGGGCAAUCAAAAAGCUCAACAUGGAUUUGACAAGAGCCGGGUUAAAGAGAUGUUUGGAUUUGAAUGAAUUGGAGGAAAUGAGGAAUGAUGCAUACCUCAAUUCAAAAAUUGCCAAAGCAAGAUUGAAAAAAUGGCAUGAUUAGUUGGUAAAUCAGAAAAAUUUUACCAAAGGACAAAAAGUUUUGCUUUAUGACUCUAAACUUCAUCUCUUUCCAGGAAAAUUGAAAUCCAGGUGGACGGGUCCUUUCAUAAUUCAUGAAGUGCAUCCCAACGGAGUGGUGGAAAUAUUCAAUCCCACAGGCAAUCAAACCUUCAAAGUCAAUGGCCAUCGUCUCAAGCCAUUUAUAGAGCCUUAUAGUACAGACAAGGAGGAGAUCAACCUCCUUGAACCACCACAACUCUGAGGGAAAGCAGGGUAUCAUGGGCUAAAUAAGUCCAUGAAUUUUUUGUUAUAGUUUUAUAGUUAUAUCAUUAAUUUUAUUUCUUUUUAUUAUAAUUUUUCCUCAGUCUUAGUUUAUUUUGUCUUAAUUCAAGUCAAUUUUGAUGAUAAAAUUCAGAAAAAAAUCAUGAAAGGUGAGGAGAGCUCUUCAAAAGCAGAACAGGGGAGUAAAACCAAGGAAGCAGAGCACCUGAUUUCAAGGUGCCAAAAUUUCGCACACCUGAUUUCAAGGUGCGAAAAUUUCGCACACCCCAAAACCAAGGUGCGAAAUCUAUCUCAAGGUGCGAAAUCCGUUUUCAAGGUGCGAAUUUCCUAAAAUCCAAUUUCGCACACCACUGUGUAAGGUGCGAAAAUUUUCGCACUGUGCGAAAUCCUCUCUUGGAACACGUGUGCCAAUUUCGCACACCUCAAGCUAAUUUUCGCACUGUGCGAAACAGUGUGCGAAAAUUUCGCACACCACUGUUCAAGGUGCAAAAAUUUCGCACACCCAAUUCAAAGGUGCGAAAUCUUCAAUUGAAGGGGUGCCAUUUUCGCACACCCAAUUCCAAGGUGCGAAAUUUGCAGACCAAGGUGCGAAAAUUUCUCACGGUAAAAUUUUAAGUUCUAAAAAUUUAAAAUGGACUUUUAAAUUAAAAUUUUACCCCCGAAAUUGUGCCUAACGUCCAAAAACGACUUUUCGGUUGCCUUGGAAAAUUUUAAAACAUCAGAAACCCCUUAAACCUCAUUCCUAUAUAAACCCUUGAGGUCCAGAAGCCCAAAGGACACCCCGCGCACCAGCUGUGAAAUCUCUGGAAUCUCGAACAGUCAUCUACCUCCAUUUCGGCCAUGGCGAAGACCAGAGGAGGCCAUUCCGCCUCCCCAUCCUCACCGACACCUCGACCACAUCGAGCCGCCAUGGGAGCCGCAGCUUCGCCACUUGUUCAGGCCCCGGCCAUUCCCCCAUCUGAGGGGGAAGCUCCUUCUCAGCGUCGAUACCCCACCAGGAGGCCACCCACGGACCCUGUGCCACCAGUCGAUCAGGCCACGGGCCCUGUUUCUCGGCCACCAGCGAAGAGAACCAAGUUCUCGGGUCCUGGAGAGCCAUCCCACGCACCUCAGCCAGAGCCACCUACAGAGGACUCCCGGAUUCCUGCGGAUAUUCCUCUCGAGACCGUUAUCAGGCGUCCCAUGAUAGCUGGACCACCGAUAGAGGGCAACUUGGAUUGCAGAGAUCGAUCCUUCCACUCUGAGAUCUACUUUGAUAUAGAGGCCCUCAGACAGCAGCCAGAGCUCCGAGAUUCAUUCCGACUGCUGCAGAGGUAUCACAUGGAGGGUCUUCUCACUCCUAGGCAAUUUUAUUAUCCUAGAGUAGUUUUAGAUUUUUAUCAAUCUAUGACUACUCGGGGUCUCCGCAAUCCUAAUCUCAUCACAUUGCUCGUCACAUUGCUGAGGCCCUCCAUAUACCUUAUGAGCCCGUGUUUCAGGCAGAUUUCAGGGAGUGGUCCUCAUUCUCUCAGAGUGACAUGGUCCGCAUUUUGUCCAGGGGGACUUCUACAGCCUCGGUAUUGACCAGGAGAGAGCUUCCAUCUGGGAUGCUCCUCAUUGAUGUGCUCUUGCGUGCCAACCUAUUCCCCCUUCAGCAUAAAGUUCAGAGGAGAGGAGCUAUACUUGAGGCAUUAUUUAGGAUUUCUGAGGGCUAUUUCUUCGGCCCUCAUCAUUUGAUUAUGACUUCUCUUCUUCAUUUUGAAGAAAAAGUCCAUCAGAAGAAGCUUCAGAGGGCAGAUGGCAUUCCAUUACUAUUUCUGAGGCUCCUCUGCCAGAUUUUAGAGCAUCUGGGCUAUCCUAAACAGCCCCGUCUUGAGAGGCGCCGCCAUUGCAGAGAGGAUUUCUCUCUCGACAAAUGGCAUCACUUGGUAGCCUACUUUGCACCCGAGGGAGCACCAGCUGUGCCUGCACCUCCAGAGCUACCCCGAGAUGACCAGCUACCUCAGGCCCAGCAGGAUGAGAUUCUCACAAAGACCACACCUCCGACCCCUGCAGCACCCACCUCAGUGCACAUGCCCGAGGCUAUACAUUCUACCUCCCCUAUCACUCAGAGUGCUCCACCAGUCGUACUAGCUACCCCAGCACCUCCUCCUUCAUCUGAGCCCACUGUCACCGUUUCUCUUGCGGAAUUCAGAGGCUUAGUGCGUUCAUUGCAGACACUGAGCACUGCUCAGGAUUCUAUUAUCCACCAGAUGGCCACUAUUCGUGCACACCAGGAUCAGAUCAUUGCUACUCAGACCUAGCAUACCACGAUCCUUCAUCAGAUUCAGCAGCAUCUGAGUAUGCAGACUCCUCUUAGGCAUGAUAGGUCUGCACCAUCCGAGCCUCUAGUGCCAGGUGAGGAGAGCUUGCCAGCUGAGCAGCCUAUACCAGAGGAGGAGAUCAGAGCAGAGCCAUCACAUGACCCCACUCAUAUAUGAUCUUUUUAUGUUUUACUUUAUAUAUUAGACUUGUAAAUCCCAUCUUUUGCAUGUGUUAUAAACUGAGAUUGGAAAUAGUACUUGAAAUCAUACAUUGUAUAUUUCUUUUCCAAGUAAUAUAUACAUAUAUAUAUCCUUUUUUAUUAUAUUCCCUUUUCUCAUUACUCUUUUGUCUUUGGAACAUGUGGUUUAAGGUAUUCCAUACCUCCUUUACACUCAGACUUUGUCUCACUCAGGAGGUACCACUUCCUCCCUUUAUUUUUAAUCGCUUUUGAAACAUUGAGGACAAUGUUCAACUUGGUUGGGGGGAGAGUUGAGAAAUGAAGUUUUGUUGUUAAUAUUAAGUCAUUUUGGUAUUUUAGUUGAUUUUUCCUUAAAAUUUAAAAUUGCUAAAAGUUUUUUGAAUCAUUCUCUUUGGUUGUUAAAGAUAAUUUCUCAAAAAUAAAAUAGGAUAAGUCGAGUUUUAACUUAAUUAUUUAAGUCUUAGAGUUUGUUUUAUGCUUUCAAAGUUGAUAAUCUAUUGAAGCCUCUUUGAUUUUGAACUUUCUUCUUCCAUUUCGAGCUUUACACACACUGUGCACAUUAGAUCCCGGAUAUAAGAUGUAAAACUUUCUCACUUUCUAAGCUUAGGAAAAUUUUGACUUGGUUGAUUACUUAACCUCUCUUUAAUAGUGUUGGGACACCUCAUAAAGACCAAUGAGUCUUUGAAAAAAAAAAAAAAAAAAAGAGAAUAAGCCUCUAUUCUUUCCUUGAAACCUAAGUAUGAUCCGAAGGGGUGGCGAAAGCCUUUAAAACCCGAUGCCCUAAACCUUGAUUGGUUGGGAGUCAUCGAUCCUCUGCUUGCUACAUAGGUGAAUUGGUUAAGUUUAGUGAGUAAAAAAGAAUUGUGAAUAAGAAGGUGCGUUCUUAACCUAUUAAGAGUUGAUUAAUUUUGCCAAUAUUCGAGAAAAGCUUAGGUUGGAGGGUGAGGAUAGUUGUAUAUACUAUAUCCGGAAGCUAAUUUCAUUAACACUUAGCUUAUUAUGGAAGAGUUUGAUUUGAAACCUUGAGAGUAGAGAUUCUUUUGAUACUUAAUUGCAUAAUCUCCACUCUUUGUACUUUUUGUUUAAGUUUAAGCUUUGACAACUCCUAUUGCAUUUUGAAUCUUCAUAUCUUUAGUUCACCAGGAGAGAUGUGUUUGGAUAUCAGUCAUGCCACUCAAUUAUUUUUUGGAAUGAAUUGCAUGACUUCUUUUAUGUAUAUUAUUACGUUUGCUUAGUUUUUCUCUCCUUAAUUGCUAAGGGACUAGCAAUAUGUCGGUUGGGGGGAGUGAUUACUACUCAAAACAUGCUAUUUUGUAGCUUGUAAUUAGCUCUUUUAAACACCAUUGAGUAGUAAUUAUUACCUUUUAACCCAAUUAGCAUGUUAGGAGCCCUUGCAAUCGUUUCUAACAAUUGUGUUAAGUUUUGGUGCUUUUUGAUAGCUUUAUGCUCACCAAAGCAAUUUAAGAAUGAGGGAGAGCUAUUUAUAGUUCAGGGCAAAGCUUUUGAAAGCUUAAAUUUAUGAAGAAAUCAAGCUAUGGAGCCUCAUAAUCCUUUGCCUUAGUGGUUCAAAGUACACAAGGAAGAAACAAUGGAGAAGAGGAAAACAAGGGAUGAAAACAGGGGACACAGCUGCAGUCUUUCAUUGCACUUUUGGAGCACUUCCCGAAGUCCAUUUUUUACAUUCUAUAUACCAUUUCAAAGCUCAGAAAGUCAAGAAUCCAACGGUUCAAACCAUGUAUGAUUUGGAGCUGAAAUGAGAAAGAUAUGGCCUUCGGAAGACAACUGCAUCAGGCUGAGCGAAAAUUUCGCACGAUGGAAAUCAAGGUGCGAAAUCCUCAGUCCACUGUGCGAAAAUUUCGCACACCUCAAACCAAAGUGCGAAAUUGGAACUCAGCGUGCGAAAAUUGGAUAUUUUUGCCGACUCUUUUUCUUCUGAUAUUUUUGUGUCUAAAUUUCCAUUUUCUCCUUGUAUUCAACCACUCAUGUAAUUCCUUAACUAGGAAGUAUCCAAGGAAGGGUAAAAUUACCUUCCUAUAUAAAUUCUCUUGUAAUCACUGAAAAUGGAUCUUUUCGGGGAGCUUUCUCCAGGAGACCAACUUAUGUAACUUUGUUAUACAGAGAUCUCUUUUGUUUAUCUUCUCUCUUCUAUUUUCUAUUUUCUUGCAAACCAAACACCCUCUGAGGAUGUUUUCCCAGAGGAUGAGAGGCUAAACCAAAAGUUUCUUGGAGUAAAGGAAGCUAGGUGAAAAGUCCAGAUUAAAAGGUGGAAAAUUUCCGUGCAUUAAAUUCAGGUAGUUGGAGUCCAUAAAUGGUUUCUAAAUUCAAAGUUUUGCUUUAAAUCCCUUAGGAUCACUUUGACUGGCCAAUACAUGGUAAGCUUAAGGUCUCUGUGGAUGCUUAUUGCUAGAUCCAUAUCAGUCCAUUAGUUAUCAUGUACGAGCCAUUGGAAAGUGAUUCAAGGUGAUAGCCCAUAGUGUCUUAAGCCAUUAAUGGACCUUGACUACCAUCUCUAGUGACUUUUUAUGGAUUAAAACUUCAUUGUCAAACCUAUACCGGUUCGGGAAAUAACUAUAGGUUAAAUCCCCAAUGCGAGGAGAAAAAUCCGGAAUUUUCCACUUUNNNNNNNNNNNNNNNNNNNNNNNNNNNNNNNNNNNNNNNNNNNNNNNNNNNNNNNNNNNNNNNNNNNNNNNNNNNNNNNNNNNNNNNNNNNNNNNNNNNNUACCAAAAAGUGCUAUUUUGUAGACCUAAUUAUAAUGGUUUUAAGCACCUUUGAGUAGUAAUCAUAUUCAUUUAACCCAAUUAAUUCAUUAAGGUCCUUAGUAAUUGGUUUUAACCAUUUUGUGGCAAGUUUACAUGUUUUUAUCAGCUUAUGAAUCAAUUCAAGCAUGCCAAAUGAUGGAGGAGCUACUUGGACAAGUUAUGGCAAAGCUUUUGGAAGCUCAAAUUCAUGAAGAACCAAGCUUUGGAGCUCCAUAGCCCUUUGCCAAAGUCGUUCAAAGUAUGCAAGGAGAGAAGCAAAAAGAAGCAAAGAGAAGCAAAGAGGACAGCAGCUGCAGUCUUCUUUCGCACUUUUGGAGCACUUACCGAAGUCCAUUUUUUACAUACUAUAUACCAUUUCAAAGCUCUGGAAGUCAAGAAUCCAACGCUUCAAACCAUGCACGAUUUGGAGUUGAAAUGAGGAAGAUAUGGCCUUCGGAAGACAACUGCUCCAGGUUAUGCGAAAAUUUCGCAUAACACCUUCAAAAUUCGCAUAACCCAUGCGUGUUGCGAAUUUUCCUCUGCUUUUACUGACUCCACUUUAGAUAUUUUCCUUCGUAUUUUGUGAUGUAAUUUCCUUUCUUAUCCUUGUAACUAACCAAUCACAAGCUUUUGCUUUUGUAAAGACUGUAUAAGGGGUGGAAAUCACCUCUUGGAUAUAGAUAGAAUACGUAUUACGUUUUACACUUAGAAUAUACAGAGCUCUCUCGUUUCUCUUUUCUCUUUACUAUUUUCUUUUUCUCAGAAGCCAAACAGCCUCUGAGGGCUUUUCCUCAGAGUAUGAUUGGCUAAAACCUUUAGUUUCUCAAAGUAUGGAUGUUAUGUGAUGGCUUGGAUGCAAUCCCAUGGAAAUUUCUCGCACCCGGAAGGUAAGGUAGUCGUUUUUCAUUAAUGGUUCAUUAAUGUAAAGUUUGGUUUUUAUUUCCUUUGGACAACUUCCAAUGGCCAAUACUUGAUAAGCUUUUGGAUUUCUAUCCAUUAGUUAUCUCCUACGAGCUAUUGGAAGGUGAGGUUUUCAAUUCCAAGUUUUGUAUUAAUCCGUUAGAACCAAUUUCAAUGGCCAUUGAAAGGUGAGUUUAUCACUUGGAAUGACUUUGAGUUGCUAAUAUUUGGUAAGCUUUUGGAUUUAGACCAUUAGUUAUCUCUUACGAGCCAUUCAAAGGAAGUCUAAGGUGAAUAACCAUUGAUGAAAUUCACUACCAUUUGUUUUGCCAUUUUAAAGGAUUAAAACUUGAUUUGCUAAAUCCAUACCGGUUCGGGAAGCAAGCAUCACCAUAGUUGCAACCCCAACGCGAGGAGCCUAUCCUGAGAUUUCCAAUUUGCAUAAGAGCCAGAGCAUAGCUAUCCUAUCUUUGAGAAACUUGUUUUUACACCCUUUCAUUUUAGUCUUUAAUGUUAGCUUAGAUUAGUUUAAAUCUUUCUAAAACAUUUACAUCUUCUUUUAAAGCUAACAUCCAUAAGAAAAUCACCUAUUUUCCUAAUUUGAAUAUCACUUGUGUUUGCGAAAACCCUUCCCAGUGAACGAUCCUAGAACCACUAUGCUAUAGUAGCUUGGCUACUUUAGUAAUAGUAUUCAAGGUAUAAAUUUUGUUGAUACGCCUUUAAAGCUAAGCUACCAUGAGUCGAAUCAAUACCCUCUUGUAUUUAGUGAGUUGAUCGCCCUUAUCUUAGUUAACCUUAGUGGUUCAACUUGGAGUCAUGGAUCAUGAUCUCCCUUAAGCGUUCAAAGCCCACGGCUUGGAGCUAUUCAUUAUAUCUUAGUUCAAAGUUUAUUAUCAUUUUUGUCUCGUUCAUGGCAUUCUUUCAUUUUGAUUUUGUUUAUAGCAUCCUUAUCUUUGAGUAUCAUAUGGGGUAUACCCCUUUUUUUUUAAUGAGUUGAUCAUCCUUAUCUUUAGUCACCCUUUAGUGGUUCGACUUGGAGUCGUAGAUUGCAAUCUCCCUUAGGUGUCACUAUAAGAAAUUUUAUUUUUCCUGACUAAUAUACAUAGUUGAAAUAAACAUUUACUAACGGAUAAUCUCAACGCAUGGUAGUCAGGGAAAGGUGUGUAGGCAAAAGUUUAUUGAUGGGAAUUUUUCGCUACCAAUAAAAAAAAUUUAGCAACAAACUAUCCAAUGGAUUUGGACCGUUGCUAUUACCAACAGAUUAAGUUGGUGGGGAAAUGUAAAUAAUUAAAUAUUUUAGAUUGUCAUUUAAUCUCAAUUUCAUUAUAUUCAACAUAGAGCACCUUGUUACACUCUUUGCUAGUUUUCGAUAUUUACUUGGUUGUUGGCUUGCCACAACACUCUUUGCUUGUUUUGGAUAUUGACUUGGAUGCUCUUUUUUUUUUUUUUUUCUGGAAUUGAACUCAUGACACCAAGUUUGAAAGGAAGAAACUGUGCCAUCAAGCCAACUUUGUUAUUUGCAAGAUAAAGAAUAGAUAUAAGAUUCAUAAGUAAAAAUAUCCUAUACUUACACGUUUAUAUUAUAAAUAUUAUCUAUAUAUAAAUACAUAUUAUAAAUUAUAUAUGCAUGAAUUAAUAUAAGGUUUGUUACCUUUUAAGCAUAGAAUUCCUCUUUCUCUAAAUUAGUGUGCUAAAACACUUGAGGAGAAAGAGUGCAUGAAGUUAAUACCUUAUGCCUCUGCAAUGGGUAGUCUUAUGUAUUUGAUGCUAUGUACUAGCCUAGAUAUUUUCUUUGCAAUGGGUAUGGUGAGUAGAUAUCAGUCUAAUCCAGGUCCAAAACAUUGGACAACAGUCAAGCAUAUACUCAAGUACCUUAGGAGAAUGAGAGAUUAUGUGUUUGUGCUCCAAAGUGUUGAGAUAGUUUAAAGGGUGACAUGAAGGUUGAUAAGAUACCUUCUGUGAAGAACCUAGCGGAUCUCUUCACCAAGACAUUGUCAGGAAGAGUCUUUGAUGGUCACAAGGAUAACAUAAGUUUCAAAUGAGUAUCCGACAUGCUUUAUAGGCAUGAUGCGUUAAGGGCUAGUGGGAAAAUGUUAAGAUAGAGCCCUUAAAAGUAUGACAUGAUGUAAUAAAUUUGGAAUUCAUUAUUUAUUUAACGAUGUUCCAGAUUCACUUUUAUCGAUCCUUAUUCCAUGUAUUAUACUUUACGAUCAUUCUUGCCUACAUCCUUUACAUUGUACGUGACCUAGGUUCAUUAGGAGUUGCACAACAGAUCUAAGUCAUGGGUUCCUUACAAAGAGUUGACUUGUUCACAACUGGUUCAUAGGUCUAGGAAACCCAUUAGAGGUUAUAGGGCACCACCUCCUAAUUGGAGGGAUGACUAGUCUUGGUUAUCGAGAUGGUUUUCCCAUGGUGAGUGCACUGGUGUGUAUGGUUACAUAUUAGACAAGACCUAUGGUGAGUCAUGACUUAAGGCUAUCAAGUAGUCAUGACCUCACCAAGUUGCUUCAUUAUGUUGUUUCUCAACCUUGAGAGAAUAUUGAGUUUGUGCUAAAGUUAGCAAUGACUUUGAUCUAUGGAUGAGAUCGUAAGCUAAUCAUAUAUUCCCUAUGGAUUAGGUCAUUGCUGAUGGAAGCCUGUAGCAAUAGUGUGUUCAUGGAAACUAUAGCCAUAGUAGUUCCUUAAGUAAAACUUGACAUAGACUCUUUGAGAGUUAAGAUAUGUAAAUUGAACACACAAUAGGAGGAUCCGUAACUCAAGGAUGGUAGAGGUAAUCUUGAAAGGCCGAUAGCUUUCCCCUAGUUAGACUAUGGACACUAGCUCAUAGGAAGACUAAACACAAUGGAUAGCAAGUCAUAGACCCGAGCACUUGAUGUCUCGUUGUUAUUUACAUAGGAUACUGGAGUUCAGUUGAUUCUCUGUAGUGGGAUGUGGAAUCCACUUUAAAAUUGGAUUCUAAGGGAGUUAGUAUUCCUAUGGGUCCCAGUGGUCCCCGCUCUAAGAUCAUUUACCUUGUUGGCAUGGGUUAUGAGGGUUAGAUUAGCUCUAGGUCCACUUUUGUGCAUAAGGACGUUUUGGUAAUUAAGUAAGGUUCCACAUGGGUAAGUGAACAAGGUCUCUGGAUUGGGCUAAUUGUUUAAUUAGUAGGCCCUAUUUGGUUAAUUAAUCAUAUAGGACCCAUUUUGGGUUAUAUUUAGUUACCCAAGCACAUGUGGGCUCAAGUCACUUAAGCCCACUUAGGAACCCUAUAAAUACACUCUAAGGGUUAGGGUUUCCAUAAUUUUUUGUCUUCCACCAUCAAUAGAGAUAGAGAGCCAUAACCUUCACCCUCUUUUCCUCCCCACCGGAAGUGUGUGAAGAUCAAGGUUUGAGUCAUUAGGCGAAAGAUUGUAGGUUUAUGAGACUUCUAUGAUUUCAUUUUUCAUCUUCACCAUGUAGAUUUGAUUCAAGAACUAUUUUUAAAACAUUUUGCCAAACAUUCUUAUUUUAAAAAAAAUUAAAAACUGUUUUUGGUUCUUUAUUUUGAAAAAAAAAAUUUAAAAACAAUUUUUUAAAAACACUACAAAAUAGGCCCUAAGUUAUCCAAAGAUCAUUUUUUUUUUUAAUGAAAUAGGUUCAAUAAAAUAUUUCUAUUAAAUAAGAAAAAGGGACCCAAAAAUUUCUUUUAAUAAAAAUAGGUUUUAGACAUUUUUUUAGAUAUAAUAGUCCAAAAAUUUUGUUUUGAUAAAAGAAAUAGUUUAGAAUUUUAAAAUAAAUAAAUAAAUAACACGUUCAUAAUUUUUUUUUCAAAUAAAAUAAAAUACUCCAACAAUCUUAUUUGAAUGAAAUAACAAUUCAAAAAAUAUUAUUUUUAAUAAAAGAAAGUUUUCUUAAUAGAAAGUUCAAACAAAUGUUUUUAGAAGAAUCUAGAAAAAAAAUAAUAAAAAUUCAAAAAAUUGUUUUUAAUAACAAGUAGUCUAGAAAUUCAUUUGUUUAACAAAAUUUUCUAGAAAAAUUGAUUUUAAAAUAAAAUUGUCCAAAAGUUAAUUUUAAUACAGUCGUCUAAAAUUGAUUUUUAAAUAUAACUCUCUUUCCUUGAUAAGAAAGGGAUUAAAAAUAAUUUUUAUAAAUAGAGGUCUUAAAGAAUUUUUUAAAAUUAGAAUAGCAUGAGUAAACCUUUAAAUAGAACUGAAAAACCUUCUUUUUUAAUAAAUUGGUAAACAAAUCUCCUACUAAAUGAAAUCCAAAAUUAUUUCUUAAUAAAAUUGGAAUCCUUGGGAACAAAUUUGUGAAAUUCUUUCUCUAAAUAAAUUUGUAAUAAAGAAUAUUUUUCUAGGUAAAAUAAAAAAUAUAUAUAUCCAAUAAAAUUGGGUUGAAAUUCCUUCUUAUAAACUUGUAAAUAUCUUUCUUAAGUUUGUAGAUUUUUUUUAAAUAAAUAAAUAUUGAAUCAAAACACUUUUUAAAAUAAAUUAGUAAAAUCCACCCCUCUUCUUAAUAAGGUAAACAAAAAUCAUUUCUUGUAAAUCAAAUCAAAUCUUUUGUAAUAAAUUGAAGCCUUGUGAAUAAAUAAAUUCAAAUCACUAAUUUGAAAUUGUUGUUAAACUAAACGAAUUCUUUGAAAAUUCACGGAAAUUGUGUUAUGAUAUUUGAAAUAAUAAAAUCUUUCUAAUAAAUUAUUUUGUGCAUUUCUCAUGUAUCAUUUCUACAUAUCCUUAUAAUUUGCUUUUGCAUUAUUCCAUGUACUUGUAUUAUUCCUUUUUUUUUUUUUUAAGUAUUCAUGAUUAACUAAUUAAUUAUCAUAAUUCUCUUUUACAUGCUUACUAGAAACCUUUUUAAGGCUUAAAGGGGUGCUACCCUAUGGUACCUUCCCAAUAGGUAACCUGACCUUUAGAUUCGGAUUCGGUUUUUACCGACAUGUCUUUUCUUUAAAAAAUGAGUAACAAUAGGGCUUUAUUUCUUUUUCUUUUCUUUUCUUUUCUUUUCUUUUUAAAAAAAAAAGAAUGACGACUCCAACUUUUAAAUAUAAAAAAUCAGUUUUUUUAUAAUAAAAACAAGUUUUACCAUCAAGUGUGGACGCACAUGAAAAAUGAUAGUUCAUAAUUGUAUUUCUUAGACUUAAAAUAUAAUAAAAUUACUAAAUCAAUGAAUGUUAUGAGUUUUUACAUCUUUGAUCAUAAAAGAUUCAAAGUACAAUGGAACAAAUAGUUUUCAAAAGGAAAAUAAAAAUGUUUAAAAUGGAAAAUCUAACAAUAAAGACAAUGAAACAAGGUGAUAUGGUAGGAGUUAAAUAGAGAAAUCUUUUAUCCAUGAAUUUAUAGUUUAUUUAGUAGAAAAAAGUUCAAAAGAAAUAUUGCAUACAUUAAUGGAUUAAGUAGAUAAAAGGGAUUUAGGUAAUUUGAUAUUUAUGCUUUAGUUCGAUAACAUCAAAUAGAAAUUUGAUAUUAUUAGUUUCCAUAUUGAGUUUAGAAAUCUAUCAAAUGGAUGUUAAGAUUAUCUUUCUUUGAAUGGUUGUAUAAAUAAAGAGUAUAUGGGGUAACCUAAAGGACUUAUGACAAGAACACAAAGUUAGGGAUAGAUACAUUUAGCUAGGUUGGAUUAUAACCAAUCCAAGAAUCAGAUAGAAGUUGAUUGGUUUUAACUAAAGUAUAACAAAUUUAUUUAUUGACUCAAACUAAUCCAACUUAAUAUUAGUUCGAUUCAGUUUAGUUAACUCAAUUUAGACCAAAAUAUUGAGUCUAUAUGUUUUUUUUCUCCACAUUGACCACAUAACCAAAAUGAUCAAAUUGUUUUAGAUAAAUAUAUAUAUAUAUAUUUACAAAUAAUACAACUAAAAAUUUUAAAAAUAAUGUGUAGGAGCAAACCGAUGGGUUAUUUUCUUAUUGGGAAUAAGUCAAUGAGUAGUAUUAUUGACAUAUUGGGUGCUUGUGACUUGAAAUUAUAUUAUCAUCAUUAUUAAGUCCCACAGUACAAGGAUUUUAAAUUUUAGAUCAUGCUUAUGCCAUAAGCAACUUUUAAUUUGUAAUAAAGCCAUGCGAGUUAGGCUCUAGGCCUCCAACAUCAAACUGUAGCCUAGCUAAGUUAGCUUUGGAUGAGCAUGGUUUGACUCACAAAGUCUCAAGAUUCUCCAUAACACUCCAAAUCCAAGCAAUUAUAUUUGUCCCACUCCUCUAGUACUUGGGUUUGUUUGCCAAUCCACUUUUAGUAAGUGAUCUAGGUCGAACCUUUCAUAAGCCAAAUACUUAAACUAGCUUGAUCUCUAGUUUCACUACAUUACCAAAAUAAAGUAAUUCAAGUAGAAAGAACCAAUGGCACAAGCAUGACAAAAUUUUCUAUUGGGGACGUUUACAAAUAGUAUAUGGAGACCUUUUUCCAGUAUAAUUUGAGACAAAUGCUAAUGGGGUUGCCUAUGAACUAUUCUCCAAGGCUAGUUAGGCUUAUCUAUUAAACAAAGGAAAUUGAAGAUUUGGGGGUCAAAUAAAAGUAAUCAAGUUUAAAGUUGAUGGAAUUGUUUAUUAGCUCAAUAUAGAGGCUUAUCUCAAGCACUUUCUUAGGGCAAUGCUUCAAGUCGAUUAACUGCAUGCAUGCACUAAAGAGCUACUACAAGAGAGAAUGAUCUUUUGAACAUAUGUAAUUGAUUGUGUAUUAAUUAAGAAGGCUUCUAAAGUUGGAUAAGUUGUUUAGAACUUUUAAGAGGGAAUUUGUAAACUUCACAAAAUUGAUCUAAGAGACAUUUACCAAGUUCUAUCAUGAUAAUAAAGUAUUGAGGAGAAAAUGUACCACCAAACCAAGUUGUAUUUGCUAAGAAUACUCACUACAUUUCUAUUAAGAAAGAAACUAUCUAGUGGUAAAGGACAAGAUAGUUUUAGUUCGUGAAGUUUUCACUGCCCAAGCUAACAUCAAAAGCUAUAACAAGACAAAUCCUAAUAAGGUAAGAUAAAAGGUUGCACAAAAGGGACAUCUUGCUCCUUGUUGAAAAUCUCAUUCAAUUGCAAAUCUACCACAUCAAGAAUGCUUUCUCUUCUAUAAUUUUCUCAUAGCCAAUCCACAAUACUAUUAUUAUACUUGGUUUGCAUGCUUUUUUUUUCUUUUCUUUUCUUUUUGGCUUUCUAAGUUAUUUUUUUCUUUGGUUAUAGCAAUGGCAUCAUUAGUGUGUUAAAUUCCCUUAUAGGUAAUUCCUCAAACAUUUAAUGUCCUCAUUGGUUCAAUUAAGUCUUAUAGUAUGAAACGAAAAAUAAAAAUUCUUGUAUUCAAAAUCAAAUGGAAGCACAUUAAUUAAAAAAUGCAAACAUAAGAGAAACAUUGAAAUCCAAUUACAAAGAGUAGUAUCAAAUUUUCCAUAUCUACAAAAUUCAGGUGUUAAGAUUUCUAAAAAUGAAAUAUAUAUAUAUAUAUAUAUAUAUAUAUAUAUAUAUAUAGAUAAAUAGGGUUCAUUGGGAGAAGACCUACAUCUACAAAACAUCAAGGUGUGACGUUAAGAGAGGAAUUCAAUCCAUACCUGAUAUGAAGGCAUGGAUUUGAACACAUUGACUAGAUUUGAAGAAUGCAAUUCAUCCAUGGGAAUUUGUGUACCUAAAGAGGGUUGGUUUUUGGAGGUACUGGAAGAUGGUUGGAGUAUGGUAGUGGCUGUUGAAAGGGUCGAUGGUGGUGGGAAGCCAUAACUACUAGUGAAGAGGAAGUUAGGUGAAUUGGAGACUUGAUGAAGAAGAUAAUGUGAGUUUGAGAAAAUUUCCUCCAACUUUUCCCUUCUUUUUCUCUCUUAUUUUCCUCACUAAUUUGAAGGAAAGUAGAAGAGAAAAUAUUACAAUAUUUUCUUUAGUAUUUUCUUUUAUAUUUUUUCCAUCAUAUUUUUCAUGUCACCCAAACUAAGGAAAAUAACUUUCCAUAGUAUUUUUUUUUCCUUUCCCUUGCAUUUUCUGAAAACCAAACACAAUCUUUAUAAAUAAAAAUUAAGAACUAACACAAGAUUGUAUAUUCUUCCUCUUUAUUCUUGCAUUUCUACAUCUACUACUCUAUUUGACAUCAUAUUUUUACUCUCUUCUUCAAUCAGCAUUCCUCCCUUUAUAUAGAGUUAUCUUCACACCAAUUCAUAAGAUAAGAAAGGUGAAUGAACCUUGGGGCAAAUUUGGACAACUAGUGGCAACUAGUCAAGAUUUGAAGUCAACUUUUGCUUGAUUUUUUUGGCAUGGGCAGCAACUUGUGGACCCUCUUUAGCAUGAAAAUGACUAGAAUAUGUUAAGCUCUCUUAUUAGAUGGUUAAUGAUGUAUGAACCAUACGACAAUCAUAGGGUGGAGAAUAUAUGGUAAUUAUGCAAAUAAAUAAAUAAUGGUAUCCAAUUAUAUAAAAAGACAUCUUCCAACAUUUGAUAUAAAUCUAUAAAAAUUAAGAGGAAAAUACUAAAAAAAAAACACAUUAAACCUAAAAAUAUGGACUUAAUAUAAAAUGAAGCAAAAAGGUAGAAUUAAAACCAAAUAUUAAAUAUGAAUAUAGUUUAAGUAUUAAAAAUAUUAUUAUUUAGGUUUUAAUCAUUGGGCUUGCUAGAGGAGUAUAUAUAUAUAUAUAUUUAUCCUAUCUCUGCACAACAUUUGUAAAUUAAAUAUCUAUUUCUGUUAUUUAAAGGAUACAUUGAAAUGAUUGGAUGAAAGAUUUAUUCCAUAGCCUAAAAUGAUGGUAUUGGCAUUAUAUAUAUAUAUGUAUGUAUGUAUGUAUGUAUGUAUUUAUGUGUUUGCUCAAAUGAUAGGCCGAUUUUAAGCCAUAAUUAUAAUAACUGUAUUAUUGUAUUAUUAAAAUAAAAAGGUUGUUGUCCUUUAAUUUUGAUUUGAAAUAUAGGGGGUAUUUCUAACACUAAGAUGGUGUUUAUUUUUUUGAUUGAAUAGAAAAAAAUAAAAAUAUUUGAUUUUUUUUAUUCAACUAAAAGUAACAUGUUGAUAUCAACCAACCUUACUAAAGUGAACUUAUUAUUAAUAGGUUUAGUUUAGUUAUGUUAGUUGAUAUUGGCAAGUUAUUUUUAACUACAUAGAAAAAAAUAAAAUAUUUUAGUUUUUUCUAGUCAAUAAAAAAGCAAACACAUCUAAAAUUAGAUAAUAAAAUACUUUGACUGGAAAUAAAUUUCAUAUGGACCACUGUCAAAUACCAUGCACAAGGAGAAAUUCGGAUCCUCACUUGCUCUUUGAAUUUAAUGCAUUGAAUUUGAUGUUGCCUAAAACAAAUUAUAUUUCAUGUCCUGUAUUAUGAGUAGAGAACCAUUCCUUAUGUUAGAUUUUAGAUAAAGAAUGGAUAUUGGAGAUUGGAGUUGUAAGAAAUUAGGAGAUCCUAAUUUUAAAUAUGUAACAAAGUUCUAUAAUCGAUUCAAUCCAUGUUUUACAAAUUGUAUUUCUUUCUAAUAUUGGAGCAAACUUUUUCUUUGUUUCUUAUAAAUUUCAUUUGGGAAUGAUUUAAAAAUAAAUAAAUAAAAGCCCUUAUAAAUAUUAAAAAGUAACGCUUUCUUAUAAAAAUUAAUUAGGUGGAUAUAUGGUAAGGUCAAAUUCGGGAUAACUUCAUAUUUUUUUGCUUUAACUGAAAACUAAAAUCAAAAUUAAAGUAAUAAUUUUUAAGGGGAAAUAUUGAUAUUGUAAAAGUUUUAUUAAACAUGAAAGAACUUCUUAUAUAAACAAAAACGGAAUUAUAAAAUUCUUAUAAGAAAUAACAUUUUUAUGACUUCUACAUGAAACCUUUUUUUUAAUGUUAUAAGUUUUUUAAUAAAAUAAUUAAAUAGGUAUAAAAACUUUUAUUUAACUCUUUAAAGUCAAUCCAAAUAAAAUGUAUAUAUAUAUAUAUUUGAAAAUCACUUUUAAAAAUCCAAAAAAUAACUUAAAAAUAAUUUCUAAAUAUUUUUUUUAACUUACAUUUUAAAAAAAAUUGAAAAUGAUUUGUUUUUACUAGUUAUUUAAAUUAAGGAAGCAGGAAAGAGUUGGCACUAAUGUAAAAAAAAAGAAAAAAAGUGAGGGUUGGAAAGUAAUUAAAUCACUAAAAAUAGACUUGGAGUUCCUUCAGUGUGCAAUUAGACUGAAUUUGUCCCCAUGCAAUGGAAAUGGAAGAUUUUUUUUUUUUUUUUUCCUUUUCCAUUAUCUUGUUGUAGUCUUGUGAUAUUGUUACUAAAAUAGGAGGUUAAAAUAUAAAUUAUAUAUCAAUUAUUUUAAAUUUAGGAAAACAAUGUUUAUUUUAAUUUGAAAUAAAUAAGUAGAAAAAAACUGAUUUUAUCUCAAUUGUGAAAGACUUCAUUAAAAUUUUCUUAUUUGCAAAAUAUUUUAAGCUGUAAAAGUAAAAAUUAAACAAAUCAUUUCAUGACCUUUUUCACAACAUGAUAUUUUAUCAUGUUGAAUAAAAUUGGAAUGGUCAAAAGUUGUUAAAUCAAGACUUCCAUGGCAAAUUCCACCAUUGCAUAUCUCAAAGAUUAUUCUACAACAUUAUCUUUGUAGACUUUUAACAAUCUAAGAAAUUGAAAAAUUAUAUAAUAAUCCCAUACACAAUAUUCUACAACUUUACAAUAUUCUACAAUUUUUUUGAAUAAAAAAUAAAUGAUGAAAUCUACAACUUUACAAUAUUCUACAAUUUUUUUUAACAAAAAAAUAAAUAAUGAAAUCUUAAUGAAGCGAACAAUCAAUGAAAUCUUUGGCAUGUUAAUUCUUUGCAGCUUUAACAUGGUGGCAUGUCGGAUGGCGGAGGCAACAUUUGAGCUUCUAGGUGUUUACCAUUUUUCACUAUGAACGCAGUUUCCAUGCCCCAAGUUAGAUGGCGUUCUACAUGGCAGUGCAUGAACCACACUCCUACAACAAAGAAAAUAUACCAACAUUACACCUAAUUUAUUGAAAUAUUAAGAAAAAUUAUUUCCUUGGUAUGCAGGUUAGCAUUUUCAAGGGUUUUUGUUUAAUAGAGGACAUGAGUGCUUGCAACAUACCAGGGUUUGAUGCCUCGAAUCUGAUUGCAGCCCAACCAUUCGUAGGAACAGAGAUGGUACUCUGAAGGGGAGAAUCCACCAGAUUAUAGCGCAAAGGGUCCCUAUUUUUAUCGAAAUUCCCAAAUCCCCAUCCAACAAGGUAGAAACUGUAUCCAUGGAGAUGCAUAGGGUGGUGUGUCCCUGCAACCAAGUUUGUCCCUUGAAAAACAAUCUCCACCGUGGAGUUAUACUCGAGUACCCUUACUUCUGUUCCGUUUUCUGGCGUCUGAUACUCUAAUGGAAGAUAAUCAGCUGUAAAAUCAAACACCAAUGGUGGAACGCUAGGAAAUUUAUCUCCAUAUACACCACUGAUGUUAUAAUAGUAAGCUUGCAGUAUGUCAAUUGUAGGGGAUUGGAAGCUUAUGUUGUUUAUACUUGCGGAGAACCGCGUCCCAUUGGGCCCUGCACAUGAAUUAUUGGGGCAUAGGAACGAGUUUACAGAAACAGUGUAAAUCAGUUUAGUGCUCGGGCUCAACGGGACAUUGGAAGGAUGUUCCGCAUCUGCUAAGCUUCGGAGGCCGGCCAUGACCUGAACUGAUGCAUUUGUGUCAUUGUAUGUAGGAAAAUGAGGCAAGGAGGGAGGUGAAGAUGGAGUGUAGUAUCCCCUGUACUGCACAAUAGCUGUGGUGGUUGUGUUAUCAUAAAAAUUUUGAGCUACCGGGGCAAUGGAAUAAGUUUUAGCCGCCAUGUAAUAGUGAUCCGGGUGUUGGUUAGCUUCUAGUAAGACAUCGAAGGUUUGGCCAGGAUAUAUUGUGAUAUAAUCUUGUGUCAAUGGUUUCGUGUAGCUACCAUCUGUUCCAACCACUGUCAUUUUAUGCUUGGCAAUUGAGAAGAAGAGAGCCUCAUGCAAGGCAGCAUUGAUUAUGCGAAGUAGAUAAGUCUUUCCAUGAUCCACCGUUAGCUUGAAUGUGCCUGCAAUUAGAAAGGGAAAGUUAUAUACUUACGACUAGAGAAAAGAAAAGGAAAAAAUUUCCAUGAGGAUCCACCAAUUAUGAAGUGAUUGAUUGAUUAGGGAUGUAAGUUUGGCUCCAUAGUUCAAAAUUAUAUUUGAACUAGCCUUUUCUCAUGUGUUAAAUCAUGGCUCUACCAUCCUCAUAGCUAUAUUCCUCUUUCUUAGCAUUAAGUUUUAAAUAUGUUGAUGUUAAUAAGAAAAAGUAAUAUGGUUAACAUACAAGAAAAUGAGAUCAAUGUACAAUUUUAAAAUGGGAAGUUAAACUUUAUACCUGAUUUUGAGCAUGGAUAUAGAUCACCGGGUUGUCCAUUUAUCAAUAAAGAAUCAGAGGCAUUAGGGUCAGCUCCGGUUGCAAGCCCUUCAUCUCGAACCGCAUUCACAUCACUCUUCCACCAUUGUCCUGCAUUUCAACACAACUCCAAUAAUUUAGAUUUCUCUUUGUUAGUUAAUUCAUGAUAUGUAAAUUAACCUGUAAAAGGAACUACACUUAUACCUAAUAUGAUGGGAAUUUCUGCGUUAGGCUUGGGAAAAGGAUACUUGGUUCCAUUCUUUGGAUAAACGAUUAUUGCUCCAUGAACAGUGGCUCGGGUCCAGUCACUGUGAGCAUGCCACCAUAAAGUGCCUUCCUCAGAGGAAAGGAUGAUCUUCUGGCUAAACUUUGACCCUGGUUGAAUUGGGCAUUGUGUGAUAUACUCGGGACCAUCUGUCCAUGGAUAUCUAGGCAUGUUCACCCCAUGCCUGCAAAACAAUAACUAUACGUUAAAACUAGUACUAAUUUUUGGACUAACAAAAUAUGGCAUGUAGCAACAUAUUAUCAUAGUAACAAGAGGCAUCAACUGUAUUUCAAUGGAACUGAUGCAAAUAACCCUUAAAUAUUAUUUUAAAUUUAACUUUAUUUGCAAAGCAAUACAUUGGAGCCCCCUCUUAGAAAUAAAAGAAUGUAUGUCAUGCAGGCAUGCUGCCCAUUGCUAUCUUUCUCCGAGACACGCAUAGGACUUACCAGUGAAUGGUGAUAUUUUAUUUUCCCCUGUUAUAAACAUCAACAAUGAUCGUCUCUCCUUUCUUAGCAUAUAUAGUUGGUCCUGGAAAUUGUCCAUUUACUGUUAAGAUGUUCUUGGUGCUACAAAGCCUUGUAUAUGAAGCUUNNNNNNNNNNNNNNNNNNNNNNNNNNNNNNNNNNNNNNNNNNNNNNNNNNNNNNNNNNNNNNNNNNNNNNNNNNNNNNNNNNNNNNNNNNNNNNNNNNNNCAAAGCCUUGUAUAUGAAGCUUCCUUCACCUGCAACCAAUUAAAAGUUAACAUUGUAACCUCAUCCCAAAAGAAAUAUUACAUGUAUGAAUAGUUGCAUCGAUCCAUUCAUGCAAGAGUAUAACCAAUUAGAAAUUGAUAGCAUGCAUGAGCGACUCAACAAGACCAAGGUACCCGAAGACUCCAUGAGGAUCAUACGGUGGAAAAUGAGAGCCAUACUGCUCCCUAAAUAUUAUGAUCAGAAGUUGGCAUUAAGGCUAGAAUCAUAUAUAGUAUUUACCACAAAAGUAAGCCGACGAGUUGAAGCUUGGCAAUGGAUGCCACCACCAAAAAGUAGAAACGCUAAAAUUUGCAAGAGGAAAACCUUCAUGAUCAGCCACAUCUUCUUUGGAACAAAAGCCUCUUCUCUUGUCCUAAACACAACUCCUUCAAUUUUCUUACUAUUUCUAAUAAGCACGACUCAUUCAACAUUAUUCUUGAUCUGUUGAAUGAUGCUCAAAUUCAAGAAAUCUAAUUUUCUCAAGUAAAUUAGAUUUUUCAGCAUUAAGCACAUCAAUCUUAUUUUUAUUUGCAUCAAGAACUCUUAAUUAAUCUUUCAUGCUCAAUAAAAAGAUUGUCAAAGAAUUCAACCAUUUGUUUAUCAGUAAACUCAUCAUCAUUAAUAUCACUAUCACUAUGACAAUAAGAAUUAUUCUUAUAUUCUAUAGAUGCAACAAAACUUAACAUGUCAUUGGGAUCGUACCUUGCAUAUUCAGAAAUUGUAACAACACCGUCUUUAGAAUACAAGUAACUCCAUGUUGCUUAUAUAAACGUUUUAAUAUUUUUGGGGCUAGGACACUCUUAAGAGUAGUGUCCCAUGCCUCCAUACACUACAAGAAAAAGAGUCAUUAUUGACAUAUAUCCUCUUGACUUAAGAUAAUAUAUGUGAAGAUAGUCUAUUUAAAUGAACAAUUAUGACAUAUACAACUUUAUUUAAACCAAUAAUGACAUAUAUAAUAGUUAUUGUAUUUUUCCAUGACUUAUGAUGAUGCAACCAUGAUAAAUAAUUUAUAAGUCAAUCUAUAAUUAAUAUGUUCAUAUGUCAAGGUAUCCAAAUGAUAUCAAUAUAUAUAUAUAUAUUCAUGUCAAGGUAUUUAUAGAGGCUGGAGGUGAAAGCUGAACAGCUGGUUUCUCUCCAACUUUUGCUGUAUUUCUUUAAUAUAUAAUUCAUAAUCUAUUCAAGAUGAUUUUCCUGGGGUACAACCAUUCCUCGCCGCGUAUCAAUAUAAGAGAAGUAAUUUGAAUGUGUACUGGUUUUGAACGUUCUUCCAGGACCACUUCAAAGAGCAGGUUGUGUAUGAUAUCUGAUCACUUACCAAAAUUUAAAUAAACCAAAUGCCUGAAGACGAGUUUCUUAGAAUCUCUUGAAUUUUCUAAUUCAAAAUACAAGUUUGACUUUGAGAAUUGACCAAGAAAUUAAUCAAACACACUAUUUUAGAAUAAAUUUAAAAUAUAUGUAGAAUACUUUUAAAACUUUGACCUCGCAUAUAUACGAUACCUUUAUCAAGAUUAGUCAAGAUUUUCUCUUUGUAUUUGGUAGGAAGGGAAAAGUCAGCGCUGCUUUCAGAAGGAAUGUAGGAUUCCAUUAUAGGAAAGAAACAAUCAUUCAAUUAUAGGAACCGGAUCGGAAAUUCCUUGUCCGGUUGGAGGGUCAAUCCAGACAUUCAAAUCAUUAGGUCAGCGAUGAAAUCAUUCAACAUGCUCACCAUCAAAUAAUUAUUGGUUUCCUUUGCAUAUUUCCUCCAUACCGGCUUUAAUCUUGAUAAGACAUAUUGCACAGAUAAAUUGCAAGCACCAACAUAUAAAUUAGUUUAAACAUUCAGACAUUUUCAAACAUCAAAUCUCCACUUUUUAAAAAAUAAUAAUAAAUAAUAAAUAAUAAAUAAUUAUAGAUUUAAAAAUAACUUUUUCCAGAACAAAUAAAAAAUAAUUCAAACUUCCUUCGUUUAUUGUACCAUAUACAAAGAAAAAUCAUUAUAUAAAUAAAAUAUGCAAAGAUGUAUAUAUUUUUAAAUUAUUUAUAAACAGAAAAAAUGAUGAAUAAAAUUUAAGAUGUGAAAAUUUGAUCAAGUUAAUUUAAACUUCUUUUAUUUUUUUUCACUUUUUUUCUCCUAUUUUUUCACACCAUUUUUUUUUUCUCACAUUUCCUUUUAAACUUUUGGAAUAAAUUCCCUACUAUUUGUGGAGCUUUAAUAUAAUUUUUUUCUCCAUAUUAUACAUAUUUAUGCAAUAGUUGGUUAAACUAUUUUGAAUGUCUAUUUUUACCUUAACAAGAAACAUUUCUUGAAAAUGAAGAUUAUUUUCUCCUUAUUUUCAAAUUUGUGUUUCUCCACUUUUUAAAAAAAAAUAAUAAAAAAAAAUUGUAGAUUUAAAAUAACUUUUUUCAGAACAAAUACAAUAUAUAGCCGGCUUAUACAAACUAUUAUCUAAAAAAAGGAAAAGUAAAAUAAGAAAUAAUUCAAACUUCUUUGUUUGGUUUAUUGUACCAUAUACAAAGAGUUUUAAAUAAUAAAUUUGAAGCUCAUCCCAAACACUUUAAAGAGUUUUAGAAAUCGAUACUAAAUUCAAUCUUAUAUUAAAACUCCUAAAUAAUCAAUUGUAAAGUUGUUUUCAAAUGAAACCCAUCUUAUCUUGAUUUCCCCUCACUAAGAUACUUAAAAAGUGGAAUAAUAGAUAAGAGUGAACUUAAAACUCAAUUAAGAAAAUAGGUCAAUAAGGAAGAUCAAUUAUAGUACAAAGUUAAAUCUUAGGAGAUAUUACAUCUUUAUAAAAAAAAAAUUGAAUUAGUACGAGUUCAUUUAAUUCAAUAAUUAAAUUCAUUUUGUUCAAAAAAUUAUGCACUUUCAAUUUAAAGAUAGAAUUAAAUAAUAUACUUUACAUACUUAAAUUAUAAACAAACAUUUUACUCUGACUCAUUGAUAAUAACAUUGUGCCCAAAUAGUAGAACUUACAUUAGGUGGUUAGUCUCACUUUGUGCCUUUUACCAAUGGACAAAAUGAUUUAUAAUCAAUGAUAUACCAAAGGCUAAUAACACCCUUAUUAGCUAGACUUACAUUAUAUCACUAUCCUCACCAAAGGUAACGCAGGUCAACAACUUUUCUCUUAAACCAAUAUAAUAAAUUAAAUGAUAAAAUUCAUUUGCAUAACAAUAAACAAAUCAUAUGAUAUUCCCAAUUUAUUUUAUAAACUAAGGAACAAAUCAUAACAUUUUUAGUAAAAUAUUAUUUGAUCCACUUUAAGGAACUUAAACAUUUUGAUAGUUUAAAAAUAGAUGAAAAAAAAUAAGAAAUUAUAAAAUGGUUUACUAUACUAUUAACCAUUACCUUGAAGAAAUCAUUCAAAAUUCUGAAAGACUUAAUCUACACCUAAUAUAAAUAUAAAUAAAAAAUAAUUAUUAAAGAUUAAUUAUCUAAAUUAAUGUCUUCCUAAUUCUUUUGUAAAAAUUACUUUAAUUCCAAACCCUUUUCUAAAGUUCUAUUUUUUUUAAUUGAAUUUUUUAUUAACCAUAUUAUUAUUAUUAUCAUUUUCACUUCCCAUAAUUACAUUAAUGGGUAUUCUUGAAUUAUUAAUGUUAAUAUUCCUUCUUCUUUUUUUCAUGGUAGGAAGUAGGUAAUUAUUUAUUAAUUUACUACUAUUUUUACUUAUCUCCUACCCACAACCCAAAUCUUAUUAUUACUUUAUUAUUUCUUUGCCACAACCACUUUCCUCAUUUCCUCAAUUCUUCUUCCUAUUAAUCUAAUGAAGCAAAUAAAAAAGUUUCUUCUUUCUAACCCUUCGAACCAAACUUCUCUACAGACCUUUCUCUUGUUUCUUUUUCCUCAAUAUUUUAUAAUUUCAAAUUUUAAUAAUGUGGAGAAAUCAAUGGAAUUUAGGGGUGAAUUAUACUUUUAUCGCUAAAAAUAACUUUUAUUGAUGGAAUUUUAGAUGUUGUCAAUGUUGCCAAUUUUUUUAAAAAAAAUUUCUGACGAGUUUGAAAAUUUCAUCACUAAAAGACAUAAUGGGAAAAUUUUGGCGUCGUCAUUUUUUUGGCACAAACACUUUUGUGAUAGAAAAAACCUAUUUUCUCACAAAAGUAUUUGUCACUAAUUACAAUUUUUGGUGACUAAAAGUUAUAACUUUAUAUAUAUAUAUAUAUAUAUAUGCUUGCAAAAUGGUUUCAUUAAGUGGUUGUAUUAUUUCUUGAAAAAUUUGGUAAUUUUAUCGUUAUUGAAUUGUGAUAUUAAUAAGUAAUAUUGAUAAAUAACUAGAUGAUUUAUAUUGUGAAAUAACAUAUGUAUUUUUUUAGACUUAAGAUUUAUACUAUAAUAUUUUAUUUCUAUUAAUAAUAAAAAAAUAAUUACAGAUCCAUAAAAUGAAAUACUACAAUACAGAUUUAUUUAAAUUUAAAUGUUUUGUAAUGUAAUAAUAGUAUUGUUAUGAAAUAAUAAAAAGGUAAAUUAUUUGAGCAGUUAAUAUUUAUAUUGUAAUAUGUUACUUAUAUUUUUUUAUAUAAAUAAUAACAACAAAUAAUUCAAGACAUGUAAGAUUAUUUCAUAUAAUAUAAAUUUAUUUAAAUUUCAAUAUUAUUAUAUGAUGUUACCCAAAUAUAAAUAAUACUAAAUGAUUUUUAUUAUACUCGGUAAAACUUAUCUAUAAAACUCUAAAAUAGUAUUGAAUUUAAGUUAGUUAUGAAGAAGUUAUAGUCCACUAAUUUGUUCUCAUUCAAAAUCAUACCUUGUCAACUUAAGAAGUAAACUUAUACUAACUUUAAUUACAUAUUUUAAAAUAAUAGAGUUUUUUUUUUAAUUAUUACUUGGUUUUUAAAUAAUUGUUCAAAAUGGAGUUUAUCAAAUGUAAAUAUUAUUUAAAAAAUUUGGUACAUCCUUUACAAAAUUUGGUACAUCCUUCACAAAAUUUGGUGCAUCCAAUCCUUGAGCUAUCGAGACCCCUAUUUAAUUACCCAUGGUCCGUUUAUUCCUUUAGGGAUCUUUGUGAAGUGAUUAGAGGUCAAUCCUUAGCUACUUCGAAACAAACUUUGGAAUCCUAGGUACAUCCUUACGAAAAUUUGUUACAUUCAAUCCUUGAGCUAAUGGGACACCUAUCUCUUUUCUCAUGGUCCAUUUAUUCAUUUGGAGACCCUCGGAAAGUGAUUGAAGGUCAUUCCCCACCUUAAAACUAACUUCAACUCCCAUAGUACAUCCUUUACAAAAUUUGGUACAUCCUUUAUAAAAUUUGGUACAUCAUUCACAAAAUUUGGUACAUCCUUAAAACAAUUUGGUACAUCUAAUCCUUGAGCUAUCAGGAUCCCUAUCUUAUUACUCAUGGUUCGUUUAUUCCUUUAGAGAUCUUUGGGAAAUGAUUGGAGGUUGUUCCCUAGUCCGAAACAAACUUUGGAACCCUAGGUACACCCUUAAGAAAAUUUGAUAUAUCUAAUCCUUGGGAUAACGAGACACUUAUCUCCCUUCUCAUGGUCCAUUUAUUCCUUUGGAGACCCCCAAGAAGUGAUUUAAGGUCGUUCCCACCUCAGAAUAGACUUUGGCACCCUUGGUACAUCAUUUACAAAAUUUGGUACAUUCUUCACAAAAUUUGGCACACUCUUCAUAAAAUUUGGUACAUCCUUAAAAAAUUUUGGUACAUCUAAUUCUUGAGAAACUAAGACCUCUAUCUUAUUACCCAUGGUCUGCUUAUUCCUUUAAGAAUCUUUGGGAAGUGAUUAGAGGUCAUUCUCUACUCUGGAAUGAACUUUGGAACCCUAGGUACAUCCUUAAGAAAAUUUGGUACAUUCAAUCCUCGAGCUAUUGGGACACCUACCUCCAUUCUCAUGGUCCAUUUGUUCAUUUAGGAACACUUAGGAAGUAAUUGGAGGUCGUUCCCUACUCUGGAAUGAAUUGUGGAACCUUAGGUACACCUUUAACAAAUUUUUGUAUUUUUAUGGUUAUGUAAUGGUUUGAUGUUGUUGAUCAAAAUGAGGUGGUUGAGUCACAAUUUAUAAUCAUCAAGGGAAAAGAAAUUGUGUUUAUUCAUGACCAGAUGAAAAUGAAUAACAAAUGGAAUUAUUGUCACUUUUAAUGGUAUUAUAUUAUGAAUCAUUUGAAUAGUUUUCUUAAACAAUUUGUCAAUUCCAAAUGGAUUAUAGCUGAAUUGAAAAAUGAAGGAAUAUAGUUGUAGAAAAGAAGGGUUGAAUUUUUGUGGGCAUUAUGGAAGAAAGAAGUCAAACCUUAUAUGAAAAACAGAUUGUUAACACUAGGCAUAAUAGUGGACGACCUUUUCAUGUAGGGGCUAACCCUUUUUAGCUUAUAACCCUUAGUCAUAAUAUUAGUUUUGCUUGAAGUGGUUAGUAACAAAAAUAAGGGUCGACCCUUUAGUUCAUAGGCAAUCCCAUCGUGUUUUUAAUAUUGGUUUUGUUUUAUGUUGGCGGUAGGCAAAACAAAGUUUGGCCCAUUGUUUAAUAGGUAAGCCUUUGAAUAUGGACAUUAUAACCUUAGAACAUGGACAGUGAGGAAAAUAGUGGUCAGCCCAUGUAUUCAGAGGUAGAGCCUGAACUUAUAUUACAUAUCAAAUAAGUACCUAACAAAUAAAUAAAUAAAAGUAAAUGCAUUGUGUGAUGUUUGGUAUAGACAAUACAUUUCAAUAUUUAACACAUUAAUGUCACACCAUAAAGUGUUAAUGAAACGAACUUGGAUUGUUCAUAAUCUGAAUGAGACAUUAAUAUAUGAUGACUAUAUAUGUGAUCGUGACAAUUGUUAUAAGUAAUUAGUUUUGACAGGGUUAUUUACAAAUAUAUAUUUAAACAACUAAAUACCUAAUGAGGUCUAAGUGUGAGAAUAAAAUAAUUUAUGCUUGUUUUGUAAAUGUUGAAAGUAUUUUUGUGAUGAAUAUGUAUUAUUGGAAAUAUUUACGAACAUGCCUAGCUUAUUGAUAUGUGUGUAUGUGUGUGUGUGUGUGUGUGUGUGUGUGUGUAUUAAAAAAGUAAAAUCAAUGAUGUUCAUCCUUUCCUCGUAAGAAUAUACGUUGGGUUCCGAAGUCCAUUUUAGGGUAGGGAAUAACCUCCAAUCAAUUCUCAAGGGUCUUUAAAGGAAUAAACCAACCAUGGCUAAUAAGAUAGGGGUCCCGAUAGCUCAAGGAUUGGAUGUACCAAAUUUUGUGAAAAAUGUUACAAAUUUUGUAAAUGAAAUACCAAAUUUUAUAAAGAAUGAACCAAGGGUGCCAAAGUCCGUUUUGAGGUGAGGAACGACCUCCAAUCACUUCUGAAGGGUCUCCAAAGGAAUAAAUGGACCAUGUGAAGGGAGAUAGGUGUCUCAUUAGCCCAAGGAUGGGAUGUAUCAAAUUUUCUUAAGGAUGUACCUAGGAUUCCAAAGUCCGUUUUGGAGUAGGGAAUGACCUCCUAUCACUUCCCAAAGAUCCCUAAAGGAAGAAAUAGACCAUGGGUAAUAAAAUAGGGGUCCCAAUAGCUUAAGGAUUGGAUGUACCAAAUUUUUUAAAGCAUGUUCCAAGGGUGCCAAAAUCCAUUCCAAGGUUGAGAACGACCUCCAAUCACUUUCUAAGAGUCUCCAAAUGAAUAAAUGGACCAUAGGAAAGGAGAUAGGUGUCCCGUUAGCUCAAGGAUUAGAUGUAACAAAUUUUCUUAAGGAUGUACCUAGGGUUCUAAAGUUUGUUUUGAAGUAAGGAGCAACCUCCAAUCACUUCCCAAAGAUCCUUAAAGGAAUAAACAAACCAUGGAUAAUAAGAUAGGGGUCUCGAUAGUUCAAGAAUUGGAUGUACCAAUUUUUUUUUAAGGAUGAACCAAAUUCUGUGAACGAUGUACCAAAUUUUGUAAAUGAUGAACCAAAGUUGCCAAAGUCUAUUAUGAUUAGGGGGUCAUUCAGUCACUUUUCGAGGGUCGGCCUCUAAAGGAAUAAAUAGACCAUGGGAAGUGAUAUAGGUGUCCCUUUAGCUUAAAGAUUGGAUGUACCAAAUUUUCUUAAGGAUGUACCUGUGGUUCAAAAGUCCAUUUCAGAGUAAGGAUCAACCUCUAAUCACUUCCCAGAGAUCCCUAAAGGAAAAAAUAGAUCAUGGGUAAUAAGAUAGCGGUCCUUAUAGUUCAAGGCUUGGAUGUACCAAAUUUUUUUAAGGAUGUACCAAAUUUUGUGAAGGAUGUACAAAAUUUUGUAAAGGAUGUACAAAAUUUUGUAAAGGAUGUAUCAAGGGUGCCAAAGUCCAUUUUGAGGUUGGGAACGACCUCUAAUCACUUCCUGAGGGUCUCCAAAGGUAUAAACAACCUCCAUCUAUACUAAGGUAGGAAACGACAUAUAAUGACUUCCCAGGAGUUCCUAAAUGAACAAAUGAACCAUGGGAAGGGAGAUAAGGGUUCCAAUAGCCCAAGGAUUGGAUGUACCAAAUUUUCUUAGGGAUGUACCUAGGGUUCCAAAGUCUAUUUAGAGGUGAGGAAUGGCCUCCAAUUACUUCUCAAUGGUCCCCAAAUGAUGAAAUGACAUAAGGGUCCCAAUAGCCUGAUGAUUGGAUGUACUAAUUUUUAUUAUGGAUGUAAUUAGGGUUCCAAUGUUAGUUUCAAGGUGGGGAAUGGCCUUUAAUUACUUCCUGAUGAUCAGAUAUACCAAAAUUUCUUAAAGAUGUAUCUAGGGUUCAAAAGUCAGUUUUGGGGUGAGAAAUAACCUCCAAUUACUUCCUAAUGGUCCCUAAAUGAGCAAAUAAACCUUGGGAAGAGAGAUAGAGGUCUCAAUAGCCCAAGGAUUGGAUGUACCAAAUUUAUAUAAGGAUAUAUCUAGGGUUCCAAAGUCUAUUUUAAGGUAGGAAACGACAAGGGUCCUCAAAAGAUCAAAUGGACCAUGGGAAUGGAUAUAUGGGUCCUGGUAGCCCAAGGAUCGGAUAUACCAAAUUUUCUAAAGGUUAUACCUAGGAUUCCAAACUCCAUUCCGAGAUGGGAAACAACCUCCAAUCCUUUCCUAAAGGUCUCCAAAAGAAUAUAUGGACCAUGAGAAGAGAUAUAGGGAUUUUGAUUUCCCUAGGAUUGGAUGUAUCUAUUUUUGUUAAGGAUGUACCUAGGGUUUCAACAUUCGUUUUAGGAUGCAGAAGGACCUCCAAUCACUUAUCAAAGGUCCCCAAAGGAAUAUAUAGACCAUGAUAAGGGAGAUAGGGAUCCUUAUUCCCUUAGGAAUGGAUGCACCUAUUUUUCUUAUGGUUGUACCUAUUUUUUAUGAAAUUAAUAUAAAAGGUUAACUACAAUUUUUUUAGUGAAAAAUAUACUUUCUUUUAUAUUUUAUUUUAAUUAAAAAUUAAAUAUUUUAAUGAAAAAAAAAAAAGAUCCAUGAUCAAGGUAAAACCAUAAAAAUAAAAAAUAAGGAUAAAAGAAUCAUCACUUACUAUGAUUUUGAUAUGAUAAAUUUAAAAUAAAAUAAAAAUAAAAAUAAUAUAAAUAAUAAAAUAGUAUUACAAAUAUAUUUUUACUUUUAUGUGUGAUAUGAUUUAUAAAAUAAAUAAAUCUUUUAUUUAGCAUUAAUAUAACAAAUCUUAUAUCAUAAACCUAUAAAUAAUAAAAUAUAAUUUUUAAGUUUAAUCCUUGAUUUAUUAAAUGUAUUACUAUAAUUAAUAUUUAAAAUCAUCAAGUAUAUUAUUUGUGGAAUAAUAUUUUCAUUUUUGUCCAUUAUAUAUUUAUGUUUUUAUUUAACUUGUUAUAUUAACUAUUUAUUAUAUAUUAUUAUUUUAAAGUUAAUAUGUCCAAAAAAUAAUUAAAAUCAAUAAAUUUGGACAUAUUAGAGAGUUAAAAAAAAAUUGAAGAAGUUUUAUGAGAUAAUACAGAGAAAAAAAUAGUUAUUGGUGUACUUGACAACAACAUUUAAUGUGGUAAGUGUACUUGCCCUCAACUUUUGAGGGUGAUUUUGCAACAAAUUCAUAAGCACUAUUGGAGUGCAUGAAUUGGUAAAAAAAAAUUUCAUUUUACAUUAAAAUUGAAAAAGUAAAAGCACAAUUCUAAAAACCAUAUUUUUUUUAAUUUGUGAUGUACAAAGCAUGAUUAUCCCAAUUUUAAAUAAUACAAAAAUCAUAAAUUUUUAAUUUUAAUUUGUAAAUUUUAAUGUUUAAUUUUUUUAAUUUCUAAAUUUUAAAUAAUAUAAAACUAAUGGCAUGAUGAAGUGCAUUAAAUGUGUUGUAGUAGCAUGUUGUAUUUUUGUAGCAGAUAUGACAUAGAUGGAGUUGUGUGGAGUGUUGUUUGGGAAAAAAAGAUGAAAAAAAAAAUUCUCAGACCCUCACCUAGUCAAGCACCAUUGCAAGUUUGAAAAAAAAAAACCCAUUUUUAAAAAGGGAGAAAACCACCAUCGCAAACAAUGGCUCACCAUAUUUGUACCUGAUGCCAUAUCAUCUUCAACCUUUCAUCAUUUUCACCACCAACCCAGCUACCUUCUUGAAAAGUCAUUUUACAAGUGCCAAUCAUACCCACCAUUCUCCAUGACACAUCUGUAUCUGAUAAUAAUUGUGAAAAUGGGCCAUUUGAUUAAGCAAAUCACUAAAGGGGGGGAAGAGAUGAAUUAAGUGUUAUAUUUUUUAUUUUAUUUUUUCAAAAACAACCAAUUAAUAACAAAAAGAAUAAGAGAUGUUAACUAAGGCAAUAAUUAAGUAAAAGAUAAAGAGAAGAUAUAUGCAAACUCUUUUAUAGUGGUUCAAAAAUCCACAUAUAUCCAUUGUUUUUAACCUCCUAAGUAAGUGAGGGUUCCACUAUCAAAGGCCUUCAACCUAAGCCUUCAAGCUUUAUAUUUGGAUUCAUGGGCUUCAAUGGACACUCACAAUCCUUUCAAAUACUUCACCCACUUGAAGUCUCUUCACUCAAAAUGAGUAAAUAAGGAAAGUUCUAAUGCUUUCUAUUAAGACAUUGAGUCUUAUUUAUAUGUUGGAAAUUUUCUUUUUAUUUUAUGUUUCAUCAUAGAAGUCUUUUUAGAUAGUGGCUUGCUCCCCAUUGAAGAUCAAGGGUGGUUGUUCGUCCAACCAAGAAGUCAUAGGUAUAUUUAAAAAGGUUUGACUUGUUGCAUAUAAGGCUUCUUUGAGGUAUAAAAGGUUCAGUAUCAUUUUUGGACAUAGAAUGUUUUAAAAUGAUUUUUCAAAAGAAGUAGGGGCUGCUCAAGUGGAAAGGACCACUCAACCAGUUAGCCUGCUCAAGUGGUAAGGAUCGCUCAAGUAGUCUAAGUCUACUCAAGCGGUCAUAACAGUCCUGCCAAGUUUAGACACAAAUUUUGGAUGAAUUUCACUCAAACUCUAGUUUGAAAACUUAAGAUAUUGAAACCAUUUGGGCUAUAACUACUUUCUUAAUAACCCCUUAAGGGUUAGGGAUCAAAGAUUGAAGAGAUCUUAGAUAUUAAAAUACUUUCAUUCUUAAAAAAAGGGACUCCUUGAGAGAAAGUCUAAAUUGCUAUAUCAUUCAUGAUUUCUCAUUCAAGGAUUUGAAUCUUUAAAUCGUGGGUUGAAGACCAUAAUUCCUUAGAAGUGGCAAAAAGAUCUACUAGGGAGAAAUAGGAAGUUGCUAUGUCACAAACGUGGAUUAAGUUGUAGGUGUUGAAGAGUAAGUCUUUAGGGUAAAGCAACCAAGUAAAUUUGUGUAACUUGAUUUCGAAUAGUGGAUUUAGAUUGGUAGGUCUUAGAUCUUGUGGUUUUUUUUCUCCAUAGUUUGUGAAUCUUAUGCCUCAUUGUCUAUAUUUUUUAUAUUUGAUAUUAUGUUUGUAGGGUUUUCAUAAAAGGUGCAUAUCUAUAUAUUCUUGCUUAGAUUUUAUUUGAUUAAGUUUGACUGAUUUCUUGGGAUUGUUAUUGAGGUUAUUAGGGUUGUUAUCUUGGUGGUUAUGAUUGUUAUCCUUAUAAUUAAUUAUUAUUAUCCCUAACAUCUCUCAGGAUAUCCUUUGGAUAUUAAUAAUUAAUUUAUAUUAUCCCAAAUAAUCUUUGGAUAUCAAUUAACCAUAAAAAUCAAGUUUUACCAUUCUAAAUUUGAGGUGAACUCAUUUUUUAAUAUCCAAGAUAACCUUGAAAAUUUCUUAGAUGUAUAAAAAUUUGAUAUAACAUAUAAAUCUUUAUUUAAAAUUUUAAAUCACCCAUUCAUCCCACCUUUGGAUGUUCGUUAUUGGACAUUCAGUUGUUAUUCAAGUGAUAUUAAAGCAAUACCCACUUUUCAAUUGGUAUUAGAGUGGAAUAAAUAAUCGAUUCUUUAUCCUAUUGAUUAAAAAUCCAAUUUUUAUUGAUCAGAUGGUUUAAAAAUCAAUUUUUUAUUAUUCAAAUAGGAUAAAAAUCAAAAUUUUAUUGAUUCUAUAUGUCUAAUGUGGAACAAUAAAAAAAUGGUGCUCCUUUGAAUAGUCCACCUUAUUUUGAUGGGAAUAAUUACUCCUAUUGGAAAGCACGAAUGAUGUUUUUCCUCAAAAUGCAAGGUGAAAGGGUGUGAAACUUAAUUGAAUAUGGUUGGGGACUACCAUUAAUCCUUGAUACUCAAGGAAGAUCAAUAGGUGAACUUAAACCUAAAAAAGAAUGAGACAAAGCCGAUAAUGAAUGUAGUGAAGCCAAUACUAGGGCUUUAUUUAAUAUUUGUAAUGGAGUUUGUCCAUAUAGGUUUUGCAGGAUAGCUAAUUGCAAACAUGAAAAUGAAGCAUGGGAUAUUCUUCAAGUCACUUGUGAAAGCACGUCCUCUGUAAAGAUUUCUAAAUUACAAAUGCUUGUUACUAGGUUUGAAAAUAUUAGGACGCAUGAAAAUCAAACUUUUUCUUCCUUUUAUUUUGAAUUAAGUGAUAUUGUAAAUUCUUCGUUUAAACUUAGAGAACUUAUUCCUAAUUCUAAGGUAGUUAGGAAAAUAUUAAGAUCUUUUCUAGAGAAAUUUAGACCUAAGGUAACUACCAUAGGGGAGAGUAAGGACAUUGAUUUCGUGAGUUGAUGAACUUGUAGGCUCCAUUCAAAUUAAUUUGCUUUUAGAUUUCAGAUUGAUUGUUUUUUUUUCUAAAAAAAACAUUUAAAAAAUUUUUUGACUAAACAAAAAAAGUCAAAAUAUUUAAUUUUUUUUAAUGAUAAAAGUAACAUAUUGAUUUUUCGUCUGAGUGGUACAACCUAGAUGGAUGGAAUUGGAGAUAUGCUUGAAGUGAGUUUGAAAUGUUGGGUUAUGUCUGUCCAGCCCAUGAGCCCAUAUAUUUGACUAUUUUAUAUUUGGAUAUUCCCUAAGCCCAAAUAUGGAUAUAUGAAUAGCAUUAUGGCUUUGGUAUUAUGAGAAAAGGGCAUUUGAUUGAGAAAAUGAAAGAAGAUCGGGGUUUAUUUUCUAGGCACUAUUCUAGGGCUCAAGGGUGAAGUUAUAGGUUCCUUUCAUCAACCUUUUAGGGAAAUCCUAUGGUAUGUUUUCUCCUUAUUUCUUUUUGUUCAUGUUUCCUAGGAUGAUGGAUUCUCACCUCAAGUAUUUAGUUAUUUAUAUAAGUUCUCAAGGAGAAGAAACCUGAGGACUUAAUUAUUGUAUCCCCAUUUAUUAAAGUGGAAGAAAUUUUCUCUGUGGUUUUUUUACCUCAAUUUGAAGGGUUUUUCCAUGUUAUAUUUGGUGUCCUCUUUUUGGUUUAAUGUUCUUGAUUACCAUUCUUGAUUCUUGUUAGGUUGUUAUUAUUCUUGAGAAUGUUAUUAUUAUUCUUGAGAAGGUGGUUAUUAUUGUUCAGUGAUUGUUAUUAUUGUGGAGGAAUCUUUUAAUCUUGACAAGUUAAUACUCUAGAUAUCUCUCUUUAUCUUCCCAACAAGUGGUAAUAGAGCUUGGUUGUGGGAACUUUUAUUCUUUAAAGGGAUGAAGAUAGAAGGGAAUUCAACCUCCAUGAUAAAACUUAACAAUUCAAAUUGGGUUAUAUGGAAGUCCAUGAUGGAAGAUUUUCUAACCAUCAAAGAUUUGUUAGAUACUCUUGAGGGUGAAGAAUCUAAGCCCAAAGAUAUUUCUUAUUUGGAAUGGAAUAAGAUGAAGAAAAAGAUAAUUGCCUCUAUUAGGCAAUGGAUUGACACAUCCUCACGUCAUCAUGUGGCAAAUGAAAUAAAUGCCUAUAAUCUCUGGAAGAAAUUGGAAUCAGUGUUUGAAUAAAAAACUAUUGGGAAUAAAAUUUUCUUGGUAAAGAGUUAGUGAAUAUGAAGCUAAAGGAAGGAACACUAAUGAUAGAUCACUUGAAUGCUUUUCAGAGCAUUGUUAAUCAAUUGGAUGCUAUGAAAAUGGUAAUAGAUGAUGAGAUGCAAGCAUUUUUAUUAUUGUGUUCAUUACCAGACAAUUAGGAAACUUUUGUUGUGACUAUUAGCAACUCUGUUUCGAAUGGUGCAUUAUGUAUGGAGCUUGUGAAGGGAAAUUUGUUCAAUGAAGAGACAAUAAGAAAGGCUUAUGAGAUAGAAAAUGCAUAGACCCUCAUCAUAGAAAGUAAAGGAGGAAAUAGGAAUAGAUGACAGAAAGGUUAUAUCAAAUUUGAGGGAAGGUCCCAAUCUAGAAAUAAAAUCAAAUUUUUUCUUUGUGGAAAAGAUGGGCAUAUGAAAAGGAAUUGUCGAAUUUGGAAAAGAGAACAAAAUAAGCAGAAUUAGGGAAAAGAAGAUGACAAGAAUACCACAGCCUUUGUAUCCAACAGUGAUGAAGUUUUAGUGCUCUCAGAUGAGUGUUUGCAUGUAGAUGAGUAACGAGUUGAGUGGAUUAUAGAUAUCGCAACCUCCUACCAUGCUACUCCUCACUUGGAGUUGCUUUCUUAUUAAAGAGUUGGAGACUUUGGCAUAGUCAAGAUGGGAAACUCUUGUCACUCCAAGAUUGUAGGGAUGGGUGAUGUUUUCUUUGAAACUAACAUAAGGUGCAAGUUGACAUUGAAAUAUAUAAGGCAUGUUCUAGAUUUACGCCUUAAUGUGGUACUUUGUCACUUUUAUUGAUGAUGCUACCAAGAAGGUAUGGAUUUAUUUUCUUAGAUAAAAAAAAUCAAGUCAUUCAGUAUUUUCUAUAGUUUCAUGUCAUGGUUGAGAGAAAGACUAGAAGGAAACUGAAGUGUCUCAGAUCGAUAAUGGAGGUGAGUACACCUCAAGGGAGUUUGAAACUUACGGCACUAGGAAUGGUAUAAAGCAUGAGAAAAUUGUUCCUAGCACUCCAUAACAUAAUGGUUUGGCUGAAAUGAUGAAUUGCACCAUCAUUGAGAGGGUUAGGUGUAUGCUGAAGACUACAAGCUUGUCUAAGGCAUUUUGGGGUGAAGCUACUCAGACUGCCUGCUAUUUGAUAAAUAGAUCUCCAUCAGGUCCAUUGAACUUUAAGGUUCCAAAUAAGGAAUGGACAAGAAAAGAUGGUUCCUGUUCCCACUUGAGGGUCUUUGGAUGUAAAUGUUUUGUGCAUGUUCCCAAAAAACAGAGAUCCAAACUUGAUGAUAAGGCAAUUCCACAUGUCUUUAUUGGGUAUGGUGAUGAAGAGUUUGGAUUUAGAUUGUGGGAUCUAACCAAGAAGAAAUUGGUGAGAAGUAAAGAUGUGGUGUUCCAAGAUGAUCAAACCUUGGGAGAUUUUAACAAAGCUAAUCAAUCUAAAGGUACAAGUGAUGACUUCAUUGAGUUGAUACCUAUUCUUCUAUCAUUAGAGUUAGAAUUUAUAGGAUCAAUUCAUGCAAAAAUAAAAUUGGGCCUUUGUGGGAGCCCAACAUCCAUGAUAUUUUCCUUCACAAUAACCCAAGUGAAAUGCAGGUUAGGUAUUUAUUGACUUUGAUCCGAUUCAUGAAGUGUGUGAGAUUAUUUUCUAUGGUACACUAAUCUUUUUCCUUUGAGGCACUUUUCUUGUUGCAUAGGUAUGCUCUUAUCUCUACCUUGUCUAUUUAUUUAGUCCUCAUUAUCAUGCAUGAUUUGUUUUAGUCCAUGACUCUUGCUCCUUGGUAUCCAACAAUUAACUAGUCAAUUGGCAUACUUGCUUUAACUUGAUUAGUAGAUACCUGAUUUUAGGGCUUAGAGGUGUGCAAUGACUUAUCAUCAUACCUUCCUGAUAGGUAACUUGACCCCCGAAUCCUAACUCGGUUUUCACAAACUUCUUUUUCCCUUAUAAGAGUCACAAUUAGGGUUUUCUUUCUUAUUUUGUUUUCAUUUCUUAAAAAUAAUAAACAAUAACAAGUGACUCCAAGUUUUUUCCUAAAAAUCAAAAUUUUCACAAAUAAAAAGCAAGUCUUGGUAUCGAGUGGAAAUGCAUGUGAAAAAUACGAGUUCAUAAGAUCCUAUACUGGGGCAUAUUUCCUGACUUUGAGCUUAUAUUCAUAUCAUAUUCAAUUGGGACUUCAUUAGGGACAUGCUUCUAUUCUUGAGACUAUCAAACCUCUUGUCAUUUUGGUCAUACUUUUGAGAUUUAAUUUGGAGUAUUUCCUUUCAGACAUUGACAAAUUUAAAUUUUGAUUUCUUAGUGCAUUAUCAUUAAGUUAGAGACAUCAUGAUUACCAUAGUUUCUUCAGGAGUAUCUUUACCCAAUCAAAUAAAUGAGGAUGUUUAUGCUUUUAGUGUAGUUGAUGAGUUUAGUUUCUUCUCAUAAACAAAUUUUCUUAAGAAAUAUGUUGAUAUCUCAUUAGUGAGUUUAGGUUGAUGUCAUCUUAUUGAAAGCAUUUGAUCAGCAUCUUAUUUUUUCUCAGUUGAGCAUCUCAUAUGUCAUUUUGGCAAUUGUAGUUUAAGUGUUAGACAAAGUUUUGAUAUGACUCUUGUUGUUAUGAUAGAGUUUCAAGUGAUAUAAUGACUUUUCAAUAUAGGAUCAUAUUUUUUUAUUCACUUUCAGGACACUUUUGAGACAAGCAAAGUUUGACCUUGUUGAUGGUUGAUUGUUAUUUGAUAUUAGGACAUACCUUUUUGCAAUUUUACCUUGGUGGAUGAUUUGUCAAUUUUAUCCUUGCACAUUGGGGCAUACCCCUUUCAUUGAGAUUAUACAAUCUUUCGUUGACUUUGUGGCCUCUUGAUUCAUUUGCUAAUUCCUAUGAGUUAUCAUAUUAGGCUUGUCCUCAUUUCUUUUGUUCUCACUUAUGUUAGGUAUUCUCAGUUGCAAUCCUUGUACUCACCCUUCUUUCAAUUUGUUUAGGCACACCCCUUUGAUGAGCAUAUUUAUGGCAUCCUUUCAAUUUGGUUUCCUUUGAGCAUCAUCUAGGGCAUACCCCUUUCAUAGCCUAAAGUUGUUCAUCAUAUCUCAAUUUAGAGUUUAUUAUCAUUUUAGUUUCAUUUGUGGCAUUCCUUUUAUUUCGAUUUCAUUUGUUGCAUUCUUAUCUUUGAGUAUCAUUUAUGGCAUACCCUCUUCUUUUCAAUGAGUUGAUCAUUUAUAUUUUUAGUCAUCCUUUAGUGGUUCAACUUGGAGUCACAAAUCAUGAUUUCCCUUAGGCAUUUAGAAUCCACAACUCCUCUCUUUGAGUAUCAUCUAAGGCAUACCCUCUUCUAUUUAGUGAGUUGAUCAUCCUUAUCUUAGUCACUCUUAGUGGUUUAACUUGGAGUUGCAAAUCAUGAUCUCUCUUAGGCGUUUAAAGCCCAUAGCCUAGAGUUGUUCAUUUUAUCUUAGUCAAGAGUUUAUUAUCUUACAUUUUUCAUUUACAACAUUCCUUCAUUCCAGUUUUGUUUAUGGCAUUCCUCUUUGAGUAUUAUUUAGGGCAUACCCUCUUUUAUUUAGUGAGUUGAUCAUCCUUAUCUUAGUUAACCUUAGUGGUUCAACUUGGAGUCAUGGAUCAUGAUCUCCCUUAAGCGUUCAAAGCCCACAGCUUGGAGCUAUUCAUUAUAUCUUAGUUCAAAGUUUAUUAUUAUUUUUGUUUCGGUUAUGGCAUUCUUUCAUUUUGAUUUUGUUUAUAGCAUCCUUAUCUUUGAGUAUCAUAUGGGGUAUACCCCAUUUUUUUCAGUGAGUUGUUCAUCCUUAUCUUUAGUCACCCUUCAGUGGUUCGACUUGGAGUUGCAGAUUGCAAUCUCCCUUAGGUGUCACUAUAAGAAAUUUUACUUUUCCUGACUAAUAUACAUAGUUGAAAUAAACAUUUACUAACGGAUAAUCUCGACGCAUGGUAGUUAGAGAAAGGUGUGUUGGCAAAAGUUUAUUGAUGGGAAUUUUUCGUUGCCAGUAAAAAAAAAUUAGCAAUAAACUAUCCAAUGGAUUUGGACCAUUGCUAUUACCAACAAAUUAAGUUGGUGGGGAAAUGUAAAUAAUUAAAUAUUUUAGAAUGUCAUUUAAUCUCGAUUUCAUUAUAUUCAACAUAGAGCACCUUGUUACACUCCUUGCUAGUUUUCGAUAUUUACUUGGUUGUUGGCUAACCACAACACUCUUUGCUAGUUUUGGAUAUUGACUUGGAUGCUUUUUUUUUUUUUCCUGGAAUUGAACUCAUGACGCCAAGUUUGAAAGGAAGAAACUAUGCCAUCAAGCCAACUUUGUUAUUUGCAAGAUAAAGAAUAGAUAUAAGAUUCAUAAGUGUAAAUAUCCUAUACUUACACGUUUAUAUUAUAAAUAUUAUCUAUAUAUAAAUACAUAUUAUAAAUUAUAUAUGCAUGAAUUAAUAUUAAUGCAUAUAUGUGUAUAUAUAUAUAUAUAUAUAGAUAGAUAGAUAAUAAAUUAAUUAAAAUAAAAUUAUCAACAUUUUAAAUAAAAAAUACUUACACAUGCAUUAUCGUUUUUUAUUUUAUAUUAUUGAGUACAUUCAAAUUAGAUAAAUCUCUAUAAAAUGUAUUUUAAAAUUCUAAAUAUUAUUAUUGGACGUCACAAAUUAUAUUAUACAUAUACUAAUUUCUUUAAUAAAACAACCUCAAAAUUUCUAUUAUUACUUUUUAUACCAUUUAUUUACAUUUUUUCUCAACAUUUUCAUAAGUUUUGAUCAAUUUUCAUCUCAUCGAUGUUUUGUGUCAGAAUAUCCAUCAAUAUUUCCAGAUAUACACUUCAAAACCAAUAUAUAUAUAUAUAUAUAUAUAUAUGGAUAAUAAUAAUAAUAAUAAUAAUAAUAAUAAUAAUAAUAAAGUAGUUAAAAAUUAUUAAAAUGUUAAAACUAUUAUGAUUAUAAAAUAUAUAUAUAUAUGUUCUCUAUAAAUAUUUUAUGAAACUAAAAAAAAAAAAAAUCAUAAAAUUGUUUUGUCAUUGGCUAGAUCAUAUUUAUCAUAUAACUAUGGUAAAAAGAUUUCAUAUUCAUAAGACAACAAUUAUGUGAGGUAUUAUUAUUGACUAUAAUAACACUAUUUUAGUGACUAGUAAUUUUUAUAGAAAAAUUGUUUAUGAAAUUUCAUUUUUUUUUUACAAGUAAAUUGCUUUUGUGACAAAGUAUAUUAGUUGAGCAUUUACAACGGUUUAAAUCCAUCGCAAUAAUACUUUUCUGGACAAGUAUUUGUUGUUGCAAUUAUUGUUGGUAAAUAGUUGCAUAUAAGUGAUAGACAAUUCAAUUAGCAAUGGAAUAGGUGUGUUAGAAUUUUGUGAUAGCUUAAAUUUGUCGCAAAAGUAAAUAUAAAUGGAUCGACAAUACUUAAUUUUUUGGUAAUGUGUUUAGAGCCUACAACUCGAAGCUAUUCAUUAUAUCUUACUUUAAAGUUUAUUGUCAUUUUUGUUUCAUUUAUGGCAUUCCUUUAUUUCGAUUUUGUUUAUGGCAUCCUUAUCUUUGAGUAUCAUCUAAGGUAUACCACUUUCUUUUCAAUGAGUUGAUCAUCCUUAUCGUAGUCACCCUUAGUGGUUUGACUUGGAGUCAUGGAUCGUGAUCGUUUUUAGGCAUUCAAAGCCCAUAGCUUGGAGUUGUUCAUUAUAUCUUAGUUCAAAGUUUAUUAUCGUUUUCAUUUUGUUUGUGGCAUUCCUUCAUUUCAAAUUUUUUUGUUGCAUCCUUAUCUUUGUAUAUCAUUUGAUGUAUACCUCCUUCAUUGAGAUAAUUAGAUCUUCAUUUUCAUUCAGUUGAUCAUUCUUAUUUUAGUCACCUUUUAGAGGUUUGACUCAAAAUUGUGGAUUGCAAUCUUGAUCCCUUAGGCUAACACUACAGACGGUACUAUUCAUUACAUCCACAACCUUAAGUUGUUCAUUACAUCACAACCUUGAGCUGUUCAUUACAUCAACAACCCUAAGUUGUUUAUUGCAUCACAACUCUAAGUUGUUUAUUCUUGCACAAACUUGAGCCUUACAUUAUUUAGUCACCUUAGAGUGGUUUGUCUUGGAGUUUGCUUAUCGCAUUCUUCUUUUUGACCGAUUUUAGGGUGUUCAAAGCCCCCAUCUUUUAAGUGUUUAGAGCCUACAACCUUGAGUUGUUCAUUGCAUCACAACCUUAAGUUAUUCAUUGCAUCAUAACCUGAAGUUGUUCAUCAUUUUCAAUUAUCUUUGAGUUAUUUAACCUAGAUUUUGUGCACCACACUCCCCCUUUCAGCUAAAUUUUAGGCAUUCAAAGCCCACAUUUUUUAGUUAUUCAUUGCAUCACAACCCUAAGCUAUUCAUUAUAUCCACAACCCUUAGUUGUUCAUUGCAUAUACAUUCUCAAUACCUUGUCAUCUUUUGUAUGCAAAGUUAUUCUUUUACCUAGUUUAGUGAUCUUGAGUUCUGAGCUUACUGAAUCAUGUGAUAGGACAAAAUUUCUAGUCCCUUUUAGUUCUUCAGCAUAGUUCACUUCAUUCCACUCGUUACUCUUACUUCUAAUCCUAUUCCUUUCACUAGUGAUCUAUAUUAAAGAGGGGCAUAUUUGUAGAUCCCUCAUUUUGUCCUCCUAACACAUGUGAUACUUUAUGUUUUCCUAAGCUUCUCUCUUACCCUAUGGUUAUCCCUUAAUGACCCAUUAACACCCAUAUAGAUUUUUUUUUUCCUAAGCUACCUUUGGGGACACUUUGGUGAGGGGCUCAUUUGGACCCGCAAUGUGACUUUGACAGCUUCUCAAGUUAGUUUUUAGGUUAGACUUCACUUAGGCUUUGUUUCCAAGAUAACGUCACUUAGAUCUUUUUUAUACUAGGAUCACUUAGACACUUCACUAAGCUUAGUUCACUUAGGUUGGUUUGCUUGAGUUUGAUUGCUAGGUUUUAGGUUUAGGUGAGUUCUUGACUUGGGUUAAGUAUCAAUCUUUAGUUAUGUGAGUUCGACACAUUGAUUUUCUUAUUAUCUAUUACAUUAAGAUUAAUAUUUAGAUUUUGAUUGCAUGCGUUAAAUUUCUUUUCUUUUUGUUUUAUUUAUUUAUUUAUUUUAGAAAAUUUAUAUGAGACUAAUGUUAUGACUUUUAAUUGCUUGAAUUGAUGUUUGAUCUUAAAUAUGAAUACGAUUGACCUUUAAUUUUUAAUUGCAUAAUUUUGAUUUGCUUUAAUUUUCAAUUUCAUGACUUUUACUAAUUUUAAACUUUAUUUUAAUUUUACAUGAGAUUUGAAUGUAUACAUUGGAGAAGAUCCCUUAGCGUACACAAUUGCCCUUAUAAUAGGAUGAAGAUCAAGACACUUUGGAGAUCCUUUUUUAGUUGAAGUGAUACAACCUACAACCUACAUGUGAACAACAUGCACCCAUUAACCUUCUACAAGGUGCAUAGUCUACACAAAAGAAGACAUUUAUGCAACAUAGAUACAGGUUUCUUUCCUCAAAAAAGUGUAGGUUGUAUGACCCAAUCUAUAAGGAUAUAUGACCACUUUAGGGUCUCACCCAAAUGUUGAACCCUCCUAUUUAUUUUGGCAUAGACUCAAUAUCCUCUUAAGGUUAAGAGUCAAUGUAGUAUGGUAACUUGGUGAAUCAUGAUAAUCGAUAGCCUUGUGUCAUGAUUCACCAUAGACCUUGUCUAAUAUGCAUCAAAUACACUAGUGCACUCACCAUGGGAAACCCAUCCCGAUGGCCAAGACAAGCCACCCCUCCAAUUAGGAGGUGAUGCACUAGAGUCUUUACUGGAUUGCCCAAAUCCAUGAACCAACGGUGGACAACUUAUCUACUUACAAGGAACCCAUGACUUGUAUCUUUUGUGCAACUCAUAAUGCACCCAAGUCAUGUACAAUGUAAGAGACAUGGACUAAAUGCUCAAAUCAAUGUCAAUACACUAAAAGGAUAGCAAGGGGAUGGUUAAGUCUAACUUUGUUACAUCAUGUCUUGCUUUUAAAGGCUCAAUCCUAAAAAACUCCCACUAGCCCUAAAAUCAAACUGGGCAUCAUAGAAAAAAUUGUUUCAUGUCUCAUAACCUCUCUAUACUAUCUCACAAUAAGGUAACACUUCUUAUUUAUGUGUUUCCUCUUCUGGUGGUACUUCAAUUCUUUAGACCAUGUCAUUGUCCUACUGUUAUCACAUAACAGGAUCUUAGAUGAUAUAGCCAAGGGAACUACCAAUAAGUCAAAAGGCUUUCUUUGUUGCUAUAAAAACAACAAAAACCCACUUAGAGUGUACACAUACCCAGAGAUAGACUUAUAAGAGUCCUUAUCAAACUAAAGUCCAAUUUCCUAGUAUGAAAGGAGUACCACCUCAUCACAAAGGCUCACAAACAUAUAAUUCCUUGUUUUCCAAAGAUACUAGAGUAUAUGUUUGAAAUCUGGCCAAAGCUCUAAUAAGGAAAUGGACUAAUAUCCACUCAUUAUUCCUACAAAAAAGCAAAUAUAUAGUCUAGCACAUAGUAUCGCAUAUUUAAGGCAAUCCAUUAUAGAGACAUUGGAUAUCGCCUUAAUGCAAUCUCUCUCCAUAGAUGUCUAAGGACAUUGAUCCUAAGAAAGAAAAGUCUAAAACCAAAAAGUAACAAACCUUCUUGGCGUUUUGCAUCAUGUACUUGACCAAGUGCUCAUCUAUGUAGGUGACAUGGUGAAAUUUUCCUAUUCUUGCAAUCCUGAAGGAUCAUAACCCGAAGAAUAUAUUGCAUCUUCCUCUAGAUUUUCAUCCAGAAUUGAGUAGACUAUCAGAUCUUGACUUAUGACAAUAUCCCCACAUCAUAUCCAAUGAGUAGAUUGCAUAUACCUACAAGAUCUUAGAGCAUCACGACGCUUUCUUAUGUCUUUUUGUACACACAAGGCUAUUUGCUAUGAAAAUGUUUGGUUGUCAUAUCUUACAAAUAUGACACACUGCAAUAGAUAGUAGUAAUAUGAUGGAUUUGAGUAUGAUCACUAUUGAGAAGGUUUUCCAUAGUUGAAACAAAUUUCAAAAGGAUCACAAUUCGGAGUUGAAACAAGGGAGUUAUAGUCGACUAAAGCUAGGUUGAGCAAAGAGCAUGGUAACACAAUGAUGCUGACUUUAACUCAAAAUCGGGGCUACCUCCCGUGAGCUUUUUAAGGCAAACCACAUAUGGUUUUGAAGCUUAAGAAGUAAAAAAUCCAGUACUUCAAAAGGAUUUCAAUUUGGCAUUGAAGAAACGAGGGAGAUAUGGUUGAUUGAAGCUAAAUUGCACAAAGGGCAUGCAAUUACAAGAUGGAGUUCAAGCCAAAUUAUUUUUGGUUGUUUGGGCUCAUUUUUUGGGCAUCUUUUCGGGCUUUUUUAGUGGCAAUUAGGCUCGUUGGGUUUUUCUUUUUUCACUAACCCUAUCUUUGGUUGCAGAGCUAUUUUGGUAAUUUGGAUUCUAUCCAAGUUUUAGUUACCAAAUUUGCAACAAGAUCCCUAAGGAUUAAUUUCCUUUCGUGUCUUUUAUACUUUUUUAUUUUUGGCAUAGAAUACAUUUUAUUAUUCUUAAGUUAAUGAAUUUUCAUUUUUUUUUUCCUUUUUUUUAGAUAAUUUAUUAAAUUAGAAUGUGUUAGGACUUUAGGAAAUUUUUAUUUUCGGUAAAGACAAGUUGGAAAGAAAUAAGGAACCUACUUCCUUUUCAAAAUUAAACUCUUAGAUUUUUUUUUUUAAAUAAAUCUUUUUAGAUUUUAGAUCUCUAUGAAUCUUUUUAUUUUAAGGAAGAAGUUUUAUUUUUUCAGGUCUUUGUGAAAUAAAAUAUUUUCUAUUUAGCACAAGAUUCUAAAAUAAAGAAAUAAUUAUUUUUUGAAAAAUAUCUUAUAGAUAAUUCAUGAUUAAGAUAGCUUACCAAUAUAUUGUUUCAAAUAAAAUAAAUUAAAAUGGUAAUUUUGGAUUUUCUUAAAAGAAUAAAUUUUCAUGAGUUUUAUUUCCAUUAUUAUUUAUUUAAAAAAUUGGUUGUUGUCAUUUGGAAUUUCAAAUUCCUUUUGGGAAUUUCUUUUUUCUUUUCUUUUUUGGGCUAGGUAGUUCUCUAAGCUCUCUCUCUCCCCCAUCCCCCACCCCCAGAAAAAAAGAGAAUUAAACCUACAUUGGUCCUCUAGGAUUUCCCUCCCUAAGAGAGAGAAAACCGUUUAGUUUGAAAAGGAAAGUUCAAGGAUAAGGAAUAUGAAAGAUAUCCUUAUUUGGCAUAGGAGUCCCAAUUCAAGUAAUAAAUAAAAGUUUUUGAAAUUUUCAUGACAAAUAAUUUAUUUUAAGAUAGUUACCAAAAUUAUCUUAAAGGCUCUCUUCCAAAAUAUUAAGUGGAAGCGGGCCAUAGGCAAGCCCAUAGCCUCUAAGAUCGAGCCUAUUUUCAUUUCCAUCCUAAAGAUGGGGUGGCCUAAUAAAUCAAGGGAUAUGGACUAUCCUUUAUGAACAAGACUAUAUAUGUUUAUAGUGGGAGUGGCCAAUCCUAAAGAUAGAACUCUUCACUUGGUAACAUGGAUAUCAAGGAUCUUGAUUACACACUUAACUUAGACAUGAAAUGGUAGAAUCACCUAAAGUGGUCCCACUUGCAUGGGCUAAGGGCUCAACAUAAAGGUAUGUUGAUCCAUGCCUUAGGAAAACCUUCGGAAGUUUAAGGCAGGUUGAUUAAUUAGAGAGGGUCUCUACCUAGUAAUAAGAGUCAUAACCUGUCUAAAGUAAGCUUGAUUCUUAUGAUACUAGGUUACCUUGUAUGGAUACAUGUAGUUUGAGAGCACUACAGUUUUGCUAAAUUAAUUACCAACUUGCCUUGAAUGCUCAAUUCCUUUUGUUAAUGCAUCGAAUUAUUAUUUUUAUUAUGGAUAUCAUGUCUUUAACCUAUCACCUUUUAUUUUUUGUUUAAAUUGGACCUAAUUUUAGAUUAGAAAUAAUCUAGAUAUAGUAUUAAUUGCAUAGAAGCUGUUUUUGGUAGAGUUUGUUAUUUCCUUUGAACAAACCUAACAUCAAGUAAGAGAAGCAUAUCAAAGGUGGCAUAAGACGGAUCAAAAGACUAAGUCUCUCAUACUUGGGUCUUUAGAUAAUGUGUUGCAAAAGCAACACAUGUCUAUUGUCGUAGUCUAUGAUAUUCUCUUCAAAGUUGCAAGGGUUAUUUGGUGAUAAGGGCAAGUCAACUAAACAAGUUGCCCUUAAGACCAUUAUGAACACCAGGAUUCAUGUUAUCUUACAAAUCUUACCAGAUUCUUUUGGGAUGGGUAAGAAGAUUCUCAAAGAGUGGAAAGGUGUUCAUAUGGAAGUCAAGGUUCUUCAAGCUCUUCUAACACUAUCUCAAGCUACCUACAUAGAUAAGAUUUUGGUUAAGUAUGUGAUGCAGGAUUCCAAGAAAGGUUUUUUACCUUUUAAGCAUAGAAUUCCCCUUUCUCUAAAUCAGUGUGCUAAAACACUUGAGGAGAAAGAGUGCAUGGAGUUAAUACCUUAUGCCUCUGCAGUGGGUAGUCUUACAUAUUUGAUGCUAUGUACUAAGCCAUAUAUUUUCUUUGUAGUGGGUAUGGUGAGUAGAUAUCAGUCUAAUCCAGGUCCAAAACAUUGGACAACAAUCAAGCAUAUACUCAAGUACCUAAGGAGAAUGAGAGAUUAUGUGUUUGUGCUCCAAAGUGUUGAGAUAGUUUAAAGGGUGACAUGAUGGUUGACAAGAUACCUUCUGUGAAGAACCUAGGGGAUCUUUUCACCAAGACAUUGUCAGGGAGAGUCUUUAAUGGUCACAAGGAUAACAUAAGUUUCAAAUGAAUAUCUGACAUGCUUUAUAGGCAUGAUGCUUUUAGGGCUAGUGGGAAAAUGUUAGGAUAGAGCCCUUAAAAGUAUGACAUGAUGUAAUAAAUUUGGAAUUCAUUAUUUAUUUAACGAUGUUCCAGUUUCACUUUUAUCGAUCCUUAUUCCAUGUAUUAUACUUUACAAGCAUUCUUGCCUACAUCAUUUGCAUUGUACGUGACUUAGGUUCAUUAGGAGUUGCACAAAAGAUUUAAGUCAUGGGUUCCUUACAAAUAAAUGGCUUGUUCACAACUAGUUCAUGUGUCUAGGCAACCCAUUAGAGGUAAUAGAGCACCACCUCCUAAUUGAAGGGAUGACUAGUCUUGGCUAUCGGGAUGGUUUUCCCAUGGUGAGUGCAUUAGUGUGUAUGGUUACAUAUUGGAUAAGACCUAUGGUGAGUCAUGACUUAAGGCUAUCAAGUAGUCAUGACCUCACCAAGAUGCUUCAUUAUGUUGUCUCUCAACCUUGAGAGAAUAUUGAGCUCGUAGUAAAGUUAGCAAUGACUUUGAUCUAUGGGUGAGAUAGUAAGCUGAUCAUAUAUUCCCUAUGUAUUAGGUCAUUGUUGAUGGAAGCCGGUAGCAAUAGGUAUUCUCAAUAGAGGCACCAUGAUAUCUUUUAGGAUUGAGACAGUGUGUCCCCUUGGGUGAUCAUAAGGAGGUGUGUUCAUGGAAACUAUGGCCAUAGUAGUUCCUUAAGUAAAACUUGACAUAAACUCUUUGAGAGUUAAGAUAUGUAAAUUGAACACACAAUAGGAGGAUCCGUAACUCAAGGAUGGUAGAGGUAAUCUUGAAAGGCCGAUAGCUUUCCCCUAGUUAGACUAUGGACACCAGCUCAUGGGAAGAGUGAACACAAUGGAUAGCAAGUCAUAGACCCGAGCACUUGGUGUCUCGUUGUUAUAUACAUAGGAUACUGGAGUUCAAUUGAUUCUCUGUAGUGGGAUGUUGAAUCCACUUUAGAAUUGGAUUAUGAGGGAGCUAGUAUUCCUAUGGGUCCUAGUGGUCCCCGCUCUAAGCUUAUUUACCUUGUUAGCAUGGGUUAUGAGGGUUAGAUUGGCUCUAGGUUCACUUUUGUGCAUAAGAACGUUUUGGUAGUUAAGUAAGGUUGCACAGGGGUAAGUGAACAAGGUCUUUGGAUUAGGCUAAUUGUUUAAUUAGUAGGCCUUAUUGGGUUAAUUAAUCAAAUAAGACCCAUUUUGGGCUCGAUUUAGUUACCCAAUCACAUGUGGGCUCAAGUCACUUAAGCCCACUUAGGAACCCUAUAAAUACACUCUAGGGGUUAAGGUUUCCAUAACUUUUUAUCUUCCACCAUCCAGAGAGAUAGAGAGCCAUAACCUUCACCCUCUUUUCCUCCCCACUGGAAGUGUGUGAAGAUCAAGGUUCAAGUCAUCGGGAGAAAGAUCGUAGGUUUAUGAGACUUAUGUGAUUUCAUUCUUCAUCUUCACCAUGUAGAUUUGAUUCAGUAACUAUUUUUAAAACAUCUUGCCAAACAUUCUUAUUUUUAAAAAAGGUAAAAACUGUUUUUUGUUCUCUAUUUUGAACAAAAAAAAAAUUAAAAAAACAAAUUUUUAACAACACUACAAAAUAGGCCCUAAGUUAUCCAAAGAUCGUUUUUUUUUUAAUGAAAUAGGUUCAAUAUAACAUUUCCAUUAAAUAAGAAAAAGGGACCCAAAAAUUUCUUUUAAUAAAAAUAGGUUUUAGACAUUUUUUUUAGAUAUAAUAGUCCAAAAAUUUUGUUUUGAUAAAAGAAAUAGUUUAGAAUUUUAAAAUAAAUAAAUAAAUAAAAGGUUAAGAAAUAUUUUUUAAAUAAAAUAAAAUACUCCAACAAUCUUAUUUUAAUGAAAUAACAAUUCAAAAAAUAUUAUUUUUAAUAAAAGAAAGUUUUCUUAAUAGAAAGUUCAAACAAAUGUUUUUAGAAGAAUCUAGAAAAAAUAAUAAUAAUAAUUCAAAAUUUUGUUUUUAAUAAAAAGUAGUCUAGAAAUUCAUUUGUUUAACAAAAUUUUCUAGAAAAAUUGAUUUUUAAAUAAAAUUGUCCAAAAAGUUAAUUUUAAUACAGUCGUCUAAAAUUGAUUUUUAAAUAUAACUCUCUUUCCUUGAUAAGAAAGGGAUUAAAAGUAAUUUUUAUAAAUAGAUGUCUUAAAGAAUUUUUUUAAAUAAGAAUAGCAUGAGUAAACUUUGAAAUAGAACUGAAAAACCUUCUUUUUUUAAUAAAUUGGUAAACAAAUCUCCUACUAAAUGAAAUCCAGAAUUCUUUCUUAAUAAAAUUGGAAUCCUUGGGAACAAAUUUGUGAAAUUCUUUCUCUAAAUAAAUUAGUAAUAAAGAAUCUUUUUCUAGGUAAAAUAAAAAGUAUAUAUAUUUUUAAUAAAAUUGGGUUGAAAUUCCUUCUUAUAAACUUGUAAAUAUAUUUCUUUAAGUUUGUAGAUUUUUUUUUUAAAAAAAAAUAAAGAUUGAAUCAAAACACUUUUUAAAAUAAAUUAGUAAAAUUCACCCCUCUUAUUAAUAAGGUAAACAAAAAUCAUUUCUUGUAAAUCAAAUCAAAUCUUUUUUAAUAAAUUGAAGCCUUGUGAAUAAAUAAAUUCAAAUCACUAAUUUGAAAUUGUUGUUAAACUAAAAGAAUUCUUUGAAAAUUUAUGGAAUUUGUAUUAUGAUAUUUGAAAUAAUAAAAUCUUUCUAAUAAAUUAUUCUGUGCAUUUCUCAUGUAUCAUUUCUACAUAUCCUUAUAAUUUGCUUUUGCAUUAUUCCAUGUACUUGUAUUAUUCUUUUUUUUUCAGUAUUCAUGAUUAACUAAUUAAUUAUCAUAAUUCUCUUUUACGUGCUUACUAGAAACCUUUUUAAGGCUUAAAAGGGUGCUACCCUAUGGUACCUUCACAAUAGGUAACCUGACUUCGAGAUUCGAAUUCGAUUUUUACCGACAUGUUUUUUCUUUAAAAACGAGUAACGAUAGGGCUUUACUUAUUUAUUUUUUUCUAAAAAAUAAAAAGAGUGACAACUCCAACUUUAAAAAAAAAAAAAUCAGUUUUUUUAUAACAAAAACAAAUUUCACCAUCAAGUGGGGACGCACAUGAAAAAUGAGAGUUCACAAUUGUAUUUCUUAGACUUAAAAUAUAAUACAAUUACUAAAUCAACGAAUGUUGUGAGUUUUUACAUCUUUGAUCAUAAAAGAUUCAAAGUACAAUGGAACAAAUAGUUUUCAAAAGGAAAAUAAAAAUGUUUAAAAUGGAAAAUCUAACAAUAAAGACAAUGAAACAAGGUGAUAUGGUAGGAGUUAAAUAGAGAAAUCUUUUAUCCAUGAAUUUAUAGUUUAUUUAGUAGAAAAAAGUUCAAAAGAAAUAUUGCAUACAUUAAUGAAUUAAGUAGAUAAAAGGGAUUUAGGUAAUUUGAUAUUUAUGCUUUAGUUUGAUAACAUCAAAUAGAAAUUUGAUAUUAUUAGUUUCCAUAUUGAGUUUGGAAAUCUAUCAAAUGGAUGUUAAGAUUAUCUUUCUUUGAAUGGUUACAUAAAUUAAGAGUAUAUGGGGUAACCUAAAGGAUUUAUGACAAGAACACAAAGUUAGGGAUAGAUACAUUUAGCUAGGUUGGAUUAUAACCAAUCCAAGAAUCAAAUAGAAGUUGAUUGGUUUUAACUAAAGUAUAACAAAUUUAUUUAUUGACUCAAACUAAUCCAACUUAAUAUUAGUUUGAUUCAGUUUAGUUAACUCAAUUUAGACCAAAAUAUUGAGUCUAUAUGUUUUUUUCUCCACAUUGACCACAUAACCAAAAUGAUCAAAUUGUUUUAGAUAAAUAUAUAUAUAUAUAUAUAUAUACACACAAAUAAUACAACUAAAAAUUUUAAAAAUAAUGUGUAGGAGCAAACCAAUGGAUUAUUUUCUUAUUGGGAGUAAGUCAAUGAGUAGUAUUAUUGACAUAUUGGGUGCUUGUGACUUGAAAUUAUAUUAUCAUCAUUAUUAAGUCCCACAGUACUAGGAUUUUAAAUUUUAGAUCAUGCUUAUGCCAUAAGCAACUUUUAAUUUGUAAUAAAGCCAUGGGAGUUAGGUUCUAGGCCUCCAACAUCAAACUGUAGCCUAACUAAGUUAGCUUUGGAUGAGCAUGGUUUGACUCACAAAGUCUCAAGAUUCUCCAUAACACUCCAAAAUCCAAGCAAUUAUAUUUGUCCCACUCCUCUACUACUUGGGUUUGUUUGCCAAUCCACUAUGAUCUAGGUUGAACCUUUCAUAAGCCAAAUACUUAAACUAGUUUGAUCUCUAGUUUCACUGCACUACCAAAAUAAAGUAGAAACGCUAAAAUUUGCAAGAGGAAAACCUUCAUGAUCAGCCACAUCUUCUUUGGAAUAAAAGCCUCUUCUCUUGUCCUAAACACAACUGCUUCAAUUUUCUUACUAUUUCUAAUAAGCACGACUUAUCUUCUCUCUGACAUGAAUAGAUGAAUUCUUAAACGUAUUUAUAGAGGCUGGAGGUGAAAGCUGAACAGCUGGUUUCCUGGGGUACAACCAUUCCUCGCCGCGUAUCAAUAUAAGAGAAGUAAUUUGAAUGUGUAUUGGUUUUGAAAGUUCUUCCAGGACCACUUCAAAGAGCAGGUUGUGUAUGAUAUCUGACCACUUACCAAAAUUUAAAUAAACCAAAUUCCUGAAGACGAGUUUCUUAGAAUCUCUUGAAUUUUCUAAUUCAAAAUACAUGAAAGAUGAUUUUCCUGGGGUACAACAAUUCCUCGCCGCGUAUCAAUAUAAGAGAAGUAAUUUGAAUGUUCUUCAGAAAGCAGGUUGUGUAUGAUCAGCUUCAAUCAGGUUGUGUAUCGUACAAGUUUGACUUUGAGAAUUGACCAAGAAAUUAAUCAAACAUAUUAUUUUAGAAUAAAUUUCAAAUACAUGUAGAAUACUUUUAAAACUUUGACCUCGCAUAUAUACAGUACCUUUAUCAAGAUUAGUCAAGAUUUUCUCUUUGUAUUUGGUAGGAAGGGAAAAGUCAGCGCUGCUUUCAGAAGGAAUAUAGGAUUCCAUUAUAGGAAAGAAACAAUCAUUCAAUUAUAGGAACCGGAUCGAAAAUUCCUUGUCCGGUUGGAGGGUCAAUCCAGACAUUCAAAUCAUUAGGUCAGCGAUGAAAUCAUUCAACAUGCUCACCAUCAAAUAAAUAUUGGUUUCCUUUGCAUAUUUCCUCCAAACCGGCUUUAAUCUUGAUAAGAUAUAUUGCACAGAUAAAUUGCAUGCACCAACAUAUAAAUUAGUUUAAACGGAUAAGAGAACAUUCAGACAUUUUCAAACAUCAAAUCUCCACUUUUUUUAAAUUGUUUAUAAACAGAAAAAAUGAUGAAUAAAAUUUAAGACGUGAAAAUAUGACCAAGUUAAUUUAAACUUUUUUUUAUUUUUUUUCACUUUUUUUCUUCUAUUUUUUUUUUCUCACAUUUCCUUUUGAACUUUUGGAAUAAAUUCCCUACUAUUUGUGGCGCUUUAAUAUAAUUUUUUUUCUCCAUAUUAUACAUAUUUAUGCAAUAUUUGGUUAAACUAUUUUGAAUUUCUAUUUUUACCUUAACAAGAAACAUUUCUUGAAAAUGAAGAUUAUUUUCUCCUUAUUUUCAAAUUUGUGUUUCUCCACUUUUUUAAAAAUAAUAAUAAUAAUAAUUAUAAGUAAUUAUAGAUUUAAAAAUAACUUUUUUCAUAACAAAUACAAUAUAUAGCGGGCUUAUAAAAACUAUUAUCUAAAAAAAGGAAAAGUAAAAUAAGAAAUAAUUCAAACUUCCUUAUUUGGUUUAUUGUACCAUAUUCAAAGAGUUUUAAAUAAUAAAUUCGAAGAUCAUCCCAAACACUUUAAAGAGUUUUAGAAAUCAAUACUAAAUUCAAUCUUAAUUUAAAACUCCUAAAUAAUUAAUUGUAAAGUUGUUUUCAAAGGAAACCCUUCCUAUCUCGAUUUCCUCUCACUAAGAUACUUAAAAAGUGGAAUAAUAUAUAAGAGUGAACUUAAAACUCAAUUAAGAAAAUAGGUCAAUAAGGAAGAUCAAGUAUAGUACAAAGUUAAAUCUUAGGAGUUAUCACAUCUUAAAAAAAAAAAAAAAAAUCAAUUAGUAGGAGUUCAUUUAAUUCAAUAAUUAAAUUCAUUUUGUUCAAAAAAUUAUGCACUUUCAAUUUAAAGAUAGAAUUAAAUAAUAUACUUUACAUACUUAAAUUAUAUUAAAAAAAUAUAAACAAACAUUUUACUUUGACUCAUUGAUAAUAACAUUGUGCCCAAAUAGUAAAACUUGCAUUAGGUGGCUAGUCUCACUUUGUGCCUUUUAGCAAUGGACAAAAUGAUUUAUAAUCAAUGAUAUACCAAAGGCUAAUAACACCCUUAUUAGCUAGAGUUACAUUAUAUCACUAUCCUCACAAAAGGUAACACAGGUCAACAACUUCUCUCUUAAACCAAUGUAAUAAAUUAAAUGAUAAAAUUCAUUUGCAUAACAAUAAACAAAUCAUAUGAUAUUCCCAAUUUAUUUUAUAAACUAAGGAACAAAUCAUAACAUUUUUAGUAAAAUAUUAUUUGAUCCACUUUAAGGAACUUAAACAUUUUGAUAGUUUAAAAAUAGAUGAAAAAAAAUAAGAAAUUAUAAAAUGUUUUACUAUACUAUUGACCCUUACCUUGAAGAAAUCAUUCAAAAUCCUGAAAGACUUAAUCUACACCUAAUAUAAAUAUAAAUAAAAAAUAAUUAUUAAAGAUUAAUUAUCUAAAUUAACAACUUCCUAAUUUUUAUGUAAAACUUACCUUAAUUAUCUAAAUAAUGAGUAGUAUUAUUGACAUAUUGGGUGCUUGUGACUUGAAAUUAUAUUAUCAUCAUUAUUAAGUCCCACAGUACAAGGAUUUUAAAUUUUAGAUCAUGCUUAUGCCAUAAGCAACUUUUAAUUUGUAAUAAAGCCAUGGGAGUUAGGCUCUAGGCCUCCAACAUCAAACUGUAGCCUAGCUAAGUUAGCUUUGGAUGAGCAUGGUUUGACUCACAAAGUCUCAAGAUUCUCCAUAACACUCCAAAAUCCAAGCAAUUAUAUUUGUCCCACUCCUCUACUACUUGGGUUUGUUUGCCAAUCCACUUUUAGUAAGUGAUCUAGGUCGAACCUUUCAUAAGCCAAAUACUUAAACUAGUUUGAUCUCCAGUUUCACUGCACUACCAAAAUAAAGUAAUUCAAGUAGAAUUAACCAAAGGCACAUGCAUGACAAGUUUUGCUAUUGGGGACGUUUACAAAUAAUAUAUGGAGACAUUUUUCCAGUAUAAUUUGAGACAAAUGCUAAUGGGGUUGCCUAUGAACUAUUCUCCAAGGCUUUUUAGGCUUAUCUAUUAAACAAUGGAAAUUGAAGAUUUGGGGGUCAAAUGAAAGUAAUCAAGUUUGAAGUUGAUGGAAUUGUUUAUUAGCUCAAUAUAGAGGCUUAUCUCAAGCACUUUCUUAGUACAAUGCUUCAAGUCGAUUAACUGCAUGCAUGCACUAAAGACUUCCACAACAAAGGAAAUUUUGCAAGAAUAAUCUAAAGAGCUACUACAAGAGAGAAUGAUCUUUUGAACAUAUGUAAUUGAUUGUGUAUUAAUUAAGAAGGCUUCUAAAGUUGGAUAAGUUGUUUAGAACUUUUAAGAGGGAAUUUGUAAACUUCACAAAAUUGAUCUAAGAGACAUUUACCAAGUUCUAUCAUGAUAAUAAAGUAUUGAGGAGAAAAUGUACCACCAAACCAAGUUGUAUUUGCUAAGAAUACUCACUACAUUUCUAUUAAGAAAGAAACUAUCUAGUGGUAAAGGACAAGAUAGUUUUAGUUCGUGAAGUUUUCACUGCCCAAGCUAACAUCAAAAGCUAUAACAAGACAAAUCCUAAUAAGGUAAGAUAAAAGGUUGCACAAAAGGGACAUCUUGCUCCUUGUUGAAAAUCUCAUUCAAUUGCAAAUCUACCACAUCAAGAAUGCUCUCUCUUCUAUAAUUUUCUCAUACCCAAUCCACAAUACUAUUAUUAUACUUGUUUUGCAUGUUUUUUUCUUUUCUUUUCUUUUUGGCUUUCUAAGUUAUGUUUUCUUUGGUUAUAGCAAUAGCAUCAUUAGUGUGUUAAAUUCCCUUAUAGAUAAUUCCUCAAGCAUUUAAUGUCCUCAUUGUUGCUAUUAAGUCUUAUAGUAUGAAACGAAAAAUAAAAAUUCUUGUAUUCAAAAUCAAAUGGAAGCACAUGAAUUAAAAAAUGCAAACACAAGAGAAACAUUGAAAUCCAAUUACAAAGAGUAGUAUCAAAAUUUCCAUAUCUACAAAAUUCAAGUGUUAAGAUUUCUAAAAAUGAAAUAUAUAUAUAUAUAGGGUUCAUUGGGAGAAGACCUACAUCUAUAAAACAUCAAGGUCUGACAUUAAGAGAGGAAUUCAAUCCAUACCUAAUAUGAAGGCAUGGAUUCGAACACAUUGACUAGAUUUGAAGAAUGCAAUUCAUCCAUGGGAAUUUGUGUACCUAAAGAGGGUUGGUUUUUGGAGGUACUGGAAGAUGGUUGGAGUAUGGUAGUGGCUAUUGAAAGGGUCGAUGGCGGUGGGAAGCCAUAACUACUAGUGAAGAGGAAGUUAGGUGAAUUGGAGACUUGAUGAAGAAGAUAAUGUGAGCUCGAUAAAAUUUCCUCCAACUUUUCCUUUCUUUUUCUCUCUUAUUUUCCUCACUAAUUUUUAAGGAAAGUAGAAGAGAAAAUAUUACAAUAUUUUCUUUAGUAUUUUCUUUUAUAUUUUUUCCAUCAUAUUUUUCAUGUCACCAAUAUUUUCUUUAGUAUUUUCUUUUAUAUUUUUUCCAUCAUAUUUUUCAUGUCACCCAAACUAAGGAAAAUAACUUUCCAUAGUAUUUUUUUUCCUUUCCCUUGCAUUUUCUAAAAACCAAACACAAUCUUAAUAAAUAAAAAUUAAGAACUACAACAAGAUUGUAUAUUUCCUCUUUAUUCUUGCAUUUCUACAUCUACUACUCUAUUUGACAUCAUAUUUUUACUCCCUUCUUCAAUCAACAUUCCUCCCUUAUUAUAGAGUUAUCUUCACACCAAUUCAUAAGAUAAGAAAGGUGAAUGAACCUUGGGGCAAAUUUGGACAACUAGUGGCAACUAGUCAAGAUUUGAAGUCAACUUUUGCUUGAUUUUUUUUGGCAUGGGCAGCAACUUGUGGACCCUCUUUAGCAUGAAAAUGACUAGAAUAUGUUAAGCUCUCUUAUUAGAUGGUUAAUGAUGUAUGAACCUGUAGACCCCUUAAAAGACUAAGGGUUUUUCCAGUUGGUUUGAGGGACCACUCGGGUGAUUUUUUUUGAAGUGAGGGGGACCCCUUUUCUGCCAUGAAGGAGCUGCAUUGGACGCGUGGACACGGCAAGAGGCAGGGGCGACCAUGCUGGUUGUUGAGGAGCCCAUGCUUGCUGAUGGGUGAACAGCAGAGCCGGUAAUGGCUUGCCAAAGAGAUUUUUUUUUUUAGAGAGGGAGAGGUAUAGAAAAGGCGAGGAGGGCUCUUUUCAUGGUGGCCGUGAUAGAGACUCGGAGCUGGGGGGGAAAAAGUUUUUUUACUGAUCUGGGAGGAAGAGAAAAUACAGGAAGCUGAGUAAGCACUGCCUGAGAAGCUCAGGUAUGGCCAACAUGGAUUUCUUUGUUUUGGAUCUUCUUCAUCUUCCUUCUCUAUUAUUGCUGUGAUUUUGAUAUAGUUGAUUCUGGUCACAUUCCCUGGAGUUUUGUUUGAGCAUGAACUGUCUCUGUUGCAGCUUUCUUAUAAAAUGUCUAAAUCAUGCCUGGGUCCUAGUCUAAAAUAUAUUGAUCUCACUCGCCUGCGUUUAAGUACAUUGAUUGUAAUAUGAAACGUGGCUUUUCGCUGGUUCAUUUUAUUUCAUUCUUUUAUGCUCUGUUUUUUUGUUAUCUUCCCCUGUUCCGGGCACCCAUCCAUGGCAUACACCAAAUUUCCUAUCCUUAGAUGGAAAGGUAAGGCACCGUGUGAAACGCGCUCUCAGUUUGUGGGGUAUGUAGAUCUGCGUUCAUGAGUCGGUCAUGCCGUGGUAUCGAGUUCUCCUUUAUUGAGGGUAAACAGAGUUGGUGUCGCCAAGUGGGGAUGGGAAGGAUAUGUUGCUAACAGAGCAGCCCAAGAAAUGUUUCUUCAUCUAAGAACGAAAUCAUUCGCUGGAAAGUGUAUCAAUGAUCUCCACUGCUGUCUGUUUAGACACAAUAUGGAACGACUGGUGGUGUAGAUAUUGACAAGGUGACCGAGCACCUAUGUGCAAACUACGGACGUACCAGAUUUGAAAAAUCCAGCAUGGAUUUCUCUAGAGAAUGCAUGAUGCGCCUGUAGACAUUUCUGGGAAUUUCUGGCAGGUCCAGAGUCGAUAUUAGCAACCCUCUGGCACUCUUAAUUGGAGAACACUAAGGUCCAAUUCGACUCUCCAUGCAAUGAGUAGCCUCUCUGAUGCUUAUGAAGAUCAUCUUCUGGGUACCGAACUCGCUGAAACCUGUUUUGGAGCUGGACGAUGGUCCUUGCACAGGAGAAUCUAAGUUCAGAGAGCCAUUCUUCAAGGUCAGCAGCAGUGAUAACGGCGCUGCAUGGGUACCAUGAUCAUCAACAGAAAUUAUUCCAUUGUUUGAAUGUGGGAAUAUUUUUAGCGAGAUGACCAUUUGCAAUUUACACGACCACCUCCCUCUCAUACCUAUUUUCCUCAUACUCCCAUCACCCAACAAGCCAAACCAUUCCAUCAUUCCCCUCAGUACCUCCUGCAUGCAAAUCCAUUGUUCCCAAACCCAUUGCCCAUAGCCGAUACCUAUCUCACCAUAUUCUUCUCAUUUUUUUUUCUUCAAACCCACUGCUUAUACUUCAUGCAACCAUACCCACUGCUAUCCACCCGCGUACACAUCCACCUUUCAUAAUACCCAUCUUCUCACCACCUUUUCUCUCUCAUACCCAUAUUUCUAACAUACCCGUCACCACCCGUUUCUCUCUCUAAACUUAUUCACACCCAUCUCCUGCACCCAGCAGCCGCAAACCACCCAUUUUCCAUCUCAACCCGUUCGGCUGUUCUGUGAUUGAUGGACCUCAUGGUGACAUGGGUCUCACGACUCUUAAAAAAUAGGUUUUCGUUGAAGAAGCUUCAUGUCGUUCUAUAUUUGCUGAAGCCUUUUUGUUUCCCACUGAUGGCAUUGUUUAAACAAAUUGGUGGAUAAAAGUCAAAGACAUGAGUUUUUUAUAUUAUUUUUUAUUCUUCAUUGGUGGCAUGGUUCCCGUAGGCUUCAAGGUGGUUUAUUAUUAUUUUUUCUCUUUUCUCCCACGUGCCAUCUUCUUAAUUCCACUUUACAUAUUAAAAUUUUCAUUUUUUUGAAAGUCCUAAUUCUUUUAAAAAUCCCAACGUUUCAAAUUCAUUCAUUUAUUCAUUUAUUUUAUCUAUUUUAUUCAUUUAUUUUUUAUUUUUCUAUUUAUUUAUUUAUUAUUUUAUUUAAGAAUAUAUAUAUACGCGUAUCCUUUCCAAAAUAAUCUCGUAAAAUAUGAUUUUUAAAUUUAUUUUACGAAACUUCAAAUCUAACAUUCAAUUUUCCAAAACUCCAAUAUUUUAAGUUUAAUUUUUCAAAAUUCAAUUCUCGAACUAAUUUUCUAGAACUCUAACUUUAAAUUUAAUUUUCCCAAAAUUCAAAUUUUCAGUUCCAAUAUUUCAAAAAUUCCAUUAUUCACGUUCAUUCGUUUAAACAUUAUUUUUGUUAGUAUUAUUAUUAUUCCAUAUUUAUUUAUUUAUUUCUUUUAAAAAUUUCGAUCAUUCAAGUUUAAUUAUUCAAAAAAAUCUGACUUUCGAAUUUCAUUUUCAAUCUAAAAAAUUUCACUAUUCACAUUCAUUCGUUUAAACAUUAUUUUUGUUAUUAUUAUCAUUCCAUAUUUAUUUAUUUAUUUCUUUUAAAAAUUUAAAUUAUUAAAGUUCAAUUCUUGAAAAAUCUGACUGUCGAAUUUCAUUUUCAAUCUCAAAUAUUCCACUAUUCACAUUCAUUCAUUUAAAUAUUAUUCUCAUUAUUAUUAUUAUUAUUAUUAUUCCAUUCAUUUAUUUUACAAAUUCCAAUAAUUAAAGUUCAAUUUUUCAAAAUUCCGUUUUCCGAAUUUAAUUUUCAAUCUAAAAAAUUCCACUAUUCACAUUCAGUUGUUUAAUGAUUAUUUUCGUUAUUAUUAUUAUCCCGUUCAUUUAUUUAUUCACUUAUUCAUAUAUUUAAAAAUCUCAUCUCCAAAUAAUUUCUCAAAAUCUCAAUCUUUAAAUUCAAUCUCCCAUCUCUAAAAUUCUAUUUUUCGCAAUUAUUUACCAAAUCUUUAUUAUUUCAUCAUUAUUAUUAUUUACUCAUUUAUUUAUUCACUUAUUUGUUUAUUAAAAUUCCGUAUUUAAAUAAUUCUUCAAAAUUCCGAUUCCCAAAUUUAGUUCUCUGAAACUCCAAUUCCUUUCAAAUUCAAUUACUAAAAUUCUCAUUCUUAUAUUUAAUUUCUAAAAAUCCAAUUUUCAAAUAAUCUUUAAAACUCCAAUUUUCAAAUAAAUUUCAAAAAUCCAGUUUUCCCUCAAACAGUUUUAAUUUCUAUUUGAUGACGCAUGUGAUAUGUUUUGUGCUCUUUAUUAUACAUUGACCCCAUUUUUAUGAUAGCGCAUUACUCGUUCGUGGCCCAGGUAUGCAUCCCUUCCCAUUUUGGUCAUUCUCUAUGCAUGUUUUGAUUCUCAUGUGUGCAUGGUCGAUUUGAGUAUCCGUUGGUUUUCUUAUUGAUCGUCACGUCGGCUUCAUUUUAUUAGUAGAUAUCCGACUUUAGGGACUUAGAGUGGUGCUACGGUCUUUACCGUACCUUCCUGAUAAGUAACCUGACCCCCGAACCCGAUUCGGUUUUUCAUAGACCACCUUUUCCAAAAUAAGGAGUCACACUUAGGGUUUUCUUUCUUAUUUUGUUUACCCUUUUAAAAAUAAAACAAAAAUAAGUGGCGACUCCAAGUCAUAUUUUUUUAAUAAAUAAAAAUCAUUUUCGAAUAAAGAUCGAGCUUACCAUCGAGUGGAAAAUGCAUGAACUGAAAUGCGAGGUCCAUAGAACCAUACGACAAUCAUAGGGUGGGGAAUAUAUGGUAAUUGUGCAAUAAAUAAAUAAAUAAAAAAUGGUAUCCAAUUAUAUAAAAAGGCAUCUUCCAACAUUUGAUAUACAUAUGUAAAAAUUAAGAGGAAAAUACUAAAAAAAAACAUAUUAAACCUAAAAAUAGGGACUUAAUAUAAAAUAAAGCAAAAAGGUAAAAUUAAAACCAAAUAUUAAUAAUGAAUAUAGUUUAAGUAUUAAAAAUAUUAUUAUUUAGGUUUUAAUCAUUAGGCUUGCUAGAGGAGUUUAUAUAUAUAUAUAUAUAUAUAUAUAUAUAUAUAUAUAUAUAUAUAUAUAUAUAUAUAUAUAUAUAUAUAUAUAUAUAUAUAUCCUAUCUCUGCAUAAAAUUUGUAAAUUAAAUAUUUAUUUCUGUUAUUUAAAGGAAUCAUUGAAAUGUUUGCAUGAAAGAUUUAUUCCAUAGCCUAAAAUGAUGAUAUUGGCAUUAUAUAUAUGUGUAUGUAUGUAUGUAUGUAUAUAUAUAUAUAUAUGUAUACAUGUGUUUGCUCAAAUGAUAGGCUGAUUUUAAGCUAUAAUAAUAAUAACUGUAUUAUUGUAUUAUUGAAAUGAAAAGGUUGUUGUUCUUUAAUUUUGAUUUGAAAUACAGGGGAUAUUUCUAACACUAAGAUGAUGUUUAUUUUUUUAAUUGAAUAGAAAAAAUUAAAAUAUUUGAUUUUUUUUUAUUCAACUAAAAGUAACAUGUUGAUAUCAACCAACAUAACUAAAGUGAACUUAUUCUUAAUAGGCUUAGUUUAGUUAUGUUGGUUGAUAUCAAUAGGUUAUUUUUAACUAAAUAGAAAAAAAUAUAUAUUUUAGCUUUUUUUAUUCAAUAAAAAAGCAAACACAUCUAAAAUUUUAUAUAAAAAUGCUUUAACUAGAAAUGAAUUUCAUAUGGACCAUUGUAAAAUACCAUGCAUAGGGAGAAAUCUGGAUCCUCACUUGCUCUUUGAUUUUAAUGCAUUGAAUUUGAUGUUGGCUAAAACAAAUUAUAUUUCAUGUCCCGUAUUAUGAGUAGACAUUCCUUAUGUUAGAUUUUAGAUAAAUAAUGGAUAUUGGAGAUUGGAGUUGUAAGAAAUUAGGAGAUCCUAAUUUUAAAUAUGUAACAAAGUUCUAUAAUCGCUUCAAUCCAUGUUUUAAAAUUUGUAUUUCUUUCUAAUAUUAGAGCAAACUUUUUCUUUGUUUCUUAUAAAUUUCAUUUGGGAAUGAUUUAAAAAUAAAUAAAUAAAAACCCUUCUAAAUAUUAAAAAGUAACACUUUCUUAUAAAAAUUAAUUAGGUAGAUGGUAAGGUCAAAUUCAGGAUAGCUUCAUAUUUUUUGCUUUAAUUGAAAAUUAAAAUCAAAAUUAAAGUAAUAAUUUUUAAGGUUUCUUACAUUCAUAUUCGUAUUAUUUAUUAUAUCAAAUUAAUUUUAAUUUACAAAAUAUUAAAACUUUAUAAUUAUCAUUAUUAUUUAUAUUUUAGUUUUUUUUAAAUAAAUUUAUAUUUUUAAUAUUUUAAAAUAAAAAUAUUCAAAAUUAAAAGGAUAAAUAUAAAAAAAAUUAAAAAUAAAAGUGAUAGUAAUUUUUUAGAAUAGGAUUAAUGAGAAUUAUGAUACAUUUUAUCUCUACUAAAUCUAAAACUCAAAAGGGCCACCCACUUCUGUCACUCGAGGCACCGAGAAGCCCUUGUUUGAAGUUGCCGUCCAGACGAGAGAAUCCCUAAAAAUGCCUUAUUUCCUCUGCCACUCUCAAUCCUCACAGGUACUAAUCUAAUCAUGUUAUUUUGUUUUAAUUUUUUUUUUCAACCCCCGUUUGAUUCCCAAAGAAAAUCUCUCCCCCAUUUGAUUUUCGGGAAAAUUCAUCCUCGUUUGAUUUCCGAGAAAAUCCAUGCAAAACCCCCAAGCAAAACAAAAAAAAUUGCUUUUUUUUUUUUUUUGCUCCCUGUGUUUUCUGGAUCUGUUCUAGGGGUCUCUUUGCUUUUAUGCCACUGGAUUUAAAUUUCACGAACCCUAGAUCCACGAUUUUUGAGCCAGGCGGAAAAACACAACCUUCGCCUGCAAAUCAUGAUCAGAUUACCAAAUAGCAUCUUAUUUUUGCUACUGGAUUUAAAUUUCACGAACCCUAAAUCCAUGAUUUUUGAGCCAGGUUGAAAAACACAACCUUUGUCUGCAAAUCAGAUUACCAAAUAGCAUCUUAUUUUUGCCACUGGAUUUAAAUUUCACGAACCCUAAAUCCAAGGCUGAAAAACGCAACCUUUGCCGGCAAAUCAUGAUCAGAUUACCAAAUAGCAUCUUAUUUGAUUUAAAAAAAAUAAAAAAUAAAAAUUGGACAGAUUUUGUAUCCUGUGCGUGGGCUGGACUGGUAGGAAAUGUCGGGAAAUUUCCCGAAAAAUGGGUAAAAAUACCGAUAUUCCCGAAAAUUACCAAAAUUUCCAUCUACAGAUAAUCGGUGACGAGCCGGCCGAUAAGCAAAAUUUCGGAGAAAUAUCGCCGAAAUUUUUCGAUAUUUCAAACACUGCAUGCUUGUUGGGUUUCAAAUCAAAUGGGUUCUUUUUCCCUAGGCACUUAAUUUUGUGGCUUUGAAUGGGUCUUUGCCUCUUGCAAUCGAUCAAAUGAAGGUGCGGAAAUGGUAAUAUUUCAUGUUUUUAUUUGUUCUUGUUUGUUAAAUUCUAAUAAUCUAUUUUCCUCUUUUGGUCAUGUGGGACAUCAUUGAUUUUGGUUUCGCCUACAUUAAACUUGGAAGUUUGCUUUGAGAUUUAUUGAGGAAAAAGUAUGGAUUGUGUGAUGGUUGAAAAUAUUUAGUUACUAGGAAAAGCCACGACCUUUCACUUAAAUCCAUAGAUUUCAUACCAACUCGUGUCUUGCAACUUGUAAGCUUUCUUCCUUUUAUGUUUCAUUUUUUAAUAUAUUAUUAAUUUCUCUUAGUAAUUAAUUAUUUGAUAUAUAUAUAUAUAUAUAGGUAAAAUUUUAAGUCACUAUAAUAAUGUUACUUCUUUUUAUAUUCAAAUAUAUUAAUAAAAAGACACUAUUUUUUUUUAUUAAAUUGUGCACUUUGGCGUGUCCUUCAUGUCAAAUAAGUUUGGUUUUAAUUAAUCUAAAUUGAUAUUUAAAAUAAUACAAUAAGACACUUUCAAUUUUAUCAUAUAAAGUUUAAUAGUGUUUGAGAGUUUAACAUAUAAUGGGAAAAAUACUGAAAGGGUGAGCAUAGUCUUUCAGUAUUUGUUAAAAAAAUUAUUUUUUAUUUUUUCAAUUCACUUAUUUUUUAGUUAAUUUUAAGAAUAGUACAAUUCCAUUGAAAAUGAUGCAAUGAGUUGUUUUAAUAUUUAAUAACAACACGUUGGCUUUGCAUGUAGAGGGUAGAAAAUAUGUUGUCCACCAUGAUAUGUAAUUAUAAUUAUAUUUAAAAACUAUAAUUACAUUUAAAAACAUUUUUCUUAGUUUUAACUGAUUACUUAAUUUUUAGUGGUUAGUAUUAUAUUAAUAUAGGAUGGAGAGAGAGAAUUUAGAGUUAUUAUGUCAUAGUCUCUAUCCAACUCAUGUGGGAGUGUUCUUACUAGGAAGGCCAUUACAACUGCUAUAAAGUUCCAUUGCUUAUUAUGCAUAUGUCAAUAGUUUAAUAUUUGAGAGUUGGUUUGUUUACCUGUGUUAUUAAGAAAUAAUCUAUUAUUGUCUAAUAAAGGUGUAGUGGCUAGCUUGUUAUUAAAAUUCUUCAUAAAGCUUGAUAUUUGAUUGCUCCGCAUUAUACAUUUUUCUUUUUAAUUUGUUAAUAUGCUUUACAUUUUCUGCUACAGAUUCGGAGUUUGGGUGUUGGAAAUUUAAGGCUUUCCUAUAAAGUAAUGCUUCAAGACGGAGGCAAGAGGCUUGGUUGUAGAUAUAUACAUGAACAACUUAAUUUAAGUUUAUGUAUAUUGUCUUAUAGUGUGUUUUUAAUUUCGUUGUAUAUUAUAUGAGUUUCUUCUAUAUAGAGAAAUUGGGGACAACUUUAAACAAGUUAAUUGAUUUGUGCUUUAAUUAAUAAUCAAAUGUAUAUUAAAUAUGUUUUUAUUAUAUAUAAAAUCAUGAUAAUUUGAUUGUCAUUAUCGUUCUUAAAUAAUAUCAAAUUGAUUAUACAUGGCAACAGGUUCAAUUUUUCAUAUUAAAAAAUAAUUUUAAAAUUUUUCUAGGGGAACCUUGACAAUUGUACUUAUUCCCAACCUUGACAUACAUGAUACUCAAAUUUGAGAUAUAUGGAAGCAAUCAUGACAUAUGUGGUACCUAUCCUUAACAUAUAUGGUGCCCACCAAGACAUAUGUGGUUCAUAACUUAACAUAUGUUAGAGAUAUCAUGACAUAUGAUAAGUAAUGAAAUAUACAUAUGUCAAGAUUGCUUAUACCUCAAUCUUGACACUCGGAUAGAUGACAUAUAGAAUCAGAAUGCUAUAAUGACAUAUAACCCUUACCAUAAUGGUCAAACACCAUCAAGGAAAGCCUUUUUUUUAGUAGUGUUUUAAGGGGAAAUAUUGAUAUUGUAAGAGUUUUAUUAAACAUGAAAGAAUUUCUUUUAUAAACAAAAAUAGAAUUAUAAAAUUCUUAUAAGAAAUAACAUUUUUAUGACUUUUACAUGAAACCUUUUUUUUUUAAAGUUAUAAGUUUUUUAAAAAAUAAUUAAAUUGGUAUAAAAACUUUUAUUUAACUCUUAAAAGUCAAUCCAAAUAAAAUUUAUAUAUAUAUAUUUGAAAGUCACUUUUAAAAAUCCAAAAAAUCACUUAAAAAUAAUUUCUAAAUAUUUUUUUUAACUUACAUUUAAAAAACAAAAAAAAAAUAAAAUGAUUUGUUUUUACUAGUUAUUUAAAUUAAGGAAGCAGGAAAGAGGAAAGAGUUUGCUCUAAUGUUAAAAAAAAAAGGGGUUGAAAAGUAAUUAAAUCACUAAAAAUAGACUUGGAGUUCUUUUAGUGUGUGGUUAGACUCAAUUUGUCCCCAUGCAAUGGAAAUGGAAGAUUUUUUGUUUUUUGUUUUCCUUUUCCUUUAUCUUGGUGUAGUCUUGUGAUAUUGUUACUAAAAUAGGAGGUAAAAAUAUAAAUUAUAUAUCAAUUAUUUUAAAUUUAGGAAAAAAAAAGUGCUUAUUUUAAUUUGAAAUAAAUAAGUAGAAAAAAAAUUGAUUUUAUCUCAAUUGUGAGACUUCAUUAAAAUUUUCUUAUUUACAAAAUAUUUUGGGUUGUAAAAGUAAAAAUUAAACAAAUCAUUUCAUGACCUUUUUCACAACAUGAUAUUUUAUCAUGUUGAAUAAAAUUGGAAUGGUCAAAAGUUGUCAAAUCAAGACUUCCAUGGCAAAUUACACCAUUGCAUAUCUCAAAGAUUAUUCUACAACAUUAUCUUUGUAGACUUUUAACAAUCCAAGAAAUUGACAAAUUAUAUAAUAAUCCCAUACACAAUAUUCUAGAACUUUACAUUAUUCUUUUUAUUUUAAUACAAGAGGAAUCCUAAGUCAACAAUUUUUUUGAACAAAAAAUAAAUAAUGAAAUCUACAACUUUACAAUAUUCUACAAUUUUUUUGAACAAAAAAAUAAAUAAUGAAAUCUGAAUAAUGGAAACAAUCAAUGAAAUCUGAAUAAUGGAAACAAUCAGUGAAAUCUUUGGCAUGUUAAUUCUUUGUAGCUUCAACAUGGUGGCAUGUCGGAUGGUGGAGGCAACAUUUGAGCUUUUGGGUGUUUACCAUUUUUCACUAUGAACGCAGUUUCCAUGCCCCAAGUCAGAUGGCGUUCUACAUGGCAGUGCAUGAACCACACCCCUGCAACAGAGAAAAUAUACCAACAUUAAACCUAAUUUAUUGCAAUAUUAAGAAAAAUUAUUCCCUUGGUAUGCAGGUUGGCAAUUUCAAGGGUUUUUUUUUAAUAGAGGACAUGAGUGCUUGAAACAUACCAGGGUUGGAUGCCUCGAAUCUGAUUGCAGCCCAACCAUUCGUAGGAACAGAGAUGGUACUCUGAAGGGGAGGAUCCACUAGAUUAUAGCGCAAAGGGUCCUUAUUUUUAUCGAAAUUCCCAAAUCCCCAUCCAACAAGGUAGAAACUGUAUCCAUGGAGAUGCAUGGGGUGGUGUGUCCCUGCAACCAAGUUUGUCCCUUGAAAAACAAUCUCCACUGUGGAGUUAUACUCAAGCACCCUUACUUCUGUUCCGUUUUCCGGCGUUUGAUACUCUAAUGGAAGAUAAUCAGCUGUAAAAUCGAACACCAGUGGUGGAACGCUAGGAAAUUUAUCUCCAUAUACACCACUGAUGUUAUAAUAGUAAGCUUGUAGUAUGUCAAUUGUAGGGGAUUGGAAGCUUAUGUUGUUUAUACUCGCGGAGAAUCGCGUCCCAUUGGGCCCUGCACAUGAAUUAUUGGGGCAUAGGAACGAGUUUACAGAAACAGUGUAAAUCAGUUUAGUGCUCGGGCUCAACGGGACAUUGGAAGGAUGUUCUGCAUUUGCUAAGCUUCGGAGGCCAGCCAUGACCUGAACCGAUGCAUUUGUGUCAUUGUAUGCAGGAAAAUGAGGCAAGGAGGGAGGUGAAGAUGGAGUGUAGUAUCCCUUGUACUGUACAAUAGCUGUGGUGGUUGUGUUAUCAUAAAAAUUUUGAGCUGCUGGGGCAAUGGAAUAAGUUUUAGCCGCCAUGUAAUAGUGAUCCGGGUGUUGGUUAGCUUCUAGUAAGACAUCGAAGGUUUGGCCAGGAUAUAUUGUGAUAUAAUCUUGUGUCAAUGGUUUCAUGUAGCUACCAUCUGUUCCAACCACUGUCAUUUUAUGCUUGGCAAUUGAGAAGAAGAGAGCCUCGUGCAGGGCAGCAUUGAUUAUGCGAAGUAGAUAUGUCUUUCCAUGAUCCACCGUUAGCUUGAAUGUGUCUGCAAUUAGAAAAGGAAAGUUGUAUACUUACGACUAGAGAAAAGAAAAGGAAAAACUUUCCAUGAGGAUCCACCAAUUAUGAAGUGAUUGAUUUAUUAGGGGUGUAAAUUUGGCUCCAUAGUUCAAAAUUAUAUUUGGAUUGGCUUUUGCUCAUGUGUUAAAUCAUGGCUCUACCAUCCUCAUAGCUAUAUUCCUCUUUCUUAGCAUUAAGUUUUAAAUAUGUUGAUGUUAAUAAGAAAAAGUAAUAUGGUUAACAUACAAGAAAAUGAGAUCAGUGUACAAUUUUAAAAUGGGAAGUUAAACUUUAUACCUGAUUUUGAGCAUGGAUAUAGAUCACCGGGUUGUCCAUUUAUCAAUAAAGAAUCAGAGGCAUUGGGGUCAGCUCCAGUUGCAAGCCCUUCAUCUCGAACCGCAUUCACAUCACUCUUCCACCAUUGUCCUGCAUUUCAACAACUCCAAUAAUUUAGAUUUUGCUUUGUUGGUUAAUUCAUGAUAUGUAAAUUAACCUUUAAAAGCAACUACACUUAUACCUAAUAUGAUGGGAAUUUCUGCGUUAGGUUUGGGAAAAGGAUACUUGGUUCCAUUCUUGGGAUAGACGAUUAUAGCUCCAUGAACGGUGGCUCGAGUCCAGUCACUAUGAGCAUGCCACCAUAGAGUGCCUUCCUCAGAGGAAAGGAUGAUCUUCUGGCUAAACUUUGACCCUGGUUGAAUUGGGCAUUGUGUGAUAUACUCGGGACCAUCUGUCCAUGGAUAUCUAGGCAUGUUCACCCCAUGCCUGCAAAACGAUAACUAUACAUUAAAACUAGUACUAAUUUUUAGACUAACAAAAGAUGGCAUGUAGCAACAUAUUAUCAUAGUAACAAGAGGCAUCAACUAUAUUUCAAUGGAACUGAUGCAAAUAACCCUAAAAUAUUAUUUUAGAUUUAACUUUAUUUGCAAAGCAAUACAUUGCAGCCCCCUCUUAGAAAUAAAAGAAUGUAUGUCAUGCAAGCAUGUUGCCCACUGCUAUCUUUCUCCGAGACAUGCAUAGGACUUACCAGUGAAUGGUGAUAUUUUCUUUUCCCCUGUUAUAAACGUUGACGAUGAUCGUCUCUCCUUUCUUAGCAUAUAUAGUUGGUCCUGGAAAUUGUCCAUUUACUGUUAAGAUGUUCUUGGUGCUACAAAGCCUUGUAUAUGAAGCCUCCUUCACCUGCAACCAAUUAAAAGUUAACCAUGCAACCUCAUCCCAAAAGAAAUAUUACAUGCAUGAAUAGUUGCAUCGAUCCAUUCAUGCAAGUGUAUAACCAAUUAGAAAUUGAUAGCAUGCAUGAAGGACUCAAUGACACCAGGGUACCCGAAGACCCCAUGAGGGUCAUAACGGUGGAAAAUGAGAGCCACACUGCUCCCUAAAUAUUAUGAUCAAAAGGUGGCGUUAAGGCCAUAAUCAUAUAUAGUAUUUACCACAAAAGUAAGCCGACGAGUUGAAGCUUGGCAAUGGAUGCCACCACCAAAAAGUAGAAACACUAAAAUUUGCAAGAGGAAAACCUUCAUGAUCAGCCACAUCUUCUUUGGAAUAAAAGCCUCUUCUCUUGUCCUAAACACAACUGCUUCAAUUUUCUUACUAUUUCUAAUAAGCACGACUUAUCUUCUCUCUGACAUGAAUAGAUGAAUUCUUAAAGGUAUUUAUAGAGGCUGGAGGUGAAAGCUGAACAGCUGGUUUCCUGGGGUACAACCAUUCCUCGCCGCGUAUCAAUAUAAGAGAAGUAAUUUGAAUGUGUAUUGGUUUUGAAAGUUCUUCCAGGACCACUUCAAAGAGCAGGUUGUGUAUGAUAUCUGACCACUUACCAAAAUUUAAAUAAACCAAAUUCCUGAAGACGAGUUUCUUAGAAUCUCUUGAAUUUUCUAAUUCAAAAUACAUGAAAGAUGAUUUUCCUGGGGUACAACAAUUCCUCGCCGCGUAUCAAUAUAAGAGAAGUAAUUUGAAUGUUCUUCAGAAAGCAGGUUGUGUAUGAUCAGCUUCAAUCAGGUUGUGUAUCGUACAAGUUUGACUUUGAGAAUUGACCAAGAAAUUAAUCAAACAUAUUAUUUUAGAAUAAAUUUCAAAUACAUGUAGAAUACUUUUAAAACUUUGACCUCGCAUAUAUACAGUACCUUUAUCAAGAUUAGUCAAGAUUUUCUCUUUGUAUUUGGUAGGAAGGGAAAAGUCAACGCUGCUUUCAGAAGGAAUAUAGGAUUCCAUUAUAGGAAAGAAACAAUCAUUCAAUUAUAGGAACCGGAUCGAAAAUUCCUUGUCCGGUUGGAGGGUCAAUCCAGACAUUCAAAUCAUUCAACAUAUAAAUUAGUUUAAACGGAUAAGAGAACAUUCAGACAUUUUCAAACAUCAAAUCUCCACUUUUUAAAAAAUAAUAAUAAUAAUAAUAAAUAAUUAUAGAUUUAAAAAUAACUUUUUUCAGAACAAAUAAGAAAUAAUUCAAACUUCCUUGUUUGGUUUAUUGUACCAUAUAUAAUGAAAAAUCAUUAUAUAAAUAAAUUAUGCAAAGAUGUAUAUAUUUUAAAAUUAUUUAUAAACAGAAAAAAUGAUGAAUAAAAUUUGAGACGUGAAAAUUUGAUCAAGUUAAUUUAAAAACUUCUUUUAAUUUUUUUCACUUUUUUACUCCUAUUUUUUCACACUAUUUUUUUUCUCACAUUUCCUUUUAAACCUUUGAAAUAAAUUCCCUACUAUUUGUGGAGCUUUAAUAUAAUUUUUUUCUCCAUAUUAUACAUAUUUAUGCAAUGUUUGGUUAAACUAUUUUGAAUUUCUAUUUUUACCUUAACAAGAAACAUUUCUUGAAAAUGAAGAUUAUUUUCUCCUUAUUUUCAAAUUUGUGUUUCUCCACUUUUUUUUUUUUAAAUAAUAAUAAAUAAUUAUAGAUUUAAAAAUAACUUUUUUCAUAACAAAUACAAUAUAUAGCCGGCUUAUAAAAACUAUUAUCUAAAAAAAGGAAAAAAAGAAAAGAAAAGAAAAGUAAAAUAAGAAAUAAUUCAAACUUCCUUAUUUGGUUUAUUGUACCAUAUACAAAGAGUUUUAAAUAAUAAAUUGGAAGAUCAUCCCAAACACUUUAAAGAGUUUUAGAAAUCAAUACUAAAAUCAAUCUUGAUUUAAAACUCCUAAAUAAUUAAUUGUAAAGUUGUUUUCAAAGGAAACCCUUCUUAUCUCGAUUUCCCCUCACUAAGAUACUUCAAAAGUGGAAUAAUAGAUAAGAGUGAACUUAAAACUCAAUUAAGAAAAUUGGUCAAUAAGGAAGAUCAAGUAUAGUACAAAGUUAAAUCUUAGGAGAUAUCACAUCUUUAUAAAUAAAAAAUAAAAAAUCAAUUAGUAGGAGUUCAUUUAAUUCAAUAAUUAAAUUCAUUUUGUUCAAAAAAUUAUGCACUUUCAAUUUAAAGAUAGAAUUAAAUAAUAUACUUUACAUACUUAAAUUAUAUUAAAAAAAUUAUAAACAAACAUUUUACUCCGACUCAUUGAUAAUAACAUUGUGCCCAAAUAGUAGAACUUGCAUUAGGUGGCUAGUCUCACUUUGUGCCUUUUAGCAAUGGACAAAAUGAUUUAUAAUCAAUGAUAUACCAAAGGCUAAUAACACCCUUAUUAGCUAGAGUUACAUUAUAUCACUAUCCUCACCAAAGGUAACGCAGGUCAACAACUUCUCUCUUAAACCAAUGUAAUAAAUUAAAUGAUAAAAUUCAUUUGCAUAACAAUAAACAAAUCAUAUGAUAUUCCCAAUUUAUUUUAUAAACUAAGGAACAAAUCAUAACAUUUUUAGUAAAAUAUUAUUUGAUCCACUUUAAGGAACUUAAACAUUUUGAUAGUUUAAAAAUAGAUGAAAAAAAUUAAGAAAUUAUAAAAUGGUUUACUAUACUAUUAACCAUUACCUUGAAGAAAUCAUUCAAAAUCCUGAAAGACUUAAUCUACACCUAAUAUAAACAUAAAUAAAAAAUAAUCAUUAAAGAUUAAUUAUCUAAAUUAAUGACUUCCUAAUUUUUUUGUAAAACUUACUUUAAUUCCAAACCCUUUUCUAAAGUUCUAUUUUUUGAAUUAAAUUUUUUAUUAACCAUAUUAUUAUUAUCAUUUUCACUUCUCAUAAUUACAUUAAUGGGUUUUGUUGAAUUAUUAAUGUUAAUAUUCCUUCUUCUUUUUUUCAUGGUAGGAAGUAGGUAAUUAUUUAUUAAUUUACUACUAUUUUUACUUAUCUCCUACCCACAACCCAAAUCUUAUUAUAACUUUAUUAUUUCUUUGCCACAACCACUUUCCUCAUUUCCUCAAUUCUUCUUCCUAUUAAUCUCGUGGUUAAAGAAAGGUAAAAGAAUCUAAAAAGAAAAUCAUACAUGAAGAACUUACCUUAAAUUUCAUAAUGAAGCAAAUAAAAAAAGUUUCUUCUUUCUAACCCUUCAAACCAAACUUCUCUAUAUACCUUUCUCUUGUUUCUUUUUCCUCUCUAUUUUAUCUUUUCAAAUUUUAAUAAUGUGGAGAAAUCAAUGGAAUUUAGGGGUGAAUUAUACUUUUAUCGCUAAAAGUAACUUUUAUUGAUGGAAUUUUAGAUGUUGUCAGUGGUGCAAAUUUUUUUUAAAAAAUUUCUAACGAAUUUAAAAAUUUCAUCACUAAAAGACAUGAUGGGAAAAUUUUGGCAUCGUCAUUUUUUUGGCACAAACACUUUUCUGAUAGAAAAAACCUAUUUUCUCAGAAAAGUAUUUGUCACUAAUUAUAAUUUUUGGUGACUAAAAGUUACAACUUUUUAUAUAUAUAUAUAUUUGCUUGUAAAAUGGUUUCAUUAAGUGGUUGUAUUAUUUCUUGACAAAUUGAGUAAUUUUAUCAUUAUUAAAUUGUGAUAUUAAUAAGUAAUAUUGAUAAAUAACUAGAUGAUUUAUAUUGUGAAAUAACAUAUGUAUUUUUUGAGACUUAAUAUUUAUACUGUAAUAUUUUAUUUCUAUUAAUAAUAAUAAAAUAAUUACAGAUUCAUAAAAUGAAAUACUACAAUACAGAUUUAUUUAAAUUUAAACGUUUUGUAACGUAAUAAUAGUAUUGUUAUGAAAUAAUAAAAAGGUAAAUUAUUUAAGCAAUUAAUAUUUAUAUCGUAAUAUGUUAUAUUUUUUUUAUAUAAAUAAUAACAACAAAUAAUUCAAGACAUGUAAGAUUUGUUACUUUGAAACAAACUUUCGAAUCCUAGGUACAUCCUUAAGAAAAUUUGUUACAUUCAAUCCUUGAGCUAACGGGACACCUAUCUCUUUUCCCAUGGUCCAUUUAUUCAUUUGGAGACCUCGAAAAGUGAUUAGAGGUCAUUCCCCACCUUAAAACGAACUUUGACUCCCAUAGUACAUCCUUUACAAAAUUUGGUACAUCAUUCACAAAAAUUCGUACAUCCUUAAAAAAAUUUGGUACAUCUAAUCCUUGACCUAUUAGGACCCCUAUCUUAUUACUCAUGGUUCGUUUAUUCCUUUAGAGAUCUUUGGAAGUGAUUAGAGGUCGUUCCCUACUCCGAAACAAACUUUGGAAAUCCUUGGGAUAACGGGACACUUAUCUCCCUUCUCAGGGUCCAUUUAUUCCUUUGGAGAUCCUUAAGAAGUGAUUGAAGGUCGUUCCCCACCUCGGAAUAGACUUUGGCACCCUUGGUACAUCAUAUACAAAAUUUGGUACAUUCUUCACAAAAUUUGGUACAUCUUCAUAAAAUUUGGUACAUUCUUAAAAAAAUUUGGUACAUCUAAUUCUUGAGCAACUAAGACCUCUAUCUUAUUGCCCAUGGUCUGUUUAUUCCUUUAAGAAUCUUUGGGAAGUGAUUGGAGGUCAUUCUCCACUCUGGAACGAACUUUGGAACCCUAGGGACAUCCUUAAGAAAAUUUGGUACAUCCAAUCCUCGAGUUAUUGGGACACCUAUCUCCAUUCUCAUGGUCCAUUUAUUCAUUUGGGAACACUUAGAAAGUAAUUGGAGGUUGUUCCCUACUCUGGAAUGAAUUGUGGAACCUUGGGUACACCUUUAGAAACUUUUUGUAUUUUUAUGGUUAUGUAAUGGUUUGAUGUUGUUGAUUGAAAUGAGGUGGUUGAGUCACAAUUUAUAAUCAUCAAGGGAAAACAAAUUGUGUUUAUUCAUGACCAGAUGAAAAUGAAUAACAAAUGGAAUUAUUGUCACUUUUAAUGGUAUUAUAUUAUGAAUCAUUUGAAUAGUUUUCUUAAAACAAUUUGUCAAUUCCAAAUGGAUUAUAGCUGAAUUGAAAAAUGAAGGAAUAUAGUUGUAGAAAAGAAGGGUUGAAUUUUUGUGGGCAUUAUGGAAGAAAGAGGUCGAGCCUUAUAUGAAAAACAGAUUGUUAACACUAGGCAUAAUAGUGGACGACCUUUUCAUGUAGGGGCUGACCCUUUUUAGCUUAUAACCCUUAGUCAUGAUAUUAGUUUUAUUUGAAGUGAUUAGUAACAAAAAUAAAGGUGUUGUUCAUAGGCAAUCCCAUCGUGUUUUUAAUAUUGGUUUUGUUUUAUGUGGGUGGUAGGCAGAACAAAGGUUGACCCAUUGUUUAAUAGGUAGGCCUUUGAAUAUGGACGUUAUAACCUUAGAAUAUGGACAGUGAGGAAAAUAGUGGUCAACCCAUGUAUUCAGAGGUAGAGCCUGAACUUAUAUUACAUAUCAAAUAAGUUCCUAACAAAUAAAUAAAUAAAAGUAAAUGCAUUGUGUGAUGUUUGGUAUAGACAAUACAUUUCAAUAUUUAGCACAUUAAUGUCACACCAUAAAAUGUUAAUGAAACAAACUUGGAUUGUUCAUAAUCUGAAUGAGACGUUAAUAUAUGAUGACUAUAUAUGUGACCAUGACAAUUGUUAUAAGUAAUUAGUUUUGACAGGGUUAUUUAAAAAUAUAUAUUUAAAAAACUAAAUACCUAAUGAGGUCUAACUGUGAGAAUAAAAUAAUUUAUGCUUAUUCUAUAAAUGUUGAAAGUAUUUUUGUGAUGAAUAUAUGUAUUAUUGGAAAUAUUUACAAACAUGCCUAGUUUAUUGAUGUGUGUGUGUGUGUGUAUUAAAAAAAAAAAAGUAAAAUCAAGGAUGUUCAUCCUUUCCUCAUAAGAAUGUACAUUGGGUUCUGAAGUCCAUUUUAGGGUAGAGAACAACCUCCAAUCACUUCUCAAUGGUCUUUAAAUGAACAAACCAACCAUGGGUAAUAAGAUAGGGGUCCUGAUAGCUCAAGGAUUGGAUGUACCAAAUUUUGUGAAGAAUGUUACAAAGUUUGUAAAUGAAAUACCAAAUUUUAUAAAGAAUAUACCAAGGAUGCCAAAGUCCGUUCCGAGGUGAGGAACGACCUCCAAUCACUUCUCGAGGGUCUCCAAAGGAAUAAAUGGACCAUGUGAAGGGAGAUAGGUGUCUCAUUAGCCCAAGGAUUGGAUGUAUCAAAUUUUCUUAAGGAUGUACCUAGGAUUCCAAAGUCCGUUUUGGAAUAGGGAAGAACCUCCAAUCACUUCCCAAAGAUCUCUAAAGGAAGAAAUGGACCAUGGGUAAUCAAAUAAGGGUCCUAAUAGCUUAAGGAUUGGAUGUACCAAAUUUUUUAAAGCAUGUUCCAAGGGUGCCAAAAUCCAUUCCAAGGUUGAGAACGACCUCCAAUCACUUUCUAAGAGUCUCCAAAUGAAUCAAUGGACCAUAGGAAAGGAGAUAGGUGUCCCGUUAGCUCAAGGAUUAGAUGUAACAAAUUUUUUUAAGGAUGUACCUAAGGUUCCAAAGUUCAUUUCGAAGUAAGGAGCAACCUCCAAUUACUUCCCAAAGAUCCUUAAAGGAAUAAACGAACCAUGGCUAAUAAGAUAGGGGUCUCGAUAAUUCAAGAAUUGGAUGUACCAAAAUUUUUUUAAGGAUGUACCAAAUUCUGUGAAGGAUGUACCAAAUUUUGUAAAGGAUGUACCAAAGGUGUCAAAGUCUAUUCUGGUAAGGGGAACAACCACCAUUCACUUUUCGAGGGUCGGUCUCUAAAGGAUAAAUAGACCAUGGGAAGUGAUAUAGGUGUCCCUUUAGCUUAAAGAUUGGAUGUACCAAAUUUUCUUAAAGAUGUACCUGGGGUUUAAAAGUCCAUUUCAGAGUAGGGAUCAACCUCCAAUCACUUCCCAAAGAUCCCUAAAGGAAUAAAUAGAUCAUGGGUAAUAAGAUAGCGAUCCUUAUAGCUCAAGGCUUGGAUGUACCAAAUUUUUUUAAGGAUGUACCAAAUUUUGUAAAGGAUGUAUCAAGGGUGCCAAAGUCCAUUCUGAGGUCAGGAACAACCUCCAAUCACUUCCCGAGGUCUCCAAAUGAAUAAAUGACCUCCAUUUGUUCUAAGGUAGGAAAUGACAUAUAAUGACUUCCUAAGAGUUCCUAAGGGAACAAAUGGACCAUGGGAAGGGAGAUAAGGGUCCCAAUAGCCCAAGGAUUGGAUGUACCGAAUUUUCUUAAGGAUGUACCUAGGGUUCCAAAGUCUAUUUACAGGUGGGGAAUGGCCUCCAAUAACUUCUCAAUGGUCCUCAAAUGAUGAAAUGGCAUAAGGGUCCUAAUAGCCUGAUGAUUGGAUAUACUAAUUUUUCUUAUGGAUGUAAUUAGGGUUCCAAUGUUAGUUUCAAGGUGGGGAAUGACCUUUAAUCACUUCCUGAUGAUUAGAUAUACCAAAAUUUAUUAAAGAUGUAUCUAAGGUUCAAAAGUCUGUUUUGGGGUGAGAAAUAACCUCCAAUUACUUCCUAUUGGUCCCUCAAUGAGCAAAAUGACCUUGGGAAGAGAGAUAGGGGUAUAAUUAGCCGGAGGAUUGGAUGUACUAAAUUUAUAUAAGGAUAUAUCUAGGGUUCCAAAGUCUAUUCUAAGGUAGGGAACGACUUGCAAUCACUUUCUAAGGGUCCUCAAAAGAUCAAAUGGACCAUGGGAAUGGAUAUAUGGGUCCUGGUAGCCCAAGGAUUGGAUGUACCAAAUUUUCUUAUGGUUAUACGUAGGAUUCCAAACUCCAUUCCGAGAUGGGAAACAACCUCCAAUCCUUUCCUAAAGGUCUCCAAAAGAAUAUAUGGACCAUGAGAAGAGAGAUAGGGGUUUUGAUUUCCCUAGGAUUGGAUGUACCUAUUUUUGUUAAGGAUGUACCUAGGGUUUCAACAUUCGUUUUGGGAUAAGGAAGGACCUCCAAUCACUUAUCGAAGGUUCCCAAAGGAAUAUAUAGACCGUGAUAAAGGAGAUAGGGAUCCUUGUUCCCUUAGGAAUGGAUGCACCUAUUUUUCUUAUGGAUGUAUCUAUUUUUUUAUGAAAUUAAUAUAAAAGGUUAACUACAAUUUUUUUUUAAUGAAAAAUUAUAUUUUCUUUUAAUUAAAAAUUAAAGAUUUUAAUGAAACAAAAAAUUAGAUCCAUGAUCAAGUUAAAACCAUAAGAAAAAAAGAUAAAAGAAUCAUCACUUACUAUGAUUUUGAUAUGAUAAAUUUAAAAUAAAAAAUAUAUAUAUAUAUAAUAUAAACAAUAAAAUAGUAUUACAAAUAUAUUUUUACUUUGAUGUGUGAUAUGGUUUAUAAAAUAUAUAAAUCUUUUAUUUAGCAUUAAUAUAACAAAUCUUAUAUCAUAAACCUAUAAAUAAUAAAAUAUAUUUUUUAAAUUUAAUCCUUGAUUUAUUAAAAGUAUUACUAUAAUUAAUAUUUAAAAUCAUCAAGUAUAUUAUUUGUGGAAUAAUAUUUUCAUUUUUGGCCAUUAUAUAUUUAUGUUUUUAUAUAACUUGUUAUAUUAACUAUUUAUUAUAUAUUAUUAUUUUAAAGUUAAUAUGUCCAAAAAAUAAUUAAAAUCAAUAAAUAUGGAGAUAUUAGAGAGUUAAAAAAAUAUAAAAUUGAAGAAGUUUUAUGCGAUAAUACAAAGAAAAAAAUAGUUAUUGGUGUACUUGACAACAACAUUUAAUGUGGUAAGUGUACUUGCCCUCAACUUUUGAGGGUAAUUUUGGAACAAAUUCAAAAGCACUAUUGGAGUGCAUGAAUUGGUAUAAAAAAAAUUCCAUUUUACAUUAAAAUUGAAAUAGUAAAACCACAGUUUUAAAAACCAUAUUUUUUAAUUGGUGAUGUACCAAAGCAUGAUUAUCCCAAUUUUAAAUAAUACAAAAAUCAUAAAUUUUAAAUUUUAAUUUUAAUCUUCUUUUAAAAAUUUGUAAAUUUUAAUGUUUAAUUUUUUAAUUUUUUAAUUUAUAAAUUUUAAAUAAUAUAAAACUCAUGGCAUGUUGAAGUGCAUUAAAUGCAUUGUAGUAGCAUAUUGUAUUUUUGUAGCAUAUAUGACAUAGAUGGAAUUGUGUGGAGUGUUUUUUGGGAAAAAAAGAUGAAAAAAAAAAAAUUCUCAAACCCUCACCUAGUUAAGCACCAUUGCAAGUUUGAAAAAAAAAAACCCAAUUUUUAAAAAGAGAGAAAACCACCAUCGCAAACAAUGGCUCACCACAUUUGUACCUGAUGCCAUAUCCUCUUCAACCUUUCAUCAUUUUCACCACCAACCCAUCUACCUUCUUGAAAAGUCAUUUUCCAACUACCAAUCAUACCCACCAUUCUCCAUAACACAUUUGUAUCUAAUAAUAAUUGUGAAAAUGACCAAUUUGAUUAAGCAAAUCACUAAAGGGGGGGAGGGGGGAAUGUGGGAAGAGAUGAAUUAGGUGUUAUAUUUUUUAUUUUAUUUUUUCAAAAGCAACCAAUUAAUAACAAAAAGAAUAAGAGAUAUUAAUUAAGGCAAUAAUUAAGUAAAAGAUAAAGAGAAGAUAUAUGCAAACUCUUUUAUUGUGGUUCAAAACUCCACCUAUAUCCAUUCUUUUUAACCUCCUAAGUAAGUGAGGAUUCCACUAUCAAAGACCUUCAACCUAAGCCUUCAAGCUUUAUAUUUGGAUUCAUGGUCUUCAAUGGGCACUCACAAUCCUUUCAAAUACUUCACCCACUUGAAGUCUCUUCACUCAAAAUGAGUAAAUAAGGAAAGUUCUAAUGCUUUCUAUUAGGACAUUGAGUCUUAUUUAUAUGUUGGCAAUUUUGUUUACUUUAUGUUUCAUCAUAGAAGUCUUUUUAGAUAAUGGCUUGCUCCCCAUUGAAGAUCAAGGGUGGUUGUUCGUCCAACCAAGAAGUCAUACGUAUAUUUAAAAAGGUUUGACUUGUUGCAUAUAAGGCUUCUUUAAGGUAUAAAAGGUUUAGUAUCAUUUUUGGACUUAAAAUGUUUUAAAAUGAUUUUUUAAAAGAAGUAGGGGCUGCUCAAGUGGAAAGGACCGAUCAACCAGUUAGACUACUCAAGUGGUAAGGAUGACUCAAGUAGUCUAAGUCUACUCAAGCAAUCAUAACAGUCCUUUCGAGUUUAGACACAAAUUUUGGAUGAAUUUCACUUGAACUCUAGUUUGAAAACUUAAGUUACUGAAACUCUUUGGAUUAUAAAUACUUUCUUAAUAACCCCUUAAGGGUUAGGGAUCGAAGAUUGAAGAGAUCUUAGAGAUUAAAAACCUUUCAUUCUUAAAAAGAGGGACUCCUUGAUAGAAAGCUUAAAUUGCUAUAUAAUUCAUGAUUUCUCAUUCAAGGAUUUGAAUCUUUAAAUUGUGGGUUGAAGACCAUAAUCCCUUCGAAGUGGCAAAAAGAUCUACUAGGGAGCAACAGGAAGUUGCUACGUCACAAACGUGGAUUAAGUUGUAGGUGUUGAAGAGUAAGUCUUUAGGAUAAAGCAGCCAAGUAAAUUUGUGUAACUUGAUUUUGAAUAGUGGAUUUAGAUUGGUAGGUCUUAGACCUUGUGGGUUUUUUUCUCCAAAGUUUGUGGGGGUUUUUCACAUACAAAUCUUAUGCCUCAUUAUCUAUAUCUUUUAUAUUUGAUAUUAUGUUUGUAGGGUUUUCAUAAAAGGUGCAUAUUUGUAGACCCCUCAUUUUGUCCUCCUAACACAUCUGAUACUUUAUGUUUUCCUAAGCUUCUCUCUUACCCUAUGGUUGUCCCUUAGAGACCCAUUAAAACUCAUAUGAAUUUUUUUCCCUAAGCUACCUUUUGGGACACUUUGUUGAGGGGCUCAUUUGGACUCACAAUGUGACUUUGACAACUUCUCAAGUUAGUUUUUAGGUUAGACUUCACUUAGAUUUUUUUUCCAAGAUAGGGUCACUUAGAUCUUUUUUAUACUAGGAUCACUUGGACACUUCACUUAGGUUGGUUUUCUUGAGUUUGAUUUCUAGGUUUUAGGUUUAGGUGAGUUCUUGACUUGAUUUCAAUAUUUGAAUGCAUGGGGUGAGUAUCAAUCUUUAGUUAUGUGAGUUCAAUGCAUUGAUUUUCUUAUUAUCUAUUACAUUAAGAUUAAUAUUUGGAUUUUGAUUGCAUGCGUUAAAUUUCUUUUAUUUAUUUUUUAUUUAUUUAUUUAUUUUAGAAAAUUUAUGUGAGACUAAUGUUAUGACUUUUAAUUGCUUGAAUUGAUGCUUGAUCUUAAAUAUGCAUACAAUUGACCUUUAAUUUUUAAUUGCAUAAUUUUAAUUUGCUUUAAUUUUCAAUUUCAUAACUUUUACUAAUUUUAAACUUUAUUUUAAUUUUGCAUGAGAUUUGAAUGUAUACUUUGGAGAAGAUCCCUUAGCGUACACGACUGCCCCAAUAAUAGGAUGGAGAUCAAGAAACUUAGGAGAUUCUUUUUUAGUUCAAGUGAUACAACCUACAACCUACAUGUGAACAACAUGCACCCAUUGACCUUCUACAAAAUGCACAGUCUACACAAAAGGAGACAUUUAUGCAACAUAGAUACAGGUUUCUUUUCUAAAAAAAAGUGUAGGCUGCCAUAUGAUAGGGCUUUAAACUAUUAAAGGAAAGUUAUUCAUGAUUAUUUAUUUUUUAUUUUAAAAAAGAAACUUAUAGCACACAUAGGAUGCAAGGGGCCACUUUCUAAAAAGAAAAGGGAUUCUUUCUUUUGGAUGAGGAUGUAGCAUAAAAAGUGAGGACCACUUUGAGAAUGGAGUCCGGUUUGGAGAAGAAAAAAAAAAAAAGACCACACGGUUCCAUGGAGAGGGGAGGGCAUAGUCUACCAUUGAAGGAGAGUUGACAGCCAUGUGUUCCUUGAGAAGGGGGUUCGCUCCCCACAACACACAUUUCAUCCUAAGGAGAGGAGGAUCUUCACACGUUGUCGAUUAGGGAGAAUACAAAUGCACAUGGAGGAUCACUUAUAGCCAUGAAUAAUAGCAGCUCAUCCAUAGCCCCACACACAACCAUGCAUAUUGGAGAAGAACUAGAAAGUUGUCACUUCAAGAUUUACCAUAGGUGCACACAUCAUUUGGAGAAGGUAAGUUAGGUUUUUUUUUUUUUUUCAAUUCUUAAUUUUCAGUUUGCAAGUUAGUUUUCUUUGUAUUUGUUUUGAUUCCACUAGAUUGAAAGUGGGAAUUAUUAAUCUUAGUUAGUUUUAUUAAUCUUAGUUUUGAGUCAUCCUAUAUAGUUUAGACACUUUCAUAAGUUUAGGUUCAUUAAUAAAAUUAAUUUUAUGCUUGAAAGUUCAUGUUUUUAGUUUGCUUUGACUUAGUCUAGCUCAUUUUAAUUAGUUUAAGUACUUUUAUAAUUUUAGUUAUUCUAUGUUUGAAAGUUCAUGUUUUUAGUUUACUUUAAUUUAGUCAAACUCAUUUUAAUUAAUUUAGGUACUUCUAUAAUUUUAGUUUCUUAGCUGAAUUUAUCCCAUUUUUUUUUAGUUUUUAUUUUAAAAUCAUUAAUGUUAGUUCCUAAUCAUCCUUAUCUUAAUUUAUAUGUUUUUAAGAUCCUAGUAGUUAGUUCAUGAAUCGAUAUCUUGUUAGUUUGUCUAAUAUAAAAUGCUUUGCUUGUUGCUUUACUGAUCCUUCAUUUAAUUUGAUUGUUUUUUAGGCCCUUGGAAACUCAUGAUGAUUGGCCUCUACUCUCACCUAGUUUAGGUUGCUAUAAAUUAUCACUUUCUAAUGUUAUUUUCUCUUUUAAAAAGAAAGUCUUUUCCCAAAAUUUUAUUUAUUAAAAUGGAUUUAAAAAACUUCUUCUAUAAUCCUUAGGGUUAAAAAAAAAAAAUCAUUUUCUUAAAAACUAUACAACCAUGUUUUAAUAUAUUUACACCUUUCUUUUAUUUUCAAUAAAAAUUGUGAUUUUUAGUGAAAUAUGAAUCCAAGCUUGUGGUCCCAAACGAAUGGGACAAUUCUUGGCUUUGAUGAGUUUGUCAAUUCUCAUGCAAGGUUGGGAAUCCAUAACCUAAAUUUGUGUAUAACAAAUGAGGAUUUGGUGACUAACCCCUUCAUAAAAUUAUUUUUCAAAAACCUUUUAUUGUUAACUUGUUGGAUUUGUUGCAUCUUUGGAAUAAAAUUUUGAUUUGGAUAAUUUAUGAUAUUCCUAAAAAUUUUCUUGUGGUUGAUGAUAUUAUGAACUUCAUUAACCUCAUUUUAGAAGUUUGAUUGAAUCAAAAAUCAUAUUUUUAAUGGAAAUUAUGAAUUAAUCUUUUGGUAGGUUCAGUUUUUUCCCAAUUCUGGAUACCCAAAUUGUUUUUUGUAUUUUCAAAUUGCUAAAUGACUUUGAAAAAUUAUUUUGACUUUUCUUCCUUCAUUCUAGACUUCUUGAAAUUUAUUUUAUACACAUAAAUAUUUAAAAAAUGUUUUGAUAAUUAGGAAAAAUAUAUUUUCUUUGUUCUACCCACUGUUGGCAUCUUAGAUCUAAGCAACAGAAGCAAUACCAUUUUUUUAAAAAUUAAUAUUUUAGGGUUAAAGAACUAACCUUUAGGUUUUGAGGUUCCCAAACCUUAAAUUCCAAGUGUUGAAGACGAUCCUGAAGUUGUUAGAAGUCUUGUAAACCUAUGAUCUUUCGCCCAAUGACUUAACCUUGUUCUUGGAAAACAAUGAGAAGGAAAGGCGGGUGGAGGCUAUGACUCUCUUUCUCUUUGAAUGGUGAGAGGCAAAAGCUAUAGAAACCUUAAUCCAUAUAGGGUAUUUAUAGGGAACCUAACUAGGCUUAAGUGACUUGAGCCUAUAUGGUCGGGCUUAGGUCACUUAAUCUAUCCCAAAAUGGGUCCUAAUUGAUUAAUUAACCUAAUAGGGCUUACUAAUUAAUAAAUUAGCCCAAUCCAAAGACCUUAUUCACUUACCCUUAUGCAACCUUGAAAAAUUACCAAAACACCCUUAUGCACAAAAGUGAACCUAGAGCUAAUCUGACCCUCAUAAUGCAUUCUAACAAGGUAUAUGAGCUCAGAGUGAGGAUCACUAGGAUCCAUAUAAGUAUUGGCUCCCUCAUAAUCAAAUUUUGAAUUUGAUUCAACAUCCCACUAUAAAAAAUCAACUAAACUCCAGUAUCCUAUGUAAAUAAUAACAAGACACUAAGUGCUCAGGUUCAUGACCUAUUAUCCACUACAUGCAGACUCUCCAUGAACUGGUGUCUGUAAUUUAACAAGGUAGUAUUAUUACCUUUCAAGAUUACCUCUUAAAUCCUUGAGUUAUAGAUCCCACUUAUUAUGUGAUCAAUUGACAUACUCUUACUCUAAAGAUAAUAUGUCAAAUUCCACUAAAGGAAUUAUUAUGGCCACAUAUUUCAUGAUCAUAUUUCUUUCGAUCACCCAAAGGAACACAUUGUCUCAAUCCCAUGAGAUAUCAUGGUGCCUAUAUUGUGAAUUCCUAUUACCAUCAACCUUUAUCAAUAAUGACCCAAUCCAUAUGGAUAUAUAACCACUUUAGGGUCUCACCCAAAUGUUAAACCCUCCUAUUUAUUUUGGAAUAUACUGAAUAUCCUUUUAAGGUUAAAAGUCCAUGCAGUAUGGUAACUUGGUAAAUCAUGAUAAUCGAUAACCUUGUGUCAUGAUUGACUGUAGGCCUUGUCUAAUAUUCAUCACAUACACUAGUGCACUCACCAUAGGAAAUCCAUCCAGAUGGCCAAGACAAGUCACCCCUCCAAUUAGGAGGUGAUGCACUAGAGUCUCUACUAGAUUGCCCAAAUCCAUGAACCAGCGGUGGACAACUUAUCUACUUGCAAGGAACCCAUGACUUGUAUCUUUUGUGCAACUGCUAAUGCACCCAAGUCAUGUACAAUGUAAGAGACAUGGACUAAAUGCUCAAAUCAUUGUUAGUACACUAAAAGGAUAGCAAAGGGAUGGUUAAGUCUAACUUUGUUACAUCAUAUCUUGCUUUCAAAGGCUCAAUCCUAACAAACUCCCACUAGCCCUAAAAGCAAACUAGGCAUCAUAGAAAAAUUUUUGUUCCAUGUCUCAUCACAUCUUUAUACUAUCUCAUUAUAAAGUAACACUUCUUAUUUAUGUGUUUCCUCUUCUGGUGAUACUUCAAUUCUUUAGACCAUGCCAUUGUCCCGUUGUUAUCACAUAACAGGAUCUUAGAUGAUAUAGCCAAGGGAAAUACCAAUAAGCCAAAAGGCUUUCUUUGUUGCUAUAAAAACAACAAAAAAGAAAAACCCCACUUCGAGUGUACACAUACCUAGAGGUAGACUUAUAAGAGUCCUUAUCAGACCGAAGUCCAAUUUCCUAGUAUGAAAUGAGUACUAACUCAUCGCAAAGGAUCACAACAUAUAAUUCCUUAUUUUCCAAAGAUACUAGAGUAUAUGUUUGACAUCUGGCCAAAGCUCUAAUAAGGAAAUGGACUAAUAUCCACUCAUUAUUCAUACAACAAAGCAAAUAUCUGGUCUAUCACAUAACAUCGCAUAUUUAAGGCAAUUCAUUAUAGAGGCAUUGGAUAUCGCCUUAAUGUGAUCUCUCUCCAUAGAUGUCUAAGGUCAUUGAUCAUAAGAAAGACAAGUCUAAAACUAAAUAGUAACAAACCUUCUUAGAGUUUUGCAUCAUAUACUUGACCAAAUGCUCAUCCAUGUAGGUGACAUGGUGCAAUUCUCCUAUUCUUGUAAUCCUGAAGGAUCAUAACCCGAAGAAUAUAUUGCAUCUUCCUCUAGAUUUUCAUCCAGAAUUGAGUAGACUAUUAGUUCUUGACUGAUGACAAUAUCCCUACAUCAUAUCUAAUGAGUAGAUUUUCAUCUACCUGUAAGAUCUUUGAGCAUCACUAUGCUUUCUUGUGUCUUUUUAUACACACAAGGCUAUUUGCUAUGAAAAUGUUUGGUUGUUAUGUCUUACAAAUGAGACACACUGCAAUAGAUAGUAGUAAUAUGAUGGAUUUGAGUAUGAUCACUAUUGAAAAGGUUUUCCAUAGUUGAAACAAAUUUCAAAAUGAAUCGCAAUUCGGAGUUGAAAUGAGGGAGUUGUAGUCGAUUGAAACUAGGUUGCACAAUGAGCAUGGAAGCACAAUGAUGUUGACUUCAACUCAAAAUUGGGGCUACCUCCCAUGAGCUUUUUGAGGCAAACCACAUAUGGUUUUGAAGCUUAAGAAGUCAGAAAUCCAAUACUUCAAACGGAUUUCAAUUUGGAGUUGAAGAAACAAGGGAGAUUUGGUUGAUUGAAGCUAAGUUGCACAAAGGGCAUGUAAUUACGAGAUGGAGUUCAAGCCAAAUUAUUUUUGGUUGUUUGGGCUCAUUUUUUGGGCCUCUUUUUGGGCUCUUUUAGUGGCAAUUAGGCCCGUUGGGUUUUUCUUUUUUUACUAACCCUAUUUUUGGUUGCAGGGCUAUUUUGAUAAUUUGGAUUCUAUCCAAGUUUUAGAUACCAAUUUUGCAACAAGAUCCCUAAGGCCAUGAGAAUUAUUUAUUUAAUUUUCUUUCAUGUCUUUUAUACUUUUUUUUUUAGAUAAUUUAUUAAAUUGGAAUGUGCUAGGACUUAGGAAAUUUUUAUUUUAGGUAAAGACAAGUUGGAAAUAAAUAAGGAACCUACUUCAUUUUCAAAAUUAAACUUUUAGAGAUUUUUUUUUAAAUAAAUCUUUUUAGAUUUUAGAUCUCUAAGAAUCUUUUUAUUUUAAGGAAGAAGUUUUUUUUUUUUUUUUCAGGUUUUUUUGAAAUAAAAUUAUUUCUAUUUAGCACAAGAUUCUAAAAUAAAGAAAUAAAUUAUUUUUGGAAAAAUAUAUGAUAGAUAAUUCAUGAUUAAGAUAGCUUACCAAGAUAUUGUUUCAAAUAAAAUAAAUUAAAAUGGUAAUUUUGGAUUUUCUUAAAAGAAUAAAUUUUCAUGAGUUUUAUUUCCAUUAUUAUUUAGUUAACAAAUUGGUUGUUGUCAUUUGGAAUUUCAAAUUCCUUUUGGGACUUUUUUUUUUGGGUUAGAUAGUUUUCUAAGCUCUCUCUCUCUCUCUCUCUCUCUCUCUCUCUCCUCCCCCCCCUUCCCCCUCUCCCCUAGAGAGAAGGAGAAUGACACGUACAUUGGUCCUCCAGGCUUUUCCUCCUUGAGAGAAAGAGAAAAUCGUUUAGUUUGAAAAUGAAAGUUCAAGGAUAAGGAAUAUGAAAGAUAUCCUUAAUUGGCAUAGGAGUCCCAAUUCAAGUAAUAAAUAAAAGUUUUGGAAAUUUUCAUGAUAGAUAAUUUAUUUUAAGAUGGAUUAUUUUAAAAUUAUCUUAAAGUCUCUCUUCCAAAAUAUUAAGUGGGAGCGGGCCAUAGGCAAGAGCCCAUCUUGAUUUCCAUCCUAAAGAUGGGGUGGCCCAAGGAAUCAAGGGAUAUGGACUAUCCUUUAUGGACAAGACUAUAUAUGUUUAUAGUAAGAGUGGCCAAUCCUAAAGAUAGAACUCUUCACUUCGUAACAUUGAUGUUAAGGAUCUUGAUUACUCAUUUAACUUAGAAAUGAAGUGGUAGAAUCACCUAAAGUGGUCCCACUUGCAUGGGCUAAGGGCUCAACAUAAAGGUAUGUUGAUCAAUGCCUUAGGAUAACCUUUGGAAGUUUAAGGCAGGUUGAUUAAUUAGAGAGGGUCUCUACCUAGUAAUAAGAGUCAUAACCUGCCUAAAGUAAGCUUGAUUCUUAUGAUACUAGGUUACCUUGCAUAGAUACAUAUAGUUUGAGAGCACUACAGUUUUGCUAAAUUAAUUACCAAUUUGCCUUAAAUGCUCAAUUCCUUUUAUUAAUGCAUGGAAUUAUUAUUUUUAUUAUGGAUAUCAUGUCUUUAAUCUAUCACAUUUUAUCUUUUGUUUAAAUUGGACCUAAUUUUAAAUUAGAAAUAAUCUGGAUAUAGUAUUAGUUGCAUAGAAGCUGUUUUUGGUAGAGUUUGUUAUUUCCUUUGAACAAACCUAUCAUCAAGUAAGAGAAACAUAUCAAAGGUGGCAUAAGACGGAUCAAAAGACUAAGUCUCUCAUACUUGGGUCUUUAGAUAAUGUGUUGCAAAAGAAACACAUGUCUAUUGUCGUAGUCUAUGAUAUUCUCUUCAAAGUUGCAAAGGUUAUUUGGUGAUAAGGGCAAGUCAACUAAACAACUUGCCCUUAAGACUAUUAUGAACACUAGGAUUCAUGUUAUCUUAGAGAUCUUACUAGAUUCUUUUGGGAUGGGUAAGAAGAUUCUCAAAGAGUGGAAGGGUGUUCAUAUGGAAGUCAAGGUUCUUCAAGCUCUUCUAACACUAUCUCAAGCUACCUACAUAGAUAAGAUUUUGGUCAAGUGUGUGAUGUGGGAUUCCAAGAAAGGUUUGUUACCUUUUAAGCAUAGAAUUCCCCUUUCUCUAAAUCAGUGUGUGCUAAAACACUUGAGAAGAAUGAGUGCAUGUAGUUAAUACUUUAUGCCUCUGUAGUGGGUAGUCUUAUGUAUUUGAUGCUAUGUACUAGGCCAAAUAUUUUUUUUGCAGUGGGUAUGGUGAGUAGAUAUCAGUCUAAUCUAGUUGCAAAACAUUGGACAACAGUCAAGCAUUUACUCAAGUACCUUAGGAGAAUGAGAGAUUGUGUUUGUGCUCCAAAGUGUUGAGAUAGUUUAAAGGGUGACAUGAUGGUUGACAAGAUACCUUUUGUGAAGAACCUAGUGGAUCUCUUCACCAAGACAUUGUCAGGGAGAGUCUUUGAUGGUCACAAGGAUAACACAGGUUUCAAAUGAGUGUCUAACAUGCUUUAUAGGCAUGAUGUUUUGAGGGCUAGUGGGAGAAUGUUAGGAUAUAGCCCUUAAAAGCAUGGCAUGAUGUAAUAAAUUUGGAAUUCAUUAUUUAUUUAACGAUGUUCCAGUUUCACUUUUAUCGAUCCUUAUUCCAUGUAUUAUACUUUAUGAGCAUUCUUGCCUACAUCUUUUGCAUUGUAUGUGACUUAGGUACAUUAGGAGCUUCAUAGAAGAUCUAAGUCAUGGGUUCCUUACAAGUAGAUGACUUGUUCACAACUGGUUCAUGGGUCUAAGCAACCCAUUAGAAGGGCACCACCUCCUAAUUGGAGGGAUUAGACUAGUCUUGGCUAUCGGGAUGGUUUUUCCAUGGUGAGUGCAUUAGUGUGUAUGGUUACAUAUUGGACAAGACCUAUAGUGAGUCACGACUUAAGGCUAUCAANNNNNNNNNNNNNNNNNNNNNNNNNNNNNNNNNNNNNNNNNNNNNNNNNNNNNNNNNNNNNNNNNNNNNNNNNNNNNNNNNNNNNNNNNNNNNNNNNNNNAUAUUGGACAAGACCUAUAGUGAGUCACGACUUAAGGCUAUCAAGUAGUCAUGACCUCACCAAGCUGCUUCAUUAUGUUGUCUCUCAACCUUGAGAGAAUAUUAAGCUUGUGCUAAAGUUAGUAAUGACUUUGAUCUACGGGUAAGAACAUAAGCUGAUCAUAUAUUCCCUAUGGAUUAGGUCACUACUGAUGGAAGCCGGUAGCAAUAGGUAUUCUCAAUAGAGGCACCAUGAUAUCUUUUAGGAUCGAGACAGUGUGUCCCCUUUGGUUAUCAUAAGGAGGUGUGUUCAUGGAAACUAUGGUCAUAGUAGUUCCUUAAGUAAAACUUGACAUAAACUCUUUGAGAGUUAAGAUAUGUAAAUUGAACAUACAAUGGGAGGAUCCGUAACUUAAGGAUGGUAAAGGUCUUGAAAGGCUAAUAGAUUUCACCUAGUUAGACUAUGGACACCAGCUCAUAGGAAGACUGAACACAAUGGAUAGCAAAUCAUAGACCCAAGCACUUGGUGUCUCAUUGUUAUUUACAUAGGAUACUGGAGUUCAGUUGAUUCUCUAUAGUAGGAUGUUGAAUCAACUUUAGAAUUAGAUUCUAAGGGAGCUAGUAUUCCUAUGGGUCCCAAUGGUCCCCGCUCUGAGCUCAUUUACCUUGUUGGCAUGGGUUAUGAGGGUCAGAUUGGCUCUAGGUUCACUUUUGUGCAUAAGGACGUUUUGGUAAUUAAGUAAAGUUGUAUAGGGAUAAGUGAACAAGGUCUCUAGAUUGGGUUAAUUGUUUAAUUAGUAGGCCCUAUUGGGUUAAUUAAUCAAUUAGGACCCAUUUUGGGCUAGAUUUAGUUACCCAAGUGCAUGUGGGCUCAAGUAAGUUAAGCCCACUUAGGAACCCUAUAAAUACCCUCUAGGGGCUAGGGUUUCCAUAACUUUUUGUCUUCCAUCAUCUAGAGAGAUAGAGAGUCAUAACCUUCACCCUCUUUUCCUCUCCAUCGAAAGUGUGUGAAGAUCAAGGUUCGAGUCAUCGGGCAAAAUAUCGUAGGUUUAGAGCAGGUUGUGUAUGAUAUUUGAUUACUCACCAAAAUUUAAAUAAACCAAAUGCCUGAAGAAUUCUAAUAAUUGUGAAAAUUUCUCACAGCUCAGCUUCAAUCAGGCUGUGUACCAUAGAAGAUGAGUUUCUUAGAAUCUCUUGAAUUUUCUAAUUCAAAAUACAAGUUUGACUUUGAGAAUUGACCAAGAAAUUAAUCAAACACAGUAUUUUAGAACAAAUUUAAAAUAUAUGUAGAAUAUUUUUAAAAUUUUGACCUCGCAUAUAUACAGUACCUUUAUCAAGAUUAGUCAAUAUAUGUAGAAAAGUCAGCGCUAUAUAAUCAUAAUCCAUCAAAGAUACACUAUUUGCUACUGUGGGCGUACCGGCCAUUAGUAAUGGGCCAAAAUGUUCUCCAUGAUUAAAAAUAAAAUACAAUCAUGGCAUAAAAAUCUUGACCCUCAUUUUCAAGAGGUGACUUUCUCCAAGAAAGAAUUAUUUUCCUUUUUAUUUUCUCAUGGGGAGAAAGUUGGAGAUUCACAUUGUUUAUAUUUUUAUAAUAGUUUUAGAGUAGUUUUAAAGCUUCCAAAAAUUUCUCCCUUAUUUUUAUUUAGUAGGUUGGCUCAGUCCACUUGGUACCCAAAAACAAACCCAAUAAAUAAUUAUUUAUUGAAUUUGGUCAAUCCCAAUGUUUUCAAAACCGAAUUAGACAUUGAAUUAGAAAAAUUAUCGAUUCAUAGUUCACUGGUCAGACUAGUGACCGAACUGGUGACAUCAUAAAUACAUAAUUUAUAUUUUAUUAAAAUUAAAAAUAAUUUUAAAAUAUAUAUAUAAUUAAAAAUUAAUAAUAUUUGUAAUAUUAUUUAUUCAUUUUAUAUAAAUUUAUUAAUAUUUUAAAUUUAUUAAUAUAUGUAUAUAUAUAUAUAUAUAUAUAGAAUAUUUAAAUAUGAAAAUAUAUUGAAAAUGGGUAUAUAUAUAUAUAGGUAGUCUUUGAGUCAACAUGCAUAACAAGAUUGGACAUCAAUUAAUUCAUUUAAUAAUUAUGUUGAUUAGUUUAAUUAUACUUUUUAAAAUAUUUAACUCAUAUUUAACACAUUUUUAAUUUGAUUUUAAAUAAAUAGGUUAAUUGAGUUAUAAAUAUAUUAAUCAUAUAAAUUAACACAAGACCUAACUCAACCUAAUUAUUAAAUGGGACAAAUGAGUUAUACGAUAUGUUACUUGUUUAGUAAUUAUGUAGUAUUUUAGGUUUACGUUUUUAAUCAAAUUAUUAUUCGUGUCAAGUUUGACAUAACACACAUAUGACCCACCAACACAAAUUGUAACCCCUAAGCUUGUUCACUCAAAAAGUAAAUUUAUACUAAUAUUUAAUUACCUAGUUUAAACUAGUAGGAAUAUUUUUAAAUUAUUGCUUAGUUUUUUUAAAAUUUUUAAUAUUGACAUAUGUAUAUAGUUUCUCUAAAGACAUUUCAUUGAUGUAGAAUUCCAAAUAUAAUUUGUCUAUAUAAAGAUAUCAUAUAUUUUUAAUAAAUAUAUAUUGUAAGUUAAAUAUUAUAUUGUAUAAUAUGUUGUACUAUAUGCAUAAGUAAUACAUUACUAUUUUACAAAAUAAAAAAUACACUAUAUAAUAGUAAUAUAUUAUAUACAUAAAAAGUUUUUGUGUGUAAAGUAUCCAACCACAUUUUAAUUAAUAAUUGAUUAUUUUAUUUUUAAAUAAUCUAAUUAUGUAUUUAUUAUUUUUAAUUAUUAAUAACUAAUUUUUCAAAAGUGAUUUGUUAUUAAGAAUAAAAUCAUAAAUUAUGCCAUAAAAGUAGUAAUUGUUGUACAUACUAAUUUGUUAAGGAUUAUUAUUAUUAUUAUUAUUAUUUUACUUGCAUACAUUGUUUAAUAAAAUAUUUAUUUUAAGUUUUAAAUUCCUUACUUUAAAUUUUCAAUUUUAUUUUUAGUCUAAUUUUUAAUCUAUAAAUUCUAAUUUUUAAUUUUUAAAAUUUUAAUUCCUAAAUUUUAAAGGGGAAAUCAUGUAACCAUACAUCACCAAUAAAAUAAAUAAAUGAGAUUUUUAGAACUUUGCUUUUACCUUUUUAAUUUUAAUGUAAGAUGAGAAAAAAUAUUGCCUAUUCAUGUAUUUCAAUAGUGCUUUCAGAUUUGUUUCAUAAUUACUCUUGAAAGUAAAUGACAAAACACACAUCACUUUAAUACCACCUAUUGACAAGUACAUGAAUAAUUUAUUUUUCUUAUUUCUCUCACAUCAACUCUCUCACAUGUCUCACUUACCACUUGCCACAUUUCCACUUUUUUCUUUUUUCUUUCUUUCUUUUUUUCCCCCUCUUUUACCACCAUAAUCCUUAGUCACCUAUUAUAUUUUUCACUACUAUUUUUUUUCCUUUGAUAUUCUUUUUAAUAAGCUCAUAUAUUUUGUCAUAAAACUUCUUUAAUUUUAAUUUUUUUCACUCUCUAAUUUCUCUAUAUUUAUUUAUUACAAUUAUAAUUUUUUGGACAUAUUAUACUUAAAAUGAUAAUGUAUAAUAAAUAGUUAAUAUAACAAAUAAAAUAAAAUAUAUGUAUAAUGGAAAAAAAUGAAAAUAUUAUCCCACAAAUAAUGUACUUGAUGAUUUUAAAUAUUAAUUAUAUGAAUAUAUUUAAUAAAUUAAGGUUUAAAUUUAAAUAUUUUAUUUUAUUAUUUAGAGGUUUAUGAUAUAAGAUUUUUUUAUAUUAAUGCUAAACAAAAGAUUUAUUUAUUUUGUAAAUUCUAUCACAUGUAAAAGUAAAAAUAUCUUUAUAAUACUAUUUUAUUAUUUAUAUUAUUUUUAAAAUUUUUAUUUUAAAUUUAUCACAUCAAAAUCAGAAUAAGUUAUUGUGCUUUUAUCUCUUUUCUUAUGAUUUUAAUUUGAUUUUGGAUCUAACAUUUUGUUUGUUUAAAAUCUUUAAUUUUUAAUUAAAAUAAAAUAUAAAAGAAAAUAUAUUUUCAUAAAAAAAAUUGUGUUUAACCUUUCAUAUUAAUUUUAUAAAAAAUAAGUACAUCCAUAAGAAAAAUAGGUAAAUCCAUACCUAGGGGAAUCGAGACCCCUAUCAUCCUUGUCAUGGUCUAUAUAUUCCUUUGGGACCCUUGAUAAGUGAUUAGAGGUCCUUGCCUACCCCAGAAUGAACUUUGGAAUCCUAGGUACAUCCAUUCUUAAGAGAACCAAGACCCUUAUCUCAAUUCUCAUGGUUCAUAUAUUCCUUUAGGGAUCCUCGAGAAUGAAUUAUAGGUUGUUCUUCACCUUGGAUCAGACAUUAGAACCCAAGGUAUAUCCUAAAGAAAAUUUGGUACAUUUGAUCCUUGGGCUACCGAAACCCUUAUAUCCCUUCCCAUAGUCUAUUUGAUACUUUGGGGACUCUUGAGAAGUGAAUGGAGGUCGUUUCUAAUCUCGGAAUGGACUUUGAAACCUUAAGUACAUCCUUAAAAAAAUUUGUUACAUCAAAUUCUCAAGCUAUCGGGACCCUAUCUCCUUUCCCAAGGUCCAUUUGUUCAUUUAGGGAUCCUCGGGAAGUGAUUGGAGGCUAUUCCUCACCCCAAAAUGGACUUUUAAACCCUAAAUACAUCUUUAAGAAAAUUUGGUAUAUCUUAUCCUCUGGCUACCCCAUAUCGCUUCUUAUGGUCCAUUUGAUCAUUUAGAGACCAUUUAGAACUUCUUAUAUAAACAAAAAUAGAAUUAUAAAAUUCUUAUAAGAAAUAAAAUUUUUAUGACUUCUACAUGAAACCUUUUUUUUUUAAGUUAUAAGUUUUUUUAAAAAUAAUUAAAUAGGUAUAAAAACUUUUAUUUAACUCUUAAAAGUCAAUCCAAAUAAAAUUUAUAUAUAUAUAUAUAUAUAUAUAUAUAUAUAUUUGAAAAUCACUUUUAAAAAUCCAAAAAAUCACUUGAAAAUACUUUCCAAAACUUUUUUUAACUUACAUUUAAAAAAUAAAAAAUAAAAAAUGAUUAGUUUUUACUAGUUAUUUAAAUUUCAGGAAGCGAGAAAGAAUUUACUCUGAUGUAAAAAAAAUGAGAGAAAAGUAAUUAAAUCACUAAAAAAUAGACUUGGAGUUCCUUUGGUGUGCGGUUAGACUCAAUUUGUCCCCAUGCAAUGGAAAUGGACAAUAUUUUAUUUUUUUAUUUUUUUCCUUUUCCUUUAUGUUGGUGUAGUCUUGUGAUAUUGUUACUAAAAUAGGAGGUAAAAAUAUAAAUUAUACAUCCAUUAUUUUAAAUUUAGAAAAAAGUGCUUAUUUUAAUUUGAAAUAAAUAAAUAGAAAAAAAAACUGAUUUUAUCUCAAUUGUGUAAGACUUCAAAAAAAAUUUCUUAUUUGCAAAAUAUUUUGAGUUGUAAAAGUAAAAAUUAAACAAACCAUUUCAUGACCUUUUUCACAAGUAUCCAUUUAGAUCAUAGUCUAGUUUUAAAAUAUUUGAAUAAUCCAAUUACUCUAAACUAUAUCAUUUAUAAUUUUUUAAAUUAUUACUAUCAUACCUAACCUUGUAUGGAAUUGGAAUAAAAUAUGGAUAAGUAAAAGAUGUCAAAUGAAAGAUAAUUUCAAACUUUUCUAAUACAGCAUGAUAUUUUAUCAUGUUGAAUAAAAUUGGAAUGGACAAAAGUUGUCAAAUCAAGACUUCCAUGGCAAAUUCCACCAUUGCAUAUCUCAAAUAUUAUUCUACAACAUUAUCUUUGUAGACUUUUAACAAUCCAAGAAAUUGACAAAUUAUAUAAUAAUCCCAAACACAAUAUUCUACAACUUUACAAUAUUCUACAAUUUUUUGGAAUAAAAAAUAAAUAAUGAAAUCUACAACUUUAAAAUAUUCUACACUUUUUUUGAACAAAAAAAAAUAAAUAAUGAAAUCUUUGGCAUGUUAAUUCUUUGCAGCUUCAACAUGGUGGCAUGUCGGAUGGCGGAGGCAGCAUUUGAGCUUCUGGGUGUUUACAAUAUCUAUUGUUGUUAUUUAAAGGAAUCAUUGAAAUGAUUGCAUGAAAGAUUUAUUCCAUAGCCUAAAAUAAAUAUUGGCUUUAUAUAUAUAUAUGUGUGUGUGUGUGUGUGUGUGUGUGUGUGUGUUUGCUCAAAUGAUAGGCCGGUUUUAAGCCAUAAUAAUAAUAAUUGUAUUAUUGUAUUAUUGAAAUAAAAAGGUUAUUGUAUUAUUAUUUAUUUUUUUGAUUGAAUAGAAAAAAUCAAAAUAUUUGAUUUCUUUUUAUUCAACUAAAAGUAACUUGUUGAUAUACAAACACCCCAUCUCAGUGACUAUCAAACACGUACUCUUGUUAACANNNNNNNNNNNNNNNNNNNNNNNNNNNNNNNNNNNNNNNNNNNNNNNNNNNNNNNNNNNNNNNNNNNNNNNNNNNNNNNNNNNNNNNNNNNNNNNNNNNNUAAGCCAUAAUAAUAAUCAUUAUUUUACUUAUUAUUGAAAAAUAUAAGGUUGUUGAUAUCAACAAGUUACUUUUAGUUGAAUAGAAAAAAAAAUAUUUUAGCUUUUUUUAUUCAAUAAAAAAGCAAACAUAUCUAAAUUUAUAUAAUAAAAAUGCUUUAACUAGAAAUGAAUUUCAUAUGGACCACUAUCAAAUACCAUGCAUAGGGAGAAAUCCAGAUCCUCACUUGCUCUUUGAUUUUAAUGCAUUGAAUUUGAUGUUGCCUAAAACAAAUUAUAUUUCAUGUCCUGUAUUAUGAGUAGACAACCAUUCCUUAUGUUGGAUUUUAGAUAAAGAAUGGAUAUUGGAGAUUGGAGUUGUAAGAAAUUAGGAGAUCCUAAUUUUAAAUAUGUAACAAAGUUCUAUAAUCGCCUCAAUCCAUGUUUUAAAAAUUGUAUUUCUUUCUAAUAUUGGAGCAAACUUUUUCUUUGUUUCUUAUAAAUUUCAUUUGGGAAUGAUUUAAAAAUAAAUAAAUAAAAUCCCUUCUAAAUAUUAAAAAGUAACACUUUCUUAUAAAAAUUAAUUAGGUGGAUGGUAAGGUAAAAUUCAGGAUAACUUCAUAUUUUUUGCUUUAAUUGAAAAUUAAAAUCAAAAUUAAAGUAAUAAUUUUUAAGGGGAAAUAUUGAUAUUGUAAAACUUUUAUUAAACAUGAAAUAAUUUCUUAUAUAAACAAAAAUAGAAUUAUAAAAUUCUUAUAAGAAAUAACAUUUUUAUGACUUCUACAUGAAACCUUUUUUUUUAACUUAUAAGUUUUAAAAAAAUAAUAAUUAAAUAGGUAUAAAAACUUUGAUCUAACUCUUAAAAGUCAAUCCAAAUAAAAUUUAUAUAUAUAUACAUUUGAAAAUCACUUUUAAAAAUCCAAAAAAACACUUAAAAAUAAUUUCUAAAUAGUUUUUUUAACUUACAUUUAAAAAACAAAAAAAUUUAAAAUGAUUUGUUUUUACUAGUUAUUUAAAUUAAGGAAGCAGGAAAGGGUUUGCUCUAAUGUAAAAUAAAAAAAAAAAAAAAUGAGGGCUGAAAAGUAAUUAAAUCACUAAAAAUAGACUUGGUGUUCCUUCAGUGUGCAGUUAAACUCAAUUUGUCCCCAUGCAAUGGAAAUGGAAGAUUUUUUAUUUUUUAUUUUUUAUUUUUUUCCUUUUCCUUUAUCUUGGUGUGGUCUUGUGAUAUUGUUACUAAAAUAGGAGGUAAAAAUAUAAAUUAUAUAUCAAUUAUUUUAAAUUUAGGAAAAAAAAGUGCUUAUUUUAAUUUGAAAUAAAUAAGUAGAAAAAAACUGAUUUUAUCUCAAUUGUGAAAGACUUCAUUAAAAUUUUCUUAUUUGCAAAAUAUUUUGAGUUGUAAAAGUAAAAAUUAAACAAAUCAUUUCAUGACCUUUUUCACAACAUGAUAUUUUAUCAUGAUGAAUAAAAUUGGAAUGGUCAAAAGUUGUCAAAUCAAGACUUCCAUGGCAAAUUCCACCAUUGCAUAUUCAAAGACUAUUCUACAACAUUAUCUUUGUAGACUUUUAACAAUCCAAGAAAUUGACAAAUUAUAUAAUAAUCCCAAACACAAUAUUCUACAACUUUACAUUAUUUUUUUUAUUUUAAUACAAGAGAAAUCCUUAGUCAACAAUUUUUUUGAACAAAAAAUAAAUAAUGAAAUCUACAACUUUACAAUAUUCUACAAUUUUUUUGAACAAAAAAAUAAAUAAUGAAAUCUGAAUAAUGCAAACAAUCACUGAAAUCUUUGGCAUGUUAAUUCUUUGCAGCUUCAACAUGGUGGCAUGUCAGAUGGCGGAGGCAACAUUUGAGCUUCUGGGUGUUUACCAUUUUUCACUAUGAACGCAGUUUCCAUGCCCCAAGUCAGAUGGCGUUCUACAUGGCAGUGCAUGAACCACACCCCUGCAAUAGAGAAAACAUACCAACAUUACACCUAAUUUAUUGCAAUAUUAAGAAAAAUUAUUCCCUUGGUAUGCAGGUUGGCAGUUUCAAGGGUUUUUUUUAAUAGAGGACAUGAGUGCUUGCAACAUACCAGGGUUGGAUGCCUCGAAUCUGAUUGCAACCCAACCAUUCGUAGGAACAGAGAUGGUACUCUGAAGGGGAGGAUCCACUAGAUUAUAGCGCAAAGGGUCCCUAUUUUUAUCAAAAUUCCCAAAUCCCCAUCCAACAAGGUAGAAUCUAUAUCCAUGGAGAUGCAUGGGGUGGUGUGUCCCUGAAACCAAGUUUGUCCCUUGAAAAACAAUCUCCACUGUGGAGUUAUACUCGACCACCCUUACUUCUGUUCCAAUUUCCGGCGUUUGAUACUCCAAUGGAAGAUAAUCAGCUGUAAAAUCGAACACCAAUGGUGGAACGCUAGGAAAUUUAUCUCCAUAUACACCACUGAUGUUAUAAUAGUAAGCUUGUAGUAUGUCAAUCGUAGGGGAUUGGAAGCUUAUGUUGUUUAUACUUGCAGAGAGCCGCGUCCCAUUGGGCCCUGCACAUGAAUUAUUGGGGCAUAGGAACGAGUUUACAGAAAUAGUGUAAAUUAGUUUAGUGCUCGGGCUCAAUGGGACAUUGGAAGGAUGUUCCGCAUCUGCUAAGCUUCGAAGGCUAGCCAUGACCUGAACCGAUGCAUUUGUGUCAUUGUAUGCAGGAAAAUGAGGCAAAGAGGGAGGUGAAGAUGGAGUGUAGUAUCCUCUGUAUUGUACAAUAGCUGUGGUGGUUGUGUUAUCAUAAAAAUUUUGAGCUACCGGGGCAAUGGAAUAAGUUUUAGCCGCCAUGUAAUAGUGAUCCAGGCGUUGGUUAGCUUCUAGUAAGACAUCGAAGGUUUGGCCAGGAUAUAUUGUGAUAUAAUCUUGUGUCAAUGGUUUCGUGUAGCUACCAUCUAUUCCAACCACUGUCAUUUUAUGCUUGGCAAUUGAGAAGAAGAGAGCCUCUUGCAAAGCAGCAUUGAUUAUGCGAAGUAGAUAGGUCUUUCCAUGAUCCACCGUUAGCUUGAAUGUGCCUACAAUUAGAAAAGGAAAGUUGUAUACUUACGACUAGCGAAAAGAAAAGGAAAAACUUUCCAUGAGUAUCCACUAAUUAUGAAGUGAUUGAUUGAUUAGGGGUGUAAAUUUGGCUCCACAGUUCAAAAUUAUAUUUAGACUAGCCUUUUCAUAUGUGUUAAAUCAUGGCUCUACCAUCCUCAUAACUAUAUUCAUCUUUCUUAGCAUUAAGUUUUAAAUAUGUUGAUGUUAAUAAGAAAAAGUAAUAUGGUUAACAUACAAGAAAAUGAGAUCAGUGUACAAUUUUAAAAUGGGAAGUUAAACUUUAUACUUGAUUUUGAGCAUGGAUAUAGAUCACCGGGUUGUCCAUUUAUCAAUAAAGAAUCAGAGGCAUUGGGGUCAGCUCCGGUUGCAAGCCCUUCAUCUCGAACCGCAUUCACAUCACUCUUCCACCAUUGUCCUGCAUUUCAACAACUCCAAUAAUUUAGAUUUUGCUUUGUUGGUUAAUUCAUGAUAUGUAAAUUAACCUUUAAAAGCAACUACACUUAUACCUAAUAUGAUGGGAACUUCUGCGCUAGGUUUGGGAAAAGGAUACUUGGUUCCAUUCUUGGGAUAGACGAUUAUAGCUCCAUGAACGGUGGCUCGGGUCCAGUCACUGUGAGCAUGCCACCAUAGAGUGCCUUCCUCAGAGGAAAGGAUGAUCUUUUGGCUAAACUUUGACCCUGGUUGAAUUGGGCAUUGU